UCACUCAUUCCCUUAGGUACUAAUACUUCUUAUUGAUCCCUGAAGUUACUUUUAUUUACUUAUUUAAACCAUAUAUGAAAUUUGAAGAAUGUUAAUCUCAUGAUAUUAUAGAUUCUCCGUAGAUAUUCUUUGACAUCUAAUUUGAUUCGAUGGACAGAUUAUUAUUAAUAAAUUAGCAGCUUCUCCUCAACAAAUGAGUAUUGAUGAGCACUUCUCUUUCAGAGUCACUUAUGGAGAUUGAUCUUGAUGUGAAUUUCCUGUUAGGGAACCAUAAUCUCUAGAAGUGGUUCCGAAUAUAGAAUUUUCUUCUCUAGUACGAAGAGAUUCUGCAAUUCCGAGUCACUUGAGGACAUCGUUGUUGCCUUGCAAGCGGAAGAUUCUUCACUCAGUCCUAAGAACAGAAGCUGAAUCAACUCAGUCAGUUGAGUUAGGAUAGAAUAACAUUACUGGAGGAAAAUUGACCUAUAUUUUACCUUUUUAGUUCUUAAUCUCUCUCUUAACAUGGCAAUUAGGUCAAGAGGAACAUGAUUUGAACAGUUUGAAGCUUCUUAUCUGAGGCUACCUAGGAAUAUUCCAUACUCAUGGGAAUUUGGCUCUUUUCAUUUCUCAGCACUAAGGAGUUUAAGCACAGUCAAUAAUGAAACCCAAUUGAGAAAUAUUAUCAUCUGUUGCCUAUGAUUUCAACUGGACCAAAAUGUUUGUUUUUCUUUUUAUCUUUUUUUUAUAAAAAAAUGAUUUAGCGAUCAUGUCACUAGUUUUUUCAACAAGAUGAAUGAUUUUAUCUUCUCAUUGAUGAACAAUUCUUUCCAGCACUCUUUAGGAGACUCACGCUCAUUCACUAACCACUCACCAUGCUCAGAAUGCAAAAUGCGAAAUAGGAGUAAUAUAAUAAUUUACUUGUCUAAUUUCAACACAUUUUCAAACUAAUUAAUCCCACUACAAGAAAAAGUUAUUUAUGUGACCACUAUUUUGCAGUUACGCAUGACCUAUAUGACAGCUUUGUAACGGCAGAGAGGGGUUACAUACGCGGCCAUUGCAAAAGCUUUGUAACCCGUUGCAAAAUGCUUUUUAACUGUACUUUUGGCGGGCAGUAACAAAAGGUAGUAACGGUCACAAAAAAAAAACCACCUAAAUGCGGCCCCAUUAAGUAAUGGGUUGGAUGCAAGUUUUGUGACAGGUGGAAGCUGUCACAAAUUUGUAAUGCUUAAUUUUUCACAAUUUUGUGAUAUUUGACUAUUUGUCAAUAUUUUAUCUCAUUUUCCUGAUAUUUGUCAAUGACAACAAAAAUUCAACAUUGUUCAUUACAACAUUACAACACUAAAAUUAAUUAUCAUGAUACCAUCCAUAAAGUUUAAAUUAUAUACUGAAAAUGAGUUUUUAUUUUUUUGCCCAACACUCCAACUCAAAAAUUAAAAGUAUUCACAGAUGUAAAUACAAGCCUACGAUACAAAGUCUUACAAAAAAAAAAAAGUAUGAAUCCAGGAAUCUCCAAUGCAUCUUAUCAAAUGAUAGCCUACAAUAGAAGCAACAAUAUAUUAAAAAUGUGCGAGACAAACACACUUAAAUAUUAUAAUUAUAUAACUAAGCACUUCUUGCUAGCAAUAAUUAGAAGCGCUCUUGGUACAACUGUUAAUGUCUCUAUCCUUUGUUGAAACUCUUAGUUAAUUUGCAAAUCUAAUAUUCAUUUUCCGAAAAAAUAAUAUCAACAUUGAACAAACGAAGAGUCAUGAAUCAUAAUUUUACAAGUAAAAGCGUUUUGUCUAUAUAUUGACCUCAUAAUUUGCAGCAUAACUGCAUGACGGUGUUGAUGCGCAUUGGAAACAUGUGCUACUACUUAAAAAACAAAUAUUUUUUUUCCCUAAGAAGCACAAAAGGAAAUGUAGUCUAUAUAUAGAUGAUAAAUAUGCAGCCUAUAUAUUUUACUAUAUGGUCAGAUGUAGGAAAUUUAGGGAAGGGCAUUAAGUUGGAAGGUUCAGUUCGAAGUUGGCAAUAAAAUUGCCAUUAUGCUGCAACUUUUCUCAAUAUACUCCAUGUUGUGCAAAUUUUAAUGUACUCGCAAGCGCACGAAUCUAUUGUAGUAUAGAUCAAUGGUGACGAGUGUCGAUCCCACGAGGAGGUGAAUUUUAAUUAUAUGUAGAAUUAAUUUUGUAAAUGGGUGGUUGGAUUUAUGGUGGAAAUGAUUUGGAAUAUGCUAAAACUUAAUUUAAAAUGGCGAGAAUAAAUUCUAAAAUUGGAAUUGCAAUGGAGAGAAUAAAUUGAAGAGAAAAUUCUAUUAAAUUGACGUACUUGGGUAUUUGGAUCCGUAUCAACAUGCAUCAUGGGCUAAAUAAUCCGUAUUAAUACCAAUUAAAUCAUGAGGGGGGAAUCCACACCUCAUGAACCACGCUCUAAUCAAUAUGGUGCUAAGGGCUUAUCGUGCCAAAUAAUAAUAACCUUGUACUAGAGGGCCGGUGAAACCAAGGCGGUACUAGACAAGAUUAGUAUUAUUUGUCGACGAGAAGUCAAAACAUCCACAAAAACUAGAGGGGAAGAGAAAAUAAAUUUACCAAAUUAAGCCCAUGACACAUGUUGAGACUUCACCUUCAACCCAAGCUUGAAAGAAAAUUAGCCACUCAUAAUUGAACUAAGGGCAAAAUAGAAAUUUAUUAAAAUACGAAGAAAAUACAAGAUGGAGAGGGAAUUACAGAAAAUGGAUCCCAAAAAUGGAUUCAGAGAUAUCAAAUUAGGGGGGAGAGGCCCCCUUUUUAUAGAUACAUGGAGUAAAUCAUGGCCAUCGGAUUAAAAACAGUUUGGACGCUCAGGAUUACGCCACGUCAUCAGUCAACAGUCCACGGUUUGACCACGCGGAUGAACAGUAACACGGUUUGACCCGGAUGAACAGUAACGCGGUUUGGUUGAAAAUAAUCCUGUGUGAUGCAUGCACCGUACGCGAGAUUUUUCGUCCACUAAUAUGCUGCCACGUCACCAUCAACAGUAUAUAAGAAUUUUAGUCCAACAGGAUCGUGACACCUCAUCAGUCAAUGCCACGCCAUCGAUCCGUCUAUGUGAACAGUGUCGUGAACAGUAACGUAGACAAUACCGUACCCGUGAAUAGUACCGUACAUGUGAAUAGUGCCAUUUUUCUUUUUAUGCUCCUCCUAAGGUUUUCGACCGUCCUGAGUUCAAAAGUGAUGUCCGUUUUGCCGUCUGAUCUCUCCUUUAUUGUGAAAUGACUAUAAUGCCCCUAAAAUACAUAAAUUACUUAAUUAAAAUAAAACACACGUAAUUAAAUCACAAGAAUGUUAAAUACAUAAAAGUAAGGGUUGUUAGUAAGACUUGAAAUGUAAAAUGACGGUUUUCUCCUUUAUAAAUAUGCAUUUUCUAACACUCAACACUCCACACUUUUCACCCUAAAUUAUACAUUUUUUCAAAGCAAAAACGAAACAAUGUUAAAGAGAGUGCAGCUUAUCAUAUUAGUAUAAACAUACAAAUCUAAAAAAAUGUUUAAGGCAACUUGAAAUAUUUAUACCUACUCGUGGAUGAGUGCAUCUCAUCAUCAAAAGUGCCAAAAUGGAGUUACAAAAAGUGCCUCUCAUCAUCAAAAUUGCCAAAAUAGAGUCACAAAAAAGAAUGUGUUUGACUAAAGAGUCAGCAGUAGAUCAUUGAGUCAAUAUAUAUUCUAUUCAAAAUUAAAAAAAAAAAAAACACAUAAGAAAAUCAAAAUACCCAAAAUGUGAAAUUAACAAUAAACAAUGGAAUUUUCUUUACCAAACUCAGUGAUGCUUACGACAUAGUUUCCAUCCUUAUUGAUGUUUUAUAUAUAUAUAAAGUUAGGCUCUUUGUUGGCUAUUCAUAGAUCUGGAAUUAUCUUCUAUUGCUGAUUUAGCUGCCUUCUUUCAGAACCUUAGUAGUGAGUAUCUGAUAAGAGGAGCAGGCAGUGAGAUUCCUGUUAGAAUAUACGGGAAAAAGCAUAACUGAAACCAAUUAUAAAUGGGAUGCCGUGAAAAUACAACAAUCAGGGUGGUGGUGUAAUUACAAUUAGAACCUAACCUUCUAGAGCCAUACUAUAGACAUUGAUAAUCCAACAAAAAAAUCAGGUUAGCCGGUUGAAACAUAUUUAUAAACUAACAUUGGAGAUGGUGCUCCAUCUAUAGACAAAAUUACAAGCUCAAAUGCAAGUCAACUCAGCAAAAUCAUAACCAAUUACAUUCAUCCAACUCAACUCCUCCACUCCCCCAUAAAUAUAUCCAACACUCCCAUCUCUUUACUUUUGGGAGUAAUUAACAAACAAUUUAAAUCUUCUUAUCCGGAAUUGCCCAAAUAAAGAACUUUAAUUUAAUUAGUUGAUCUUUCUCUCCACCAAGAUUUCUACUUUUUUACCCAAAAAAUGACCGUCACUUUUCUAUUUUUUAAAAAUACUGAAUUUGUCUACAUAUCAUUCUAAACCUCUGCAGUGUUUAGGAAGUAAAAUAUCUUCUGGUCCAAGCAACUACAUAAAAAAUGUUACAAAAAAGUGGAGUCUCCAAAUCUCGUCAACAAUAUAUGUUAAAUUUGCGGUAAUGCCUUUUAUACCCCUUUAAUAUCCUUAUAACACCCUUUUUUUUUUGUAAUCAUAGUUCUACUGUUAUUAAAAAUUACAAAAAAAAACAAAUAUGAAUUUAAUUAAACUAAAAUUUCUUUGCAAAUCAUGAACUACUAACUUUUUUUUUUAAUCCUAAUAUGUGAUAUAAUUAAUUUUUAUUGAUGAAACCAAAAUAAUUUGGAAACAAUGAAGAAAUAAAUUACCCAGUAAUCAUUUUUAUUUUGAAAAAGUAUGUUUAAAAUUUUAAUUAAUUUAUUCUAAAUGAUAAUAAAAUUUAAUUAAAUUAUUAUUUUAUUUUUAUAUCCUUUUUCAUAAUUUUAUUAAAGAAAAAGCUAUAAAUAAGAAAAGAGGAGUUUUUUAAGGGUUUUAAAUAAGUUGUACUCCAUUAUUGCAUUCUAAUAGCCCUUCAAGUUCAUCUAGUAAUUGAACUUUGGUGGGACUACCAAAUGGCAAUGGGCUAGGUAUUGUGUAGGGAUGUUGAUACAGGUACCUCUAUCCAUUUGGUAGAGAAUAUGCUUGUCACCGACCCUUAUCCAUUACGGGCUUGAAUGGAUAUGGAUUAGGGAUUCUCUAAUAAAAAUUAGAGAUAUCCAUCCCCUUCUCCUAUCCCCUAUAUCCCCUUUUAUUUUUUACCAUCAGCAUAUUUUUAAGGAAGAAAAAAAGAUACAUUAACUAUUUAGCUUUAAAUGAUCAAGCAGCACUUUAUUCUAAAAUAAUUUUUAAAAAUCAUUUUCAAUUGUAAGUAAAUAUUAACUAUAAUCUGCUGAUUGUUAAGUCCAACUUUAAUUAAUAUAUUACUAGAUAUUUGGAUAAAAAAUAAAAGCCUUCAUUUUGGCAUUUUCUUGUCCAGCCUUCACUCCUUCAACUAACCUUCAUUAGAACAUUAUUGUAUUCUCAUUUGUUUCCAAUUGAGUCAGGAUCAUAGAUCGUCUAUCAAAUGUGUAGUCCAUUAAACAACUAAAAUCUCUAAAUAAAUGUCUAGGACAAUAUCACAUGAGAUGGUCAAUCCAAAUACUAAGAUAUUAAUGUUAAGAUACAUCGCCCACCAAAUGUGGAAUUCGAACAGUCACAACAUAUGAACCACAUACAGCCACAUGAGUCACAUACUAACGUGGAAAAAAUCAGCACACCAACUCAAUCCCACAUUAACAAGGCACGUAGCAAAUCAUUGGAAACAAAUAUGGCAAUCUGUAUUGCUCUUGCCAAAGGCUUGCAACAAUUAUCUCACACAAUCCCGUGACAUGCAAACUCACCAAAGAAAGAUGGCCAACUAUUAUUCAAGUCCAGAUUCUCUUCAUAACUUAGCCAACGGCUAGUCAACGACUAAGUUUAGAAUUAAUCCCAUAAUUUCUGUAAAAUGUUUCUUCCAUAUAUAAUUCCUCUACUCGUGUAUAAAUACUGAUCUUGUUCCUUAAGAAGUACAGUCAAUAAAACUUAUAAUCAUUUUCAAUACUCUUGAAUUUUAGCAUGGUAUCAGAGCUUAUGGCUUCUUUAUCCACUAUGCAAAAUGAGGCCAAACUCUCUCUGCAAACUAUCCAUCAAUGUGCCAAUCUAAUACUUAUCCAACUCUCCAGCAACAACUAUCUCUUAUGCGGGUACCAAGUCCUUCCCCUGAUAAGUAACCUAGCACUCAACAAUCACAUCUCUGAUGACUCACCACCCCAAACAAUUUCCAGUAAUGGAAAGUCUAUCACCAACCCUGACUUUUCAAUUUGGGCACACAAUGAUGGAUUGCCUCUUACUUGGUUACGUGGAAUGAUGAUGGAAGACAACCUUGCACUAGUAGUUGGAGAACAAACAGUAAAAGAAGUUUGGCUCUCCAUUGAGGAAAACAUGCUUCCAGCCACUAAGGAGCAAGAGUCUUGGCUUAAAGAUAAUCUCUUCUCCUUAAAGAAAAGCUCCCUAAAGCUUGAUGACUUCUUGAACAAAUUUAGAGGACUGUGUGACAGUCUAACUACCAUUGGAAAACCCUUGACUGACGAUGACAAAGUCUUUCAAUUGGCAUGGGCACUGGGACCCAAGUAUGCCGACUUCAAAAUGGCUAUGCUAACCAAACCACCUUAUCCAAGUUUGAAACUAUUCCUGUCAGCCUUACAAAAUCAUGAGCAGACUAUGAUCGCUCAGAAAAAUGAUGGCAAAGAAGCAAAUUCACAGCAAGCUUUCUUUGGCCAAUGUGGACGUGGGAAAAGUUUUCAAGGACAAGGACAAAGAUGCGGCUUCAACAACAACCUUCGUGGAAGAGGAGAAUAUCUCUCUAACAAUGGGCACAACAACAUGAAUCAAUCUUUCAAUAUGAAUUAAUCAUCGUCUAACACACUCUCUGCUGCAACCAAGGUUCAACGAUAAUGGCCCAAAUCCACCACCUGCACUAAAACACUACAGUACAGAACAUACUGAUCAGCAAAAACACAAUUCCAAAUCAAGUAUAAUCUGUCAAAUUUGUGGUAAAACUAACCACAAUGCUGCAGUUUGUAGGGACAGGUACAACUACUUUACCACUAGAGAGGAAGCACCACAAGCCCUCGUGGCCAUGAAUUUGCAAGACGAGAAUGACCUACAAUUUUAUGUUGAUUCAGGUGCUACUACCCACAUGGUAAAUAGCACUGGUAGGUUAAAGAUAUUUAUACCCUGUGGAGGCUCUAAUAAGAUUUUUGUAGGGAAUGACCAAAGCCUACAUAUUUCUCAUAUUGGUAAUACCACACAUGAGAAAUUAAACUUAAAAGAUAUUUUGGUUGUUCCCAAACUUAAAAAGAACCUCCUAUCAGUAAGCAAACUAAUGAAUGAUAUAAAUUGUUCUGUGGAAUUUAAUUCUCUUAGUUUUGUUGUAAAGAGCAAGGAGAACUAGGUACUGGCUUCGGGAACUAGGCACGGGGACUUGUACGUGCUUAAUGAAGGAGGAAAUUUAUCCUUUCAAACAAUAAGAAACUCAGAAAACCAAGACUUGUGGCAUAAGAGACUUGGCCAUGCAAGUCCUAAAUACUAGUAUUUAUGUUUCAUGCCAAUUAGACAAAAACUGUAAACUCCCAUUCAGUUUAUUUAAUAACAUUUUUUAUUUUCCUCUUCAUAAAAUUCACUGUGACUUAUGAGGCCCUGCUUCAAUUGCUUCUAAUCAAUGUUUUCGUUACUAUGUAUUGUUCGUGGACGAUUGUACACGUUAUUGUUGGUUAUUUCCCUUAAAAUCAAAAUCUUUAUUUUUUUUAGUGUUUUCUUUAAUUCCAAAAAUAAGUGGAAAAUCAGAUGGAAUGAAAGAUCAAAAUUUUUCAAAGUGAUGGCGGAGGAGAAUUUAGCUCCAUCAUUUUCCAACAACAUUUUCAACAGUUUGGAAUCAUCAAACAGACUUCAUGUCCUUAUACUCCUCAACAAAAUGGAGUUGUCGAAAGGAAACAUAGACAUAUAAUGUAGACUGCCCUUACUAUGUUAUUUGAAUCUUCGUUACCAUUAAAAUAUUGGGUGGAGGUUGUUUUAACAGUUGUAUAUCUCGUUAAUAAAUUGCCACAAACAAUUAUUAAAAUGCACAUACCUCAUGAGUUACUUUUCAAGGAAGCUCCUAGUUACAAUGAAAUUAAAGUUUUUGGUUCCCCUGUUUUCCCUCUCUGAGGGAUUACAAUAAAACUAAGUUUGACAAAAAAACCCUCCCUUGUAUUUUUUUGGUUACAGCCUCACUCACAAGGGAUACCGCUGUCUUUUUCCACAAAACAAUCGAAUUUAUAUUUCUCGUCAUGUAGCCUUUGAUGAAUUAUGUUUUUCUUAUCAAAAUCUAAAAGAUUAUUCUAGGGAUGGAAAAUUAACCUGGACCUAGCUCGGACCUGCACGAACCCGGAUAAUCCGGACUGGGUUCAACCUGCACCAGAAUAAAAUAAAUCCGGUAUCCGGAUUUAAUUUUAUUAACCCACAUAUAUGGGUCCGAAACCGGUUUGGGCAAACCCGAAAAUGUGAAACCCGGACCCGGAUAUCUUUAUUUUAAUAUUAUUUUUUAGUCAUUUUUAUAAUAUAAAUAGAGAAGAAAAAAAAGCCAUGCCCUAGUUUACACUUUCCACACCCGCAGCCACCAAACCACCAAACCAUUCUUUUCCUCUCUUCAACUCUUUCUCUUUCAUCUCAUCUUCAUCAUCUUCACACUUUCAUUGCCGCCCUAGUAAAAGAAAAGCCAUUCUUUUCCUCUCUCUUCAACCAUUCUCUUCAUCAAAUCAUUGUUGUCACUCGUCAUCGCUUCGCCGCCUUUGCUAUGUUUCAUGUUUAUCAUCAUCACAAAAUGUCGCUUGUCUAUCUAUUUCAUGGGUUUUGGUCGUCGUUUGUCUGCCUUCGGGUUUGUGGCUCCGAUGCCGUGUUCAUCAUCAUCAACAACAACCUUCCUUCGUUGCAUCACCGGAUGCUGAACCUUGAAGUUCGUGAUCAUUGAAUCUGUGAAUCGUGAGUUUGAAUUAUAGAUCUAUGUUAAGGAUUUGUAUUUGUGAAUAUUAUGUUAUGAAUUUGUACUUGUGAAUGUUUUAUUGCUUUGAAUCAUUGAAAUCAAAAUAUGUAUUUGUAUUUGAUUUGGGAUUUGUAUUUGUAUUUGGUUUCCUUUUUUUUUCAGUUGAUUAAAUGAUCCGGGUUUAAAACCUACAAUCUGGAAACCCAGAUUUUUCUGGGUUGAACCCGUGCCGGACCCGUAGUCAAAAAAUUCGGGUUUAAAUCCAGAUCCGGUACAACAUUUUGGCAUUCGGGUCCGGAACCGGAAAGGCCAAACCCAGACCCGGACCUGCAUUUUUCCAUCCCUAGAUUAUUCUUCUGUGUAGGAUGCUUGUAGCAUUCCCACUACUCUAAAUGUGUCACAAUGAAUCCCACACUACAAGAAAACUAGCAAUAGAUGACAGACACUUUGUGAUAGAUUUUGACUAAAAUAGCUUAUAUCAUAAAUUUGUGACAGAUUCGUGAUAGAAAUUUGGUCUAUCAUGAAUUAAUGAUGGUUUUGUGAUAGAAUAAUUGUAUAUCAUGAAUUGAUGAUAGAGUUGUGAUGGAAAUUUGCUCUAUUAUAAAAUCAUGAUAGAAUUAUUUGAUUUGACCAUGUUUGGCUAAUUUUUAAUAUAUUAUUUCAUUUAAAAUUUUAAAAAAUAGAAAAACAACACUGGCGUUGAAGUCUGCAUUUAGAUAAAACACAAAAGUUUUGUCAUAAGUGUUAGACAUUUCCUCACUCACGCUCCAUUUUUCCUCACUCUCUCAUCUUUAGAAACCCUAGAAUAAAAAUCGAUCAAAAACACCACCAUUCUGCCAUUGAGAACUCCUUCAUCCAAACUAUCAUUCUCAAUUGGACACUCAUUUCACAUUGUUUCUCAUCUCUUUGUCCUUUCACCAUAAGCUGUUUAACAAACCCUCACCUUCGGUUCGAUUCGUGCAAGGUAAAUGCUUGGAGUCUUUUUCCUUUCAAUUUUUCCUUUGAUUUGGAUCUAGAAAUCAUGGGGCUUGUAAAUAGAAUGAGUUUCCUGUGUAAAAUUAUUGGUUCUGAUUUACAUGAAAUGGUGAUAAAUUUUUGUUUGUAGAUUUGUCGCAAUGAUGAUGAAAUCAAUCAAAGUUUAUUGAAUGAAAGUGGGUUUGAGUUUUUUUUUUUCUAGAUUUUGACUCGCAAUUGAAUUUGAGAUUUUUUUCAUCUAGGUUGAUUAGAUCUCGUGCUUAAAUUAUUGGGUUAUUGGCUUUCUCAUUUGAAGUUCUCUAACAGAUCUCAUUUUGUGAUAUUAUAACUGAUUUAUAUAAUUAACUAUAAUUUGAUAGAUAUUGUGAUAGCCCUUGAUAGGAUGUUCAAAAAUUGAAAUUGAUGCUAUUAAUUUGGUAACUGAAAAAAUAUGAAAAUUUUAAUUACGUCAAUUUUGAUUCAGUAGCUAGACUUAUGUUAAGGUUUAUAAAGUAACAUUUUUUACUUUAAUUUUUUUUAAAUUUUUUAUAUAAAGUCCCUUAGCAAUCAUGUGCAUGUAGAAUUUUUGUUAGCCUAUAUGGUUAUUGUAUAUUAUUAAUUAAGGAAUUAAUCAUGUUGUUAUGUCUCUGUUUGCUGUAAAACUUUAAUGGGUAGAAACUAUAUCUGUUAUUCAUGUUUGUAAUGAUAUACCCACUUUUCAGGCUUAUAAGGUGUGCCAUUGCACAAGUUCGCUUUGUGCAAAUAACUCUAUACUCGUAUUACUUUUGUAAGGAAUAUGACUAUAACGCUCUUGAUUACAUGUAUUGUGUUAGUUUCAAAACUUUUCAAACCAACAAAGUCUAAAUACGCAUCCUAUGUUGACACACAACAAGCUCAAACAAAAUCCUACCUUAGCUCUUCAAACCGAUCAUACCAUAGUGACCAAACCAAAAACAUUGAAAUCUGGUCUUAAACAUCGUGUAUGGCUACAAACGAUGGCCGAAGAACUUGAUGCCCUUCGUCAAAAUAAGACAUUGGCCUUAGCUCAUCGACCUUAUGAUGCUAAUGUCAUUGGUUCGAAGUGGGUUUAUAAAACCAAGUAUAGAGAAGAUGGUACAAUAGAUCGGUUAAAAGCUCAUUUAGUUGCGAAGGGGUACACACAAGUUCCUAACAUUGACUUCGAUGAGACUUUCAGCCCCGUCAUUAAGCCAACUACCAUAAGGCUUGUCUUAGCCCUUGCAACCAGUUCUAAAUGGCUUAUCAAACAGCUAGAUGUUCGAAAUACCUUCCUUCAUGGUCAACUAAAAGAAAUUGUCUACAUGGAGCAAUCACCUGGCUUUACGGAUCAAAAUCUUCCCGACCAUGUUUGCUUACUCCAUAAGUCCGUAUAUGGACUCAAAGAAGCACCACGUGCAUGGUUUGAGUGUUUAUCAUUAGCACUUCUAGAGCUUGGUUUUACAAGUUGUAAAGUUGAUCAUUCCCUCUUUAUUUUUCAUGCUAAUGAUACUCUUAUUUUUCUGUUGGUGUAUGUAAAUGAUGUAAUUAUUACAGGAAAUAAUCCCGAUAGAAUUCAAUCCAUUAUCAGCCAUUUUAGUAAUCGGUUUGUAUUAAAAUACUUAGGCUUAUUGAGCUAUUUUUUAGAAAUCGAGAUUCGGCACUUUCCAGGAGGCAUUUUUUUGUCACAAACCAAAUACACUCGUGACUUAUUAACUAAGGCUACUUUACUAGAUUGCACCCCUAAUCGGACCCCAAUGGUUGUCAAUGUUGUGCGCGGAAUGCGGAAUCAAGCGCACUAAAUAAUUACAUAAAAAUAAAGGACACAAGAAUUACGUGGUUCGGUAAUUAAACAUACAUCCACGGAGGCAAGAAAGAAUAAUUGUUUAUUUAACAAUUAAUAGAGUACAAAUAUUUGAGAAACGAAUCUCACUUCCCAGAAACCCAAAUAUACCCAAUACUCUCAUACCCUGCAGGAAAGAUAAAUUUCCCAGACACACUUCUCUCACUUCUCUCAAAAGCUUAGAAACUUAUAAGCUUAACAAUUUUAGGAUGCUAAAGAAUGGAAAAAGUGCCAUCUAUUUAUAGGGAAAACAAUUGCACUAUUGCACCAACCCCUUUACUAUUCCACCUAAUCUAAGCAAAUUGUCAAUGGUGUCCAUUUGGCAGAUUUGACAAAUUUGCCAACUUUUCAUUUUUUCUUCAAAUGUUUAGUAGCUCUUUGAAAAUUUGCAUGCUUUCUUGAAUUUGGAUGCCACAUGCAUGACUUUUCAACAAUUCUCCACCUCGGUGAAAAUUUGUCCAAAUCUGAGCCAACUACCAACGAACCAUCAUCCCCAAAGUGGCUGUAUCUCUGUGACUGCCUACGUACCUAAAAUUUGGGAUCAAGUCAACCGUAGUUCAAAAUUUCCGAAGGACAUAUGUUAACACAAGCGAAGGAUUUGAAUUAGUUUCAAGCAAUGUUGAAACUUAACUCCAGAAACUACUUUUGUCAACAUAUCUGAUGAAUUAUCUUUGGUAUCGAUCUUUCUCAACAACACAACGCUGCUUUCAAUAAUCUCUCUCACAUAAUGAUAUUUCACAUCUAUGUGCUUCGUCCGAGUGUGAUAUGUUUGAUUUUUCGCAAGGAAUAUCUUACUUUAGUUAUCACAAAAGACCGCAAUGUUCUCCUGGAUUACUCCUAAAUCACCUAACAAGCCUUUCAACCAGAUAGCUUAUUUUGCAGCUUCAGUUGCUGCUAUAUACUCUGCUUCCGUAGUGGACAGAACAAUUGUCGAUUGUAGAAUCGACCUCCAGCUAAUCGGACCUCCACCCAAUGUAAAUACGUAGCCCGUUGUUGAUCUUCGCUUGUCAAGGUUUCCAGCAAAAUUAGAAUCACAAUACCCAACACAUUGUUGACCAUAAUCAUUCUUGAACAGUAACCCAACAUCAACUAUCCCAUACAGAUAUCGGAGAAUCCACUUCAUUGCAAGCCAUUGAUUUUUACCCGGAUUGUGCAUGUAUCUACUAACCAUGCUCACUGCUUGAAAUAUAUCGGGUCUUGUGCAUACCAUAGCAUACAUAAGACUACCCACAACACUAGCAUAUGGAACAAGAGCCAUGUAAUUGCGUUCCUCUUGAGAUCUAAGACAUGAAGAUAGAGCUUAAUUUGAAAUGAGGAGCUAGAGGUGUACAUACCGGUUUAGUUUUGUCAUCUAUACCGUAUCUUUCUAGCACUUUCUUCAAAUAAGAAUUUUGAGUCAACCAUACGCUCUCAUUCUUCUUGUCUCUACGAAUCUCCAUCCCAAGUAUUCUCUGUGCAUCACCCAAGGCUUUCAUCUCGAACUCAGAAGCCAGCUGCUUCUUUUUUCUUUCGAUCUCAUCUCUAUUCUUCGAAACUAUAAGCAUAUCGUCGAUAUAGAGUAACAAAUAGAUGAAAGCUCCAUUAGUAGUCUUCUAAAGUAAACACAAUGAUCGUGUUCACUUCUGGUGAAUUUCUGCCUUUGUAUAAAUUGAUCAAAUCUUUUGUACCACUGCUUUGGCGACUGCUUCAGUCCAUACAAAGAUUUAAUCAACCUACACACAUGAUUCUCCUUUCCAGUAACUUUGAAACCACAAGGCAGAAUCAUAUAGAUUUCCUCCUCCAAAUCUCCAUGUAAGAACGCCGUCUUAACAUCCAACUGAGCCAACUCUAACUCAUACUCUGCAACUAAAGCGAGUAUGAUACGAAUAGAAGUAUGUUUUACAAUUGGAGAGAAAACUUCAUUGUAGUCAAUACCUUCCUUCUGAGCAAAACCUUUUGCCACGAGCCUUAUCUUGUAUCGAGGAGUUGAUUGAUUCAGAGAUCCUUGCUUUUUGGUGUAGACCCAUUUAUUGCUAAUAGCCCUUUUCCCCUUUGGUAACUUUACAAGUUCCCAAGUCUGGUUUUGAUGGAGAGAUUUCAUCUCUUCCUCCAUGGCUAACUUCCACUGAUCAUUUUCACUGCUACAUAAUGCUUCACCGAAAGUGUUGGGGAUGUCAUCAUCAAUAAUUGGAAGUGCAUAGGCUACCACCAUAUCUUUGGUAAGCCAUUCAAGUUUCUUUAUCUCUCUUCUUGGCCUACUUCUUGCUAUAAAAUCAUCAUUAUCUACAUCAUCAAUUGUUUCUUUAUUUUGUGGGACAUCAGAAGAAACAACUUCUUCUUCAACUCUAGGUGUCACCUCCAUAGUUGAACCAUUCUUUAAUGUAGAACUAACUGGUACAUAUGGAGUUGCAUCAAACUCCACCCGCUGCAAUACCUCUUUGGUCUUAUUCUCCACCUGCUGAGAACUUGAAGCUUUCCUAAUUGAAGCUUCAUCAAAUGUGACAUCUCUACUACACACAAACUUUUUGUCUUCAAGAUCUCAAAGCUUGAAGCCCUUUACUCUACCUUUGAAUCCCACAAAGAUAGUUUUUCUAGCAUGAGGAUCCAGUUUACCAUCUUUGACACGAUAAUAAGCUGGACACCUGAAUAUACGAAGGGAAUCAUAGUCUUGUGCAUGCUUUCCAGGCUGUAUUUCCAUAGGAGUUUGACCUCCAAUUGCAGCAGAAGGCAACCGGUUUACCAAGUGACUUGCGUAGCUCACAGCUUCAGCCUAAAACUUUUUAUCUAAACCAGCAUUAGAUAAUAUACAUUGUACCUUCUCUAGUAAAGUACGAUUCAUACGCUCAGCCACACCGUUCUGUUGCGGAGUAUGUCUCACCGUGAAAUGUCUUUUAAUACCCUAAUUCUAGCAUACUUGCAAGAAUGGAUCAGAAGUAUAUUCACCCCCAUUAUCAGAUCGUAAUAUUUUGAUCUUUUUGCCAGUUUGAGUCUCCACCAAUUUCUUUUAUUUCACGAAUCUCUAGAACCUUAUCAUUUGCUCGUAUGGUGUACAUCUACACACGUCUGGAGAAAUCAUCAACAAAUGUAACAAAAUAAUGGCUUCCACUAAUUGAUGCAGUCUUGAUUGGUCCCCAUACAUCACUAUGAACAUAUUCAAUGAUCUCACGAGUAUCGUGAUUAGUUGUACCAAACUUGACCCUUAUUUUCUUGCCUACUACACAAUGCUCACAGAAAUUUAAUUUACAGGUUUUGGUACCUUUUAAGAGUCCAUACCUCAUCAAAGUUUGCAAAGACUUCUCUCCAGCAUGUCCCAGUUGUACAUGCCACAGCUUAGUGGUGUCACUAUGUGCCUCAACAAUAUUUGCUUCAUCCGUUGUACCUCCCUUCAAAUAGUACAGAUUGUGACGCCGAACCCCUUGCAGAAUUACCAUAACCCCAUGUGUAAAUUUUAUUGUACCAUCUUUAAUGGUAACCUUGUAGCCUUUAGCUUCCAAAGCACCCAUAGAAAUUAGUUUUUUCUUUAAAGAUUGAACAAAUCUAACUUCUUUCAGUUCUCUGACCAUUCCAUCAAACAUUUUGAGCCGAAUUGUUCAUAUCCCCAUUGUGCGACAAGGUUGAUCAUUCCCCAUCACAACUGCACCGGAUUCCAGAUUACGAAAAUCUGUAAACCAUUCCUUAAUAGGACACAAAUGAUAGGUUGCUCCAGUAUCAGGUAUCCACUCGCUCGAACUAGCCACAUAUGCUGCAGGAGUGAUACUUAGUGAAUAAUCAGAGUCCUCAUCUUUCCAUGCCAUGUUUGCUGCUGCUGGUUUCUUCCCAUCUCUCUUUUGAGCCUUUGGACAAUCUUUCCUCCAAUAGCCCUUUUCAUGACAAAAGGCACACUUAUCUCGAGCUAGAUUUUUACUUCUCGAUUUGGAUCGAGAAUUCUUUCCACCACACUUUUUCUUUUUCUCCAUCGCCCAAUCUCUGCUCACUAAAGCUUCAGACGAUGCUCGUUUAGAAUUUUUAUCAUUAUUUCGAAUCUCCAAGUUAGUCAAUGUUGUGCAAACAUCUUUGAAGACAAUCACACUCUUGCCAUAUAUCAAAGUAGUCACAAAAUGGCUAUAUUCCUCUGGCAGUGAGUGUAACAGAAUUAUAACAUUGACUUCAUUUUUAAUAUAUUCAUCAAGAUUCUUCAAAUCAGCAAGUAACUUUUCAAAUCUUGAGACAUGAUCGUGCAUUGACUCCCCAGGCUUCAUUCGAAAACCAUAUACUUGGCUCAUUGCAUGAAAGACGAUUUUCAGGACUUUUCAGCAGGUACUUCUCCUCCAAUGUACGCCAUAAAGUUACCGCACACUCCUUAUCUUUCACCAAGUAUUUCACCUCCUUGGUCAAACAAGAUCUGAUCUGACCACAAGCUUUCUCAUUCAUACGAUUCCAAAUUUCUUCAUCAUAUAAGUGUCUUUUAUUUUUCAGAACAACAUCAAGAUCGAUUUGAAUAAGGGCAUCCGUAACUUCGUGCCUCCACAUGCCGAAGUUGAUUUUCCCAUCAAACUUUUCAACAUUGAUCUUUUUGCCUUCUAUAACAAGUGCUAAAUAGCGAUUUGACAAAUCUCGCCUCCCACCUGAAGUGUCUCCUGAAAUAGUCUCGGUAGAUCUCUCCCCAAUUCUGGAGGUUUCACCUUCUACCAUUUUCUCAACGAAUUAUUUCCACUUGAAAAACAGUCUCUAUGAUAUUAAUUUCGCGUGAAUAAAUGCACCAGGAAAGUUUUCAGGAGACUGGACGGGAACUCGGUCCCAAUUAAAAACCAGAAUCCUUAGACUCUUAUCGCCUUUGUUGACAGAAUUUUCUUAGACAUGCAAAAAUACACACUACUUUCAAUAGACUGUCUCCCAAGUACAAAUGGCCGACUCCACCGUAUUCAUGAACAGAACCGUAUAUGGGAAUAGCACCAUAUAUGUGAACAGUACCAUAUCCCCCCAAGUACGAACCGUCGGCUUUGAUACCAUUUGUUGUGCGCGAAAUGUGAAAUCAAGCGCACCGAAUAAUUACAUAAAAAUAAAGAACACAAGAAUUACGUGGUUCAGUAAUUAAACCUACAUCCACGAAGGCAAGAAAGAAUAAUUUUUUAUUUAACAAUUAAUAGAGUACAAAUAUUUGAGUAAUGAAUCUCACUUCCUAGAAACCCAAAUAUACCCAAUACUCUUACACUUUGCAUGAAAGAUAAAUUCCCCAGACACACUUCUCUCACUUCUCUCAAAAGCUUAGAAACUUAUAAGCUUAAUAAUUUUAGGAUGCUAAAGAAUGAAAAAAGUGCCAUCUAUUUAUAGAGAAAACAAUGGCACUAUUGCACCAACCCCUUUACUAUUUCACCUAACCUAAGCAAAUUGUCAAUGGUGUCCAUUUGGCAAAUUUGACAAAUUUGCCAACUUUCCAUUUUUUCUUCAAAUGUUUGGUAGCUCUUUGAAAAUUUGCAUGCUUUCUUGAAUUUGGAUGCCACAUGCAUGACUUUUCAACAGUCAAAACCCAACCAUAUGAUGACGAUCAAGAACCCAUACAUGCCACUCAUUACCAUACCCUUGUCGGCAGUCUACAAUAUCUUACAUUCACCAGACCAGACAUCACUCAUGCUGUCAAUAAAGUUUGUCAACACUUCCAGAGCCCUACUAAACAAGACCUCAAGGCUGUUACUAGAAUUUUUUGCUAUCUCAAAGGCACUCUCGACUUGGCCUUCGAUUCCUUGAAUAAAGCUCCAAUCUACUGUAUGCCUUUUCGAACUCUGAUUGGGCUGGUUGCCUUGAAACAAGACGUAGCACGACUGGCUUUUGUGUUUAACUUGGGGCAAACUUAAUCUCAUGGUGUAGCAAGAAACAAAGCACUGUUGCACGCUCCACUGCUGAAGCAGAAUAUCAUGCUUUAUCUUCCAUUACAGCUGAACUAACUUGGAUUCUUUCUUUAUUGCAGGACAUUGGGGUCUCACCAUCACACAUUCCUCACCUUCUUUGCAAUAACAAGAGUGUCAUCUACAUGACAACCAACCCAGUGUUUCAUGCUCAUAGCAAGCGUAUAGAAAUUGACAUUCAUUUUGUUCGUGAAAAAGUCUCUCAAGGACUCCUUAAAGCCACGCAUGUUCCAUCCUUAUAGCAAACUGCAGAUGUCCUUACUAAACCAAUGGGCAAAGAUCUUUUCUUUCUCUUUCGACACAAGCUCGACGUUUACUUUAUAACCUGGCCGAUCUUUAGGGGGGCUGUUAAGAUACAUUGCCCACCAAAUGUGGAAUUCGAACAGUCACAACAUAUGAACCACAUGCAGCCACAUGAGUCACGUACUAACAUGGAAAAAAUCAGCACACCAACUCAACCGCACAUUAACAAGGCAAGUAGCAAACCAUUGAAAACAAAUAUGGCAAUCUGUAUUGCUCUUGCCAAAGGCUUGCAACAAUCAUCUCACACAAUCCUGUGACAUGCAAACUCACUAAAGAAAGAUGGCCAACUAUUAUUCAAGUCCAGAUUCUCUUCAUAACUUAGCCAACGACUAGUCAACGACCAAGCUUGGAAUUAAUCACAUAAUUUCUAUAAAAUGUUUCUUCCAUAUAUAAUUCCUCUACUCGUGCAAAAAUACCCAAUCUUGUUCCUUAAAAACUACAGUCGAUAAAACUUUUAAUCCUUUUCAAUACUCUUGAAUUUUAACAAUUAAUUGCUAAUUUUUACAUUUUAGAGUUUUAAUUUUUUUACUUUAGUAUUUCUUUUUAUUUAGCUGUUACUUUUAAUUUUUAAAAUAUUAAAAAUAAAUAAAUAGACAAUGGUCCAAGGGUUUAGCAAGUGCGUACAAGUAUUGGUGUUUUAUAUCCGUAUCCAAUUCACCCAAUGAAUAGGUAUAAAAUUUUAUAUUUGUAUCCAAUGUUUUAUAAAAUAUGGAUAAAAUUAGACCCGACACCCAAUGUUAACGUAACAUGCCCUUAUACUUGUACAUAUUUUUUGUCAUCCCUAUAUAGGACUAUAACAAAGCCAACAAGCCUAUCUAAUGAGACUGGACCAUAAUUUUAUUUAAUAGAUCUUAGGCGUGGAUCAAUCUAGUUGCUCACUUUUGAUACCUUUGGUUGCUAUUUAAGUAGCAUUUACUUCUCAGAUUAGAGCAAGAAUUAUGAUAUUGAGAGUGAAAAUAAAUUGUUUACUUACACUGCAAGGAAAGCAUAGAAUAGGAAUCCAAAUUCGAUUUAUGUGUUUAUUUGUCUUAGAUUGGGAGUCGGUUGUUUUAAAUUAUAAUUUUACCUUUAUUUAAAGAAUUGUAGAUUAAUUACAAGUGAAAAAAAUAUAUUUGUGAAAUAAACUAUUUAUUUUAUUAUUAAUUUUAAUUAUAUAAAUUAGUAAUAAUUAUCAAUAUUCUUAAUUAUAUAAACCACAAUGUUUUAUUUAAUUUUAAUUUAAUUAAGUAAACUAAAAUUAUUGAUAAGGAUAACACAAAUGAAACAUCAUUAAUAAUAAUACACUACAAAAUUAAUAUUUUCUUAGAAUAAAUUAAUUAUUAUUAUUAAUAAUUAAUAUUAAAGAAAUAUGAUACAAUUAAAAUUAAAUAAAUAUAAUUAUAUUAUAUUUAAUAAAAAAAGGUAUAAAAAGAAGAAGAUAUCCUCUUGGUAGUGGAAUCCUCUUAAAUUUCUUGCCAUAAUGAUAGUCUCAUCUCCUUGGUCACCUCACCACGGACAAAUUUGCUAAAUUUCUAUUUUGAGCGACGUUGUUUUGUUCUCCAUGCUUCCUACCCAAAAAUCCACAAGCGGUGACUUCAUUCAACUUUUCCCAGCCCACUGACAGUGACGAGCGUCACGCCCACACCGUAUCUAUAUCUAUAUCUAUAUAUAUAAAGCUAGGACUUAAGGAGGUGAUGUGUUAUCACCAUUUUACUUCUUUGUAUAUUCUCUAUUAUCUAAUAAAUAGAGUUUUUUUUUUAGAUUUGGCUUUUCAUCUUCUCAUAAUUAAUUUGAUUGUAUUUAAUUCAUUUAAUAAAUAGUAACAUUAUUAAUAUAUAUCAUUUCUCAUCUUUUUAUAUUUUCUAUUAUCUAAAAUAUCUAAAAUAUUGGUGGAUAUUCUUUGUACUUUUUUUUCUCUUUCUAUUUAAAUUCAACAAUAUGUAAUCAUUAAUAAUAAUUAAUUAUAAGUGUUUUGAAACAUUUAUUUAUUUUAUUAUGCUUGCAAUUAAACUUUAGUGGCAUAAAAUACAUGAAUUAAUUAACAUAGGAAGAGAGGUUCUUUCAUUUUCCCUCAACAAUGCCACUACGGCCUAAUUUUAAUGUCAUAAUUCCAUAUUUAAUUAUGCAACCUUUUGUUGAGUGUCUUUUGGCUUUUUCAAAAUUUAUUAUGCUAUCAAUUAAACUUUAGUGCCUUAAAAUACAUCACCUAAUUAACAUUGGAAGAGAGGUUCUUUCAUCUUCCCUCAACCUCAUCUUUUUAUAUUCUCUAUUAUCUAAAAUAUCUAAAAUAUUGGUAGAUAUUCUUUGUACAUAUUUCUUUCUCUUUCUAUUUAAAUCCAACAAUAUGUAACCAUUAAUAAUAAUUAAUUAUAAGUCUUUUGAAACAUUCAUUUAUUUUAUUAUGCUAGCAAUUAAACUUUAGUGGCUUAAAAUACAUGAAUUGAUUAAUAUAGGAAGAGAGGUUCUUUCAUCUUCCCUCAACAAUGCCACUAGGGCCUAAUUUUAAUGUCAUAAUCAUAUAUUUAAUUAUGCAACUUUUUUUUUAGUGUCUUUUGGCUCCUUCAAAUUUUAUUAUGCUAGCAAUUAAACUUUAGUGGCUUAAAAUACAUCAAUAAAUUAACAUAGGAAGAGAGGUUCUUUCAUCUUCCCUCAACAAUGCCACUAGUGCCUAAUUUUAAUGACAUAAUCUCAUAUUUAAUUAUGCAACCUUUUGUUUAGUGCCUUUUGGCUUCUUCAAGCUCUCUAAACACUAAAUAUUUAAGAUUUGUUAUGUUUAGGGUUUUUUUAUUAUUUAAUCAACACCCUCUUUAGAAAAAUACUUGUAUUUUUAUUGUUUGAUUUAUUUGAAUUUUUGGUAUUGUGUGCUUCAUGGAGUACUCUUUUCUUCAUGAGUUGAACAAUGAUAAAGAUAGUUAGAUAAUAAGGGUUAGGCUUUGUAGGAUGUGGGAGUCUACUAAUACUAAAAAAAAUGGAGAAUUGAUUAGUGUUGAUAUGAUUUUUAUUGAUGAAAAGGUUGUAUAAAAAAUUUAUUCUCCCAUUGUUUUCUCUAAUUUUUUUCCCAAUUGUUUCACACUUAAUGUAGUAUGCGUUUUUUUUUUUUUUUGUAGGAAAAUCUAAUGCAUGCAUCAAUCAAGAAAACUUUAGUGACAAGGUUUAAGCACAUGUUGAGUGAGGGUUCUUUGUACAAUGUCAAGAAUUUGAAAGUUGUUUCAACUACAAGCAAGUACAGACCACUUUCAAAUCAGUAUAAGAUUAUUUUCUUGGUUAUAACUUCUCUUAAGAGGUUAGAAGAAGGAAUUGUCAAGAUUCCAAUUAAUGGAUUUUAAUUCGUAUCUCCGAAUUUGAUUGAUGUACGUGUGAAUGAUAACACAAUCCUCUUAGGUAUUUUUUUAAUUGUUAAUGUUUGUUAAUCUUUGAGUGUAUAUUAGAAAUUAUUAAUCCUUAUGUUUUAACAUGUUUAUGUUAUUUUUCCAUAAUAUUACAGAUGUUAUUGGAAGUUUAUGUGGUGUGGGUGAUAUUGAGAUCGUUGGAGCUGGUUGGAAAAAAGAGAUAUAAAAAUUCUAACGGAUUAGUAAGUUGAAUAUAAUUAAGAAAACUAUGACUUUAUAUUUUUUAGUUAUUUACGUUAUUUUUUAGUUAUUGGUUCUCUUUACAUUAUUAACUUUUGUUAAUUUUUAUGGAUAGCUCUGUAACAACGAAGAUUACUUUAUGGGGAAAGUUAGGAGAGAUGUUUGAUCCAAACUUGUACAAGAAAGACGAGGGUCCUUGUAUUGUGAUAGUAACUUCUACAACCAUUAAAAAAUUCCAAGAUGAUUAUUUUAUUUAGAUCCCACUAAUUAACAUUUUCAAAUGCAAUGUGGCUAUUUUUAUAUUAUACAAAAAUUUAGAUUUUGUUCAAGUUUCGUUUUACGUUACAUUUGCUCUAAACAGGUGAGGAUAAUUUCUCUACCACAAGUGCAAGCAAAAUCUAUAUAAAUCUUCAAAUAGAUUAUGUAGCAUCAUUAAUUGAAAGAUUUUCCAUUGUCUCCAACAUUGUGCAAGUUAUUGAAAGUUCGAAUGUGAAUAAGAUUACUUUUGAGGAAGAGAUGUUCCUUAACAUGAUGAGCAUUAAAGAACUGUUGGAGGCUGAUUAGAGUUCUCAAGUGAAGGUGAUUUUUCUAUUUUUUUUCCUUCUCAUCCAUUUGUGUUAUUUGUUCCUAAAUAUUGGAAUGUCCUUAUUAUUUUUGUAAAUGUUUAUUGUUUAAUUGUAGGAAUAUAUUGUUACUGUGCGGGGCAAGAUUAGUGAAAUAGACAACUCCUUUGGAUGGUACUAUGUUUCGUGCAAAACAUGCAUAAAAAAGGUCAUACCUACAAAUGGUAUUUAUAUGUGUGGCACUUGCAAAAAGGAAUGUGACUAUCCUCUUGUGAUGUAAGAAAAAUAAUAUUAUUUUUUAAAAAAAUUGCUUAUUAUGUUGUUAGUUUUUCAUUCUAAUUCAUUAUUCUAAUGUAGGUACAAAAUACAUAUAAAAGUCAUGGAUAAAACGGCAGAGACAACUUUUGUCUUAUUCAAUCAUGUAGCUGAGAAGUUACUUGAUACAUCCGCCCACAAGUUGUUUAAUAGACUAUCUUUAUAUAGUAAGGAUGUCCCUGCAGAAAUUCAAAGCCUUUGUGGAAAAGAUUUUGUUUACAAACUGAAAUUGAAUGAUUACAAUUUGAAAGAGGGACUUGAGAAUUUUACUGUGUCAAAGCUUUUCACCCCUGAUGAGAAAUUGGAGCUAGAACAAGAAUUGAAGAAGAACAAAAAGGUAUUAUCUACCUAUGCUAGGUUCAAUUUGUAGGCAAUAUAUGUAAUGUUAAAAACAAUAUUUAAUUGUUGUUUUUUGUAGGAAAAAAACAAUACAGAUCAUGAAAAUGUGGAAAUAUAUGAAAGAAAGGAAGGACAUUCCCAAGAAAUGGUAAUUUUAUUUACCCUUAUUUCCCAGUUGUUUUACUUUAUGAUUAAAAUUAGCAUGUUCAGUUUACUCAUAAUUAUAAUUUCCUUGAUUAAAAAAUUACAGGAUCCUCAUGAUAUCUUAUCAAAUAAUUUGGAAGAUUCUGUGGGAGAUUUUCAUGUUACUAAUGCUGGUAAGAAUAAAAAGAGAAAAAACCAAAUUAUUGAUGAUGAUGAAGUUAGUGAUGGUGGAAGUAAUCAAUACACAAAACAUGUUUAGUGUUGUUGUUGGUCGUCUUUUUACAUGUGUGUUAGUCUUUUGACCUUUUUUCUUUUUAGAGUGGUAAUAUUUAAGUGUGAUAUGAUAUGUCUUAUUUUUCUAUCUAUGUAUGUAUUUGUUUUGAACGAUUGAGAGAACUUAUUUUUCUUGUGUUAUAUUUCUUUCUUGGCAUCUUGCUUCGUUCUAUAGAUGAAUGUAGAUAAUAAAUUGGUAGUGACAAUGCAAAAAAAAGGCUUAUCAUCAUCAACAAGUGAUAGCAACAGAAAGAAACGCUAGACGCAAAUAAUUGGAUUAAUCUCUACACUUCACUUGCGAUAAAAUAUAAAUUUAAUUUUUGUUACUUUGAGUUUCAGACUUUCAAUCACCGAAAUCUGAAAAAUGAAACCCCAAAGAUCUAAUCCGAACACUUAAGAUUGAGAUCAAUAAGUUAAAAAUAAUAGUUAUAUGUAUGCUUAUACCACUUAACACAUAAUGUUUCUAAUUCAUUGAUUGAUAUUGUGAAUAAUCUCUUGGGUAAAUUUUGAAUUAUUCCAAAUUGAUUAUUUUUAAAUUACUUCCUUAUUUUUAAAAACUUCAAGUUAUUUUUAUUUUUGCUUAAAAAAUGAGGGGAGAGAGGUAAUUUACAUUUUUUAAAUUAUUUUAAUUACGAAUAUUUUUUAAAUUAUUUUCCUUACUAACAUUAUUUUAAUAUGAUUAGUCUACUGAACAAAUGAAUCUAUUCAUAUUAUAUUUGUAUUUAUUGAAAAUUUUUCAAUUUCAAUUUUUUUUAACUCUUUGAGAAGAAACCCUCCCUAAAUUCUCUAUCUUCCAUCACAAAUCAAUCUCCCGAAGUCUGUUGUUGAUCGGCUUUAUAAACUUAAAGUUUGUAAUGCAAAACCGAAAAUCUUUUUUUCGUUCAUUUGUUGCCCUCUCUUGCUCUUUCUAAUCAUUUUAACCAGCCAUCAACUUGGUCAAAUUAAGUGACUCAAGUCCCCGCACGAGGACUUAAAUGAUGAAACUAAUGAAUUGGGCACCUGAAAAACUCCGCGUUUUGCUCUGUUUUUGAUGUAUUAACGUCCAACAUGAUCCUAGCCUUAAAUUCCAAAGUUACCCAAAACUAAUUUGGGAGUAAUGUUUUACUUAAUUUACAUUUUAGUUGCCUAAGAAAACAUUAUUGUUCUCCAAUAAUAAAUAAAAUAAGUGGGAACUUUGAAAAUUCAAACACAAAAAAAGCUCAUUUGAACCGUUGGUUUUUGAUAGCUGCUGUAUUCAAGAAUAAAAAAGUUAAGAAAAGAUGAUAACGUAUAAAAUCUAAAAAUAGCAUUGAAAAAGAGCCAAAAGAAAAUCUGGAUAAUAAUAAUAUCAAUGUCCCUAUAUUUUAUCAAAUAAGGAUAUUGUUUAUCAAUUUAUAUCAAAUAGGCUCCUAACCGAGAUUGAAUAAAGAUUCAAUGUUGAUCUAAUUUUUGUGAUGAAUUUUAUAAAGGUUUUUCGUCUGAUUAAUAGUUUUUAAAUAACAAUAUAGAUACAACUAAAUUUUAAUCAUAUAUUAUUAUAAAUAUACACAUAUCAAAACAUAAAUAAAUAAAGAUUAACACUUAAUCUAGAUUCAACAAAAUUGGAUUUUGAAUGACACAUAUUUAUAGUUUAAUAAUUGAAAGGUGUUUUAUUAGUGAUUGUAAAAGAGAUUGGGACUUAUUUGAUGCAAAUAGACAAUAUAUGUUUAUAAAACAUUAAAAGGAAAAAGUAAUGGAUCCAAUUAUUAUCACUCUGAAAAGAAAGCACAUUGUUUCAAAUCUUCACAAAAUACAAAAUACAAAAAUGGAUUGUUUAUUUUUUCACAUCAUAACAUAUAAUUUAAUUAAUAUCGGAAUGAAGGUUCUUUUAUCUUCCCUCAACAAUGCCACUACCAAGGCCUAAUUUUAACCCUAUAAUCUCAUAUUUAAUUAUACAACAUUUUGUAUCUACUUUUUUAUUUAUAGAUAAGUCUUAGUGAAUAAUUAAUUUUCAUCUUAAAUCUAAUUAACAUUAAUUUAAAGAAUUGAAACUUAAGACGGUUCCUUUAGCAAAUGUUAAUUGCUAACAACAAGUUUAAGAUUUGUUAAGUGUUUAAUUGCAACCCAUUAACGGCUUUGACAAUGAUUGAGGUUUAAAAGAAAUAAAGAAAGAAAUGGGGAGACGUCGUAUUACAUUGGUUUUAUUAUCAACAAUUAAUUAAUCAUUAUAUCAUUUUCAAUUAAUUAGAAAACAUUUAGACUCACGAGAUCUUGAGGUAAUAGCAACAUUAUCGACUAAUGAUUGUCUUGAAGAUAAGAAAGACGCAAAUUGCUAUAAAACACAUCAUUUGCGUACCAAUUUCACCCAAUAAUUGAAAAUUGAAAAAUUUCUCAUAAAAUUUAAACCUAGAUAAAAUAAAUAAUAAGAAAACAAUAGUUAGCUACCGUCAAUAGAAAAAUGAAAGUCGGGUAAAAGACAGAAGAUUUGGUUGAGAAAUCAAUACUAUUACAACACUCACGUUGUUAUCCAUGUCUCUUAAUUGAUUAUAAGCCUUGACUACAAGAGGCGAUGUGACAUCACUAUUUUACAUCUUCUUAUAUUCUUUAUUAUCUAAUAUAUUGGUUGAGAUUAAAAAAUAAUUAUAUUAUAAAAUAUUAAAAAUAGAAUAUAAUUAUUAGGUUACAAAAGAUUACAUGUCUUUUCCUCUUUCUAUUUAAAUUCAACAAUAUGUAACCAUAAUAAUAAUUAAUUAUAAGUCUUGAAACAUUCAUUUAUUUUAUUAUACCAACAAUUAAACUUUAAUGUCUUUAAAAAGCAUCAAUUAAUUAAUAUAGAAAGGAAGGUUCCUUCAUCUUCCCUCAACAAUGCCACUAGGACAAAAUUUUAAUGUUAUAAUUUCAUAUUUAAUUAUGCAACCUUUUGUUUAGUACUUUUUGGCUUCUUCAAAUUCUAUAAAUAUUAAGUAUUUAAGAUUUGUGGCAUCAUUAUUUAUCAUCUCUUUAUAUUCUCUAAUAUCUAAUAUAUUAGCUUAAAUUAAAAAAUAAUUACAUUACAAAAUAUUAAAAAUAAAAAAUAAUUAUUAGAUUACAAAAGAUUACAUGUCUUUUCCUAUUUCUAUUUAAAUUCAACAAUAUAUAACCAUUAAUAAUAAUUAACUAUAAGUCUUGAAACAUUCAUUUAUUUUAUUAAACCAACAAUUAAACUUUAGUGGCUUAAAAUACAUCAACUAAUUAAUAUUAGGAAUGAAUUCUUUCAUCUUCCCUCACCAAUGCCAUUACUAGGGUCUAAUUUUAAUGUCAUAAUCUCAUAUUUAAUUAUGCAACCUUUUAUAUAUAUUUUUUUAAAAUACGAUAAGCCUUAGUGAAUAAUUAAUCUUCAAUGUCAAAUCUAAUUAACAUUAAUUUAAAGAAUUGAAACUUAAGACGGUUUCUUUAGCAAAUGUUAAGUGCUAACAAAUUUUAGAUUUAUUAACAUCCAUGGAACUAGCUGAGAAGGUCCACUACUCUACUAUUUCAAUUGAUCAAUAAUGAAAAUCAAAAGCCUUUGAUUUUUGCCCAAACUAAUUCUUCUUCUUCAUAUUUUCUCUGCUAAACCCAGGUAAUGUUAAUAAACUCAACUAUAUAUAUAUUGAUUUACGUUUUUGUUUUCAAUCCAUGCAUUGAAAGCUUAGACCCGUUUAAGAAUUAUUAGUAGACACAUGUUUUAUCAGUGUCAUCUUAGGAUGACAAGAGGAUCAUAUGUCUAUUAAUAAUUCUUGAAUUGUCCCAACUUGGACAGUUUGGGAAUGCAUAAUUUUUUUUAGUUCCAAGUAGGUGAAGUUUUGUUUCACGUAAAAGGAAAUUUCGAUAGCUGCUCUUCAUGUUCUCUGGGUACAUACUAGAUGAAUGCAUAAAUCUAGGUCGUGUACUUGCAAAACUAUGGGGAGAUGCUGUCGAAAUUUCUGUAAAUGUGGAAGAAACUUCACCUACUAGGGAUUGAAAAAAAUUGUUCAUUCUUAAAUGGGAUUUAUAGGACCACCUACCAUUUGUAAAUGUGAAGAGAAUGUUGGAAAUUGGGGAAGCGAGGAGCUGAGUUGGUAAAUGUAAUUGGUUGUGGUUUUGCUGAGUUGAGUUGAGUUGUUAAAGAAACCAUUAUUGGCUGUUAACAAUCACAAAUUCUCAUCAAACAUUUAGUUGAAUAUGCCAAACACACAGACUAUCAUGCUUUAAUUUCUUUAGAGUAUGACAUGUUUGAAGUUUGAUAAUUGAUUCCAAUUAGGCUAUAUAUAUUUAUAUUUUGGUAUUUAAUUUCUUUGGAUCAAUUUAAUUUGAUGCCAAAUUGUCAAUGCUUUCUAUUUGUUUAUCCUUAUCGAAUAAGUUUACUCGAUUUCAUUAUUAUGAAAACUUAGUUUUAAACAUAAUAUGUUGUUCUUAUUUUCAUUAACACCGGAUUACUUUGUUUUAACAGAUUACUGCUCAAUUGUCUUUACAAUUGUUGCUGUCUACUUGUUUGCGAAAAAGCAUAAGGUAAGAAAGAAAAAUCUUUGAAUAAUCUUUGGUUGUCUAAUUUAUGCGAUUUACACGUGGAGGUAUUGAAGAUUUUCACUUUAAUUUUUCAAUGCAAACUUUGAAAGCUUAGACCCAUUUACGAAUUAUUAGUAGACACAAGUUUUAGCUCGUGUUUAUAUUUAUUGACUAAUUAAUCUCUGGUGUAGUUUUAUUUAAUUGUUAUAUAAUUCGCAUGCAGGAGGUACAAUUAAAAGAGGCGGGUCUUUUCUGAACGUGAACUAGCUAUAUUUGACUCGGAGGAUCCAGUGUCAAUCUGGAUAUUUGGUGUUUUGUGGAAAUAAACAGAUAAAAAAGGUUUAACUAAAUGCUUAAAUUGUUCUCGACUGCAUUGUACAAUGUACUUGACUAUUGAGUGAUAGAUUUUGCCUGUGUGAUUGGAACAAUGCUAAUGAUUCUAAUAUUUAGUCCUAAUUGAUGUGGUACAUAUCUUUUAAAUGAUAAAAUAAUAAUUUUAUGAAACUAUUCAACUGCUUUUCUAACCUUCAAUUUUUGGUUUGAAUUGAAUUUUAUGAAAUUCGAUAAAGUAAACAGAAAAAUUAAUGCCUCCCAUUUGCAAGCAUUUCUAGGAAAUCUUAGAAGUACAAAAUAGCAAACUUCGAAAUGUCUUAAUUCAAUAUCAUUAAUUUGACUAUUGACUUCUAAAAAGAUGCAAAAAAUAAUUAUGAACAAACAAUUAUUUCACAAUACAUGUAUGCAAUAUUAUUAAUUCUUAUGCAAACAAAAAAAUUAAUUGAUUAAUAACUAUUAACUCUUUGUGAGUGAAAAAAGAUAGAGACAAAUGGUGGAAAAAACAUAUCAUUUUUACAGUUCACCAAAUGGGGAAGCUGGAAAAAAAGAUAUAAAAAGUUUUAACAGAUUAAUAAGUCGAAUAUAAUCAAGAAAACUAUGACUAUAUAUUUUUUAAUUAUUGUUUUAUCAUAAGAAUUGAUCGACAAUUUGACUUCACUAAUUUUAUUAGUUCUUUCCUAAUUUUUAAUUUUCUUUUUCACUAAAUACAUCCAAUAUUUGUUGAAGAAAAACCGUUAAAGUAAAAUGAAAAAGGAUAUAGCCCUUAGAGAUUAUUCAAUGUAUUCACAAGAAAAAUUAAUUAGAAAAUAUGUUCUAAACAACAGUACUUGGCAGUUAGCAUAAUUAAUAAAAGAAAAAAUUUAUGAAAAUCACUCUAAAUCCAAAUGGAAUGUAGAAUGAACAACCUCAAUUCCUUGAAUUAUUGCCUAAUUAUUUGUUCUAAUUCUUAAGAAAAACAUUUUUUUUCUUUUCCUCACACCCCACCUCUUCAUAAGCACAAAUAAAAAAGUCAAGUGGUAAUAUUCAUAUUGAAAUAGGGAAUAAUAAUAUUGGUGAUUUGGAAUUAAAAAAAGUAACCAAUUGUAUAAUAACGUAAUUCGAAACUUUCGAAUUUAAUGAUAAUACGAUAUCCUUAUAAUGAGUUUUUCUCUUUACAUUAUUCACUUGUGGCAAUUUUUAUGGAUAGCUCGGUGAUAUCAAAGAUUACUUUAUGGAAAAAGUUGGGGGAGAUGUUUGAUCGAAAUUUGCACAACAAAGAUGACAGUCCGUGUAUUGUAAUAUUAACUCCUACAACCAUUAAAAAAUUCCAAGGUGAUUAUUUAUUUAGAUCCCACUAAUUGACAUUUUCAAAUGCAAUGUGACUACCUUAAUAUUAUACAUAAAUUCAGAUUUUGUUCAAGUUCUGUUUUAGUUCAUAUUUACUCAAAAUUAAUUGCCUUUAAAUUUACAUUAGAACUGUUAAAGUGGAUUUUUGUUGACUUUCUAUAUUAAUUUAGGGUAUCGUAAUUAGACCUAAAAUCAAUCAAACUUAGAAGUUUGUUCUGAAAAAAUGUGUUAACGUUGUUUUUAAAUACACAAUUAUGGAAACAAUUCAUAAUUAUUUAUCGGUUUGAAAAUAACAAAAACAUUACAUUAAUGAUUAUUUUGCAUGGAUUGAUUUGAUAAUAUCACAACUGAAAAAGCUCACAAUGUACCCACCAAAUUCGAAGAAUAAUAACCUAAUAAAGAAGUAAUCUAAAAGCCUCUUUCAUGGCUAUAAGCACAACAAAAAUUAAUGCCAAUAUGACACUUGCAUGAGUUUAAAAUUAAAUUGAAUUGGUUAAAUUAAAUCCCAUUUUAUUUUGUUUUGUUUUUAGUGAUUUUUUUUGUUCUUUCUAACAUAUGGUAUGUAUUCAUUCGAAAAAUUCAUUGCAAUUCUUAUUUUCAUAAUUGAAAAAUAUUUUUUAUCUCUUUUGAAAAAAAACAUUUUAUAUUUUCGGUUUCUCUUGUUAUGAUUUGUAAUAAAACGUUUUGCUAAUUUUAGAAUAUUUUUUUAUAUUGAAUUCACUUUAUUGUUCACCAGAGUAAAUGGAAUUGAUUUUUGCAACUAUUAAUGAUUUUGGUGACUCAAGGAAUAUUCCGCCAGAAGUUUGUCUCUUGCGGCAUCAACUUUCAUCUUUAGCUCGGCACGAAAGGACUAUGAAAUUAAAGCUUAGGAAAUGUGGAUCAAAUUUCCAGUGCGACACAAUAAACAAUGGAUAUGUUGUCGUGAAGAAGGCCAUAUUCAAGCAUGCAAGAUUUAAGCAAAAAAUUAUGAUUAUUCAUAAUAGAUAUAAACAUGAUUUAAAAAAGGAGAAUCAUUUUGAUGCUACAAAUUGUGAAUUUUUACACAAAAUGUAUGAAGUUGGACGACAUUAGAAGUGACAAUAAAUUGCUUCACUCAAACGGUAUGUGAUUCUUGAAAAUAUGAUUUUUAUUCCUACUAUACAAAUUACAAAAAUUAUCCCUAUAUAAUUUAAAUUAUUUAUGUUAAUAUAUAUUAACAAAUAUAUAUAUUUCUAACAUAUUUCAGUUGGGAAUUUCCUUCAAUCUCCUGGUAAAGCUGGAUAUGAUAAUAAUAAAACAUCAUCACAUAUAAAUCCAAAGAGUCAAACAAACAGAGGAAAGCGCCUUCUUCACACAGGUACGUAUAUAUAUUUACAUUUAUCAAGCUUUAUUAGUUAUUUGUCAUACUUGUAAUACUUGAAACUAAUAACUUAUUCAUUACUUUUGGAACUUUAAAAAUAUGCAGUUGAACAUGGACAACUAAAAAGAGCGUGUCUCUCUUUUGAUGAGAAUAUAGAUCAGUCUACAAGCUUUCCACUGGAUGGUGUAACAUCAAAUAAUGGUACAUAUUUGCAUGAAACUACAUGAACAAUGAAAAUAUUAAUAUAUUUAGUAAUAUUUUUUCUUACCAUAUUCACUUAGACGAAAUAAGAUACUUUGUUACAAUAUUAUUAUUUGUUGAAUUUGACAGUUCAUUACACAACGCCUUGGAAUUUUGGACCCCCUACAUACACAUGUCAAUAUUGUGGUGCCAUUUUAUGGUACGAGGAACGAAAAAAGAAAACCAAAAGGUUCUCACAUCCCAAAUUCACAUUUUGUUGUAUGGAAGGUCGUGUACAGAUUCCAUUCAUGAAAGAAACACCUCCUUUACUCCAAUAUCUUCUCGGAGCAGAUUCUGGACAAAAGGGUUCCAAAUUUCGAAAAACUAUCAAGGCUUAUAACUCCAUGUUUGCUUUCACAUCUAUGGGAGGUCGAGUUGAUACAUCAAUCAAUCGAUCAAAAGGUGCUUAUGUUUUCAGGAUGAGCGGUCAUAAUUAUCAUCACAUUGGUUCUUGUUAGCCUAUAUGGCUAUAAAUAUUGAUUUUGAUGAUAACAAACCACAUGUAUUUUAAAAGCUUUGAUAAUGUUUUUUAAAGUUUUGGAUUUGGACUUAUUUGAAAUUAUUUAAAUGUUUUUGGGGUCAUUAUAUAAUUUCACAAAGUUUGGGCAAAGUCAUAAUUUCAGAAAGUUUUGGGAUUAAUGAAGCAUUACUUAAAAAAUUUUGAAAUUGGACCUAUUUGUAAAGUUUCAUAACGUUUUGGGCCAUACUAUAGUUUUUAUAAAGUUUUAGGGUCAAACUGAAAAUAUAAAAAAAAUUUCACUGUAGCAGGUUACUGUAACAAGCGGCUUACCGGAUACUGAUAAACGACAAACCGGUUUCGGGGCAGCAAGCACCCAGAACGAAAACGGCUUACCGAAUUCCGAAUCCGGCAAGCCGGUUAGGCAAAAUUCAAAAUUUUGCCUUAACGGUAACAUAAAUCCGGCUUACCGAAUUCCAUAAAACGGUAAACCGGAUAGCCCAGAAUGUGAGUAACGGCUAGUUUUCGAGCUCAAGCUAUAAGAACUCAAAUUCAACUCAUUUUGAAGCUCUCCAACAAGCAAAAACAAAAAGCACACGUGAUAUCUUGAGUCUUCAACUUGUCAAACACAAAACAUUGAAUCAUUCAUUGUUCUUCAUCAUUGCAUAUCUACUCAUUGAGUGAGAUUUAUUGUAAUCUUCAUUUCUUCAUUUCAUUUGUAAGAAUUUGAGUGUGUGAAACACUUGAGUGAAGAGAUUGGGAGAUAAUCUCUUCGUUGUAAAGGUUUAUUGACACCUCGAAGUCAAUUGUAAUCGGUUGAAGCCUCGAAAAGGCUUGGAUAGUGAAAUCCUCAAGCUUGGAUUGCUUGGAGGCGUGGACGUAGGCGGGGAUUGCCGAACCACGUAAAAAUCCGUGUGUUUGUUUCUCUUCUUCCUUACUCUUUAAUUAUUGUGCCUUUAUUAAACUUAUUGCUUUCAAUUUUUAUUAAGGCAUUAGAUUGUUUGUUGUGUGGAUUUGCUAGGAUAAUUUUUAAAUUUUCAAUUCACCCCCCCUCUUGGGUUGCACACUUAUAUUUCAUUUGGUAUCAGAGCGAGGUGCUCUUAUUUAGAUUUAACCAUCUAGAGCUAAAGAUCAAUGGCAACUCAAAAUGAUUUCACAUUUAGGGAAGGGCAGUCCACCACUAGACCACCUUACUUUGAUGGAAACGAUUACCCAUAUUGGAAAACUAGGAUGAGAAUUUACUUGCAAGCCUUAGAUUAUGAGAUUUGGGAAAUUAUUAAUGAUGGUCCUUUCAUGCCUUUGACUAAAAAUGAAGUAGGAGAAGAUAUUCCAAAACCUUCACGGGAUUGGAAUGAAUUCGAAAAAUAAAAGCUUCUUUAAAUUCCAAGGCCAUGAAUGCCUUGUUUUGUGCACUAGAUAAGAAAGAGUUUCAUAGAGUGUCUAGUUGCGAAAGUGCUAAUGAGAUUUGGCACAAACUUGAGGUUGUCUAUGAAGGCACGAACCAAGUGAAAGAAUCUAAAAUAAGUAGGUACACUCGACAAUACGAAUUGUUCCAAAUGGAACAAAAUGAAAAUGUGUACUCUAUGUAUGCUAGAUUCACGGACAUAGUGAACACUCUAGGAGCCCUAGGAAAGACUUUUUCAAAUAGCGAAAAAGUCAAGAAAAUCAUUAGGUCUCUACCUAAGGAGUGGAGACCAAAAAGGACUGCCAUUGAGGAAGCCAAGGAUUUAAAUGUGUUACCUAUUGAUGAUUUAAUUGGCUCUCUUAUUUCAUAUGAAGAAGAUUUGGCAGCUGAAAAAGGGCAUGAGGAAACAAAGAAGAACAUUGCUCUCAAGGCUUCAAAACGUGAGAGUGAUGCGGAAAGCGAAAUGGAUGAUGAGGAGCUGGCUAUGUUGGCUAGAAGAUUCAGAAAAUUUUACAAAAGGAACAAUGAGCAGAGAAAGUUCAGAGCCUACAAAAAUAAGAAGGAAAAGAAGGAGCCGAUCACUUGUUAUGAAUGCAAGAAGCCCGGACACAUACGACCGGAAUGUCCUCUUCUCAACAAAUCCAAGAAGAAGGCUAUGGUGGCCACAUGAGAUGAUAGUGAUGAGGAAACAAGUGACGAUGAUGAGCAACAAGAAAUGACAAACUUAGCUCUCAUGGCCAUUGGGGAAGAAUCAUGUGAUGAACUUGAUGAGGUAAGUGUUCUUCCUACAUAUGAUGAAUUGCAUGAUGCUUUUAAUGAUUUGCAUGAUGAGCUAAUGAAGAUUGGUAAAAAGAAUAUAAGUCUUAAAAAGAAGAUGAUAGAGCUUAAGAAUGAAAAUGAUUCAUUUAGUGCAAAGAUUACACGCCUAGAAUUAGAAAAUAAGACAUUGCAUGAUAGUAUUGCAUUACUUGAGAAUUCUAGCACUUCACAUGAGCACUUAGAGCCACACAUGAAUGACUUGAAAAAUGAGAAUGAAAUGCUUAGAAAGAAGAGUAAUGAGUUAAAUGAAAUUGUGUUAAGAUUCACAAAUGGGCAAAAGAUGUUGGACAAUUUGCUAAACUCACAAAAAUGUGUAUUUGACAAAAGUGGCAUAGGUUAUAAACCGAAUUUAAAACAAAAAUUUUACAAGAGUUAUUUUGUGAAGAAUACAUCUAUUAACAAUAAAAUUGUAUGUCAUUAUUGCAAUCAAGAUGACCAUAUGAAAAAUAGAUGUGCAGUGAAGAGAAAUGCAUAUUAUGGUAUGAAAUGUGUUUGGGUUCCGAAAGGAACCAUUGCUAACUCUCAAGGACCCAAAAAUGUUUGGGUACCUAAAGCUUGAGAUUUUCUCUACAGGGCUCAAAGAAGAAGAAGAAUAAGUGGUACUUGGACAGUGGCUGUUCAAGACACAUGACAGGGAAUUAUUCUUGGUUUUCAAGCUUUACCAAGAUCGAAAAUGGUGGAGAUGUUUCGUUUGGGGAUAAUUCAAAAGGAAAAAUCAUUGGGAUUGGAAAUGUCGGUAAUGUAUCCUCUACUCUCAUUGAAAAUGUGUGUUUGGUUGAAAACUUGAAACACAAUUUGCUUAGUAUUAGUCAAUUAUGUGAUAAAGGAUAUAGAGUUAUCUUUGAUGAAUCGAAGUGUCUUAUUGAGAAUGCAUGUGAUGGGAAAGUCUUGUUUGUAGGAAAUAGAUGUGUUAAUGUCUAUACCAUUAAUAUAGAUUGUGCAUCAACAAAUGAGAAAUGUCUUUCCGCAUUGCAUGAUGAUGGUUGGUUAUGGCAUAGAAGAUUAGGUCAUGCAAGCAUGGAUUUGAUUUCAAAAAUCGUGAAAAAUGAUUUAGUAAAAGGUCUUCCAAAAAUCAAUUUUCAAAAAGAUAGAACUUGUGAAGCAUGCCAAUUUGGAAAACAAAUCAAAACUUCCUUCAAAAGCAAAAAUCAUGUUUCCACUUCAAAACCACUUCAAUUGCUUCAUAUAGAUUUAUUUGGACCUUCUAGAUAUGCUAGUUUAAGUGGCAAAUAUUAUACAUUUGUUAUUGUGGAUGAUUAUUCUAGAUACACAUGGGUAUUGUUCUUAGCUAAUAAGGAUGAUGCCAUUGAUGCAUUUCAAAUUUUCUUUAAGGUUCAAAAUGAAAAAGGUUAUUCUAUUACUUGUAUUAGAAGUGAUCAUGGUGGAGAAUUUGAAAAUCAUGCAUUUGAAAAUUUCUGUAAUGACCUUGGCAUUGAACAUCAAUUUUCAUCACCUAGGACUCCACAACAAAAUGAAGUAGUAGAGAGAAAGAAUAGGUCUAUUCAAGAAAUGGCUAGGACCAUGUUGAAUGAAAAUUCUUUGCCUAAGUAUUUUUUGGCCGAAGCCGUCAACACCGCUUGUUAUGUUUUAAAUCGGGUGUUGAUUAGACCUAAUCUCAAUAAAACUUCAUAUGAGCUUUGGAAAGAUAGAAAACCCAACAUUGGCUAUUUAAAGUUUUUGGAUGCAAAUGUUUUGNNNNNNNNNNNNNNNNNNNNNNNNNNNNNNNNNNNNNNNNNNNNNNNNNNNNNNNNNNNNNNNNNNNNNNNNNNNNNNNNNNNNNNNNNNNNNNNNNNNNNNNNNNNNNNNNNNNNNNNNNNNNNNNNNNNNNNNNNNNNNNNNNNNNNNNNNNNNNNNNNNNNNNNNNNNNNNNNNNNNNNNNNNNNNNNNNNNNNNNNNNNNNNNNNNNNNNNNNNNNNNNNNNNNNNNNNNNNNNNNNNNNNNNNNNNNNNNNNNNNNNNNNNNNNNNNNNNNNNNNNNNNNNNNNNNNNNNNNNNNNNNNNNNNNNNNNNNNNNNNNNNNNNNNNNNNNNNNNNNNNNNNNNNNNNNNNNNNNNNNNNNNNNNNNNNNNNCGAGGUGUUACCACUAGAUCAUCUCUUAAGAACACAUGUGAGCAUGCUGCAUUUAUUUCUCAAAUUGAACCAAAAUCCUUUGCGGAUGCGGAAAAUGAUGAAUCUUGGAUUAUGGCAAUGCAAGAGGAGUUGAAUCAAUUUGAGAGAAAUAAUGUGUAGGAGUUAGUUCCUAAUCCAGAACAUCAAUCCAUUAUAGGUACUAAAUGGGUGUUUAGAAACAAAAUGGAUGAAUCCGGUGUGGUUGUAAGAAAUAAAACUAGAUUAGUGGCUCAAGGUUACAACCAAGAAAAAAGAAUUGAUUUUGAUGAAACUUUUGCACCUGUAGCAAGGCUAGAAUCCAAUAGGAUGUUGUUAGCAUAUGCAUGUCAUAAGGAUUUUAUUUUGUAUCAAAUGGAUGUCAAGAGUGCUUUCUUAAAUGGAUACAUUAUGGAGGAAGUUUAUGUGAAACAACCUCUUGGUGUUGAAAAUGAAAAAUUUCCAGAUCAUGUGUAUAAGUUAUCCAAGGCUUUGUAUGGUUUAAAACAAGCACCUAGAGCUUGGUAUGAUAGGCUUAAAAAUUUCUUGUUGGAUAACGAUUUUUCAAUGGGAAAAGCGGACACAACUCUUUUUGUUAAGCAUAAGAACCAAGACAUACUUAUUGUUCAAAUUUAUGUUGAUGACAUCAUUUUUGGUUCUACUAAUGAGUUGUUGUGUAAAGAUUUUUCAUCAUGUAUAAGCCAAGAGUUUGAGAUGAGUAUGAUGGGAGAGUUGAAGUACUUCCUUGAACUUCAAAUCAAACAAAACGAGGAAGGAAUUUUCAUAAACCAAGCCAAGUACGUGAAAGAUCUACUCAAAAGAUUUGGCUAUGAUAAUGGAACGGCAAAAAGCACUCCUAUGAGUACUACCAUCAAGCUGGACAAAGAUGAGAAAGGUAAGGAAGUUGAUAUCAAGACUUAUCGAGGUAUGAUCGGAUCCUUACUCUACUUGACUGCUAGUAGGCCUGAUAUUAUGUUUAGUGUUUGCUUGUGUGCUAGAUUUCAAUCUUGUCCUAAAGAGUCUCACAUGCUUGCUGUCAAAUGCAUUUUUCGAUAUCUAAUUGGCACUAUUAAUCUUGGCCUUUGGUAUCCUAGAGGAACUCAUAUUGAUUUAACCUGUUAUUCGGAUGCCGAUUUUGCUGGGUAUAAGGUUGAUAGAAAAAGUACUAGUGGAACAUGUCACUUCCUAGGCCAUUCUAUUGUCUCUUUGUUUAGUAAGAAACAAAACUCGGUUGCGCUUUCAACCACCGAGGCAGAAUAUAUUGCCGUAGGUAAUUGUUGUGCACAAAUUUUAUGGAUGAAACAAACCCUUAGAGACUAUGGCAUUAUACUUGAUCAUAUUCCUAUCUUAUGUGACAAUACUAGUGCUAUAAAUCUUUCCAAGAAUCCCAUUCAGCAUUCUAAGACUAAGCAUAUAGAAAUUAGACAUCAUUUCCUUAGAGAUCAUGUUCAAAAAGGGGAUGUUGUAAUUAAAUUUGUUUCCACUGAAAAUCAACUUGCGGAUAUCUUUACAAAACCUCUUAGUGAAGAGCUUUUUAUAAAGAUAAGACAUGAGCUUGGAAUGAUGAAUGUUGAAUCUUAAUUCAUGCUUUAUUACAUAGCUUGAUAUGCUUGUUAUCGUAUGGUUUUAUGCUACAUGAAUUAGAUAACUUGAUAUGCUUGUAAAUUUGUGAUUUUAUGAUCUUGUGCUUCAUGCAUUAAAUGGCCUAUUGAAAAGUUUUAAAUCUCAAAAUGAUUUAAAAUAAAUCAAAUUUUAAGGCCAUAAAUAAAAUGGUGUGAGUAGUACAAGCAUAGGAGCUAGCAAAUUUUCCCUUUCCAUUCAUCCGGAAAAACAUUUCUCCUCAUUGAUCUCUCUCGGAACACAUUCCGGACAACCGGAUUUGCUGUGCUUCAUCUCUGCCUCAUAACCGGUCUACCGGUUAUCAAACAAACGGAAAGCCGAAUUCUUUUUGCAAACUAGCUGGAGCAAAACCGGAUUUCCGGUCCAAGACAAUCCGGAAAACCGGAUUUUUGAAAACUCUCGAAACCGGCCUGCCGGAUGAGGAAACCGGCAAACCGAAUUGCUUCUUUCUACUCUCGGGUCAAUUUUCGGAUUACCGGAUUUAGAUUUCGAAAAGCCAUUUUCGGCUUUGUCCAAAUCUGUCCACGAACCGGCUUGCCGGUUAGCAAAUCCGGCAAACCGGAUUCGUGCUCUUUAUAAACGGUUCAAAAUGGCAGCUCUCGGUUUUAUUUUCGGCUAACCGGAUUUGCAAUCCGGCAAACCGUUUUUGUGUGUCUUGAAUCUGUCCACGAACCGGCUUGCCGGUUAGCAAAUCCGGCAAACCGAAUUCGUGCUCUUUUAUCACUAUUCAUCUUCUCCUCUCUUGUUUCGAUUUUCCAUUUCUAUUCUCUCUCUAAAAACUGAUUGUCUCUCUCUCAUUUUAACUUCAAAAUCCACCAUUUUCACUCGGAUUUGAUGUAAAUUCGUCCAUGAAUCUUGAUCCCCAUCCGUUCUUUUGCCUAAACUCACACUCAAAACUCAUUUUCAAACUCCAAAUCUCUAUAUCCGAAUCUUAACCUAGGUUUUGGGCCGAAUUUUCUCACUCUAGAUUUCUCACUCUCAAGCCAUUUUUGAUCCAAUUUGUUUCACCAAAUCACUUUCAAUCUUCAUCAUCAUCAUUCUCCUUAUCUUUUUCAAUUCCAAAUCACCAUGUCAAGCUCUAGGCCGGUCCGAAGAAAAGGCAAAGAACCGGUUCAACAAACCACACGGCCACGGGAAGCAAGGGUCAUCUCAAAUCAAUCCACCUUUGAGUCCAUUCACUUUCAGAACAAGUAACACUUGAUCAAAAGGUUUCAUCAAAACUUUCGGACUCGUGAGGUACUCAACACUUUCUUUGUUUUACCGGAUGUUUUACAUUCUCUCCAGAUUAGUCAUAGAACUUUAUUUCAAUUGUUGGGAGAUGUUGGUUGGAUUGAUGCAUUGUUGAUUGAGGAGAAUGUGUAUCCCGACUUGGUGAAAGUAUUUUACUCGAAUAUGGAUUGUUCCGCGGAGAAAGAGAAUCGAGUAAUCACCAAAGUUGGAGGAGUUUUGAUUGAGUUUGAUGAUUCGGACUUGAACAACAUCCUAGGAUCUUCCGAUGAUGGCUUGGACAUUUUUUCUCUUAGGAAACCUCCUGAACUUGAUGAUUAUGUUCAUGUUGAUGCCGUUCGUAAUAUUUGUCGGCGUAAUGAUCUUUCUGUUGAAGACUGUACCAUUCAUUUCCGUUCUCAGUGUCUUUGUCUUCAAACUCGUUUUUUGCUUCGUAUCAUCCAGUCCAUUGUACUUCCUAGAUCAGGACAUUUGGAUGAGGUGUCUCACAUGGAUGUCGCCAUGAUUGACUGUAUUCUUAGAGGUCGCCCGGUUGACUUGGGUUAUUCCAUCAUUCGCACCAUGUUGAGCAUUCCUGCCUUGAUUACCCGCUCUCUUCCUUAUGGUCACUUCAUUACCCGAAUUCUUAAAUUCUUUGAAGUGUCGAUUCUAGAACCUUCUUGUAGGCCGUCCAAGGGUAUUGGGGAUGAGGUUAUUGUUGGGUUAGGCUUUGAGUGGAAGGAUGACACUUGGGUCAAAUACAGCGAUAACAAGUUUACCUUUUUAGCCCCAAGUGAUGAUCGGCCACUUAAUGCUGUGAUUCCAGCUGAUCAGCUUCCAGUAUUCUCACUCUUAUUUCGAGGGCAGCGUAGACGCUGAGUUUCUUCUACGGUUGCUUCAGCUCCUAGUGCAUCUGCAUCCGCUUCAUCACCUCCACGGCCUCCUACCUCUGGAGAUGUCACUCUUCAGCAGCUUAUGGAUGAGGUGCGGACACUUUCGGUGCGGCAGACCGAGCUUCAGCAGGAGCAGCAGCAGCAGCUCAUUCAUGGACAGCGCCUCCUCUUCGAGCACUUCAGCAUUCCAUAUCCGUUUCCACCUCCUUCACCUCCAUCCUCACCACCUGAGUAGUAUCUUGUGCUUGUACUUGGACACACCUACAUUUCAUUUACUGCAUUGUGUGUUCUUUUAUUUUUGACUCUAUGGAUGGUUAUUGUGCUUUUCGGUUUAUGUAUUUGUUUUGGAUUAUAUGGAUUUGGUAUGACUAUUUAUGUUGGAUGUUAUGGAUAUUGUUUUGGUUGAUCAUUAUGGAUUAUAUGGAUUUUCUUAUGCUUAUGGAUAUUUUUUUACUAAUGUGCUUAUGUUGCGAUUUUGAUCAUUGAUAGGGGGAGCUCUCAUUCUCUUAUUCUUUUAUUCUUUUUUAUGAUGAAGGGGGAGAAUGAUUUGAUAUGUGUUAUGAAAAUAUGCAUGUAUCUAGGGGGAGCAUGUAUGCAGGGGGAGUUUUUGUUAAACUAUUUUCAAAUCAUUUUUUUUACUUGCAUUGAUUAAGGGGGAGCUUUUUCAUAACAAAAUUAAAGUUUUGAAUGUGCUUUGUCAUCAUCAAAAAGGGGGAGAUUGUUAGCCUAUAUGGCUAUAAAUAUUGAUUUUGAUGAUAACAAACCACAUGUAUUUUAAAAGCUUUGAUAAUGUUUUUUAAAGUUUCAGAUUUGGACUUAUAUUUGAAAUUAUUUAAAUGUUGGACUAAAAUGAAAGUUUUUNNNNNNNNNNNNNNNNNNNNNNNNNNNNNNNNNNNNNNNNNNNNNNNNNNNNNNNNNNNNNNNNNNNNNNNNNNNNNNNNNNNNNNNNNNNNNNNNNNNNNNNNNNNNNNNNNNNNNNNNNNNNNNNNNNNNNNNNNNNNNNNNNNNNNNNNNNNNNNNNNNNNNNNNNNNNNNNNNNNNNNNNNNNNNNNNNNNNNNNNNNNNNNNNNNNNNNNNNNNNNNNNNNNNNNNNNNNNNNNNNNNNNNNNNNNNNNNNNNNNNNNNNNNNNNNNNNNNNNNNNNNNNNNNNNNNNNNNNNNNNNNNNNNNNNNNNNNNNNNNNNNNNNNNNNNNNNNNNNNNNNNNNNNNNNNNNNNNNNNNNNNNNNNNNNNNNNNNNNNNNNNNNNNNNNNNNNNNNAACAUAAAUUCGGCUUACCGGAUUCCAUAAAACGGCAAACCGGAUAGCCCAGAAUGUGAGUAACGGCUAGUUUUCGAGCUCAAGCUAUAAGAACUCAAAUCCAACUCAUUUUGAAGCUCUCCAACAAGCAAAAACAAAAAGCACACGUGAUAUCUUGAGCCUUCAACUUGUCAAACACAAAACAUUGAAUCAUUCAUUGUUCUUCAUCAUUGUAUAUCUACUCAUUGAGUGAGAUUUAUUGUAAUCUUCAUUUCUUCAUUUCAUUUGUAAGAAUUUGAGUGUGUGAAACACUUGAGUGAAGAGAUUGGGAGAUAAUCUCUUCGUUGUAAAGGUUUAUUGACACCUCGAAGUCAAUUGUAAUCAGUUGAAGCCUCGGAAAGGCUUGGAUAGUGAAAUCCUCAAGCUUGGAUUGCUUGGAGGCGUGGACGUAGGCGGGGAUUGCCGAACCACGUAAAAAUCCGUGUGUUUGUUUCUCUUCUUCCUUACUCUUUAAUUAUUGUGCCUUUAUUAAACUUAUUGCUUUCAAUUUUUAUUAAGGCAUUAGAUUGUUUGUUGUGUGGAUUUGCUAGGAUAAUUUUUAAAUUUCCAAUUCACCCCCCCUCUUAGGUUGCACACUUAUAUUUCAGUUCUUUGUUGCCAGAAGUUGGGAAAAAAACCACAGUUUGCUCAGCUCUAUAUCUAUGAUACUGAAAAUGAGACAGACAACAGAAUCAACACUCUAUUAAAACAUAGAAUGAAGACAGAAAUUGAUCACGAAAUUCUUCAUGAACUAUCUAAAAUGUUGGACCAACAUAAUAAUUUGGUCAAAUCUUUUAGAAUGGCGAGGGAUAGAUACAAAACACAACCAGAAUCUACAUUUCGUUUAUGACUCCUUAAUAGUAGAACAAGAGAUGGCCGUCGAUACAAUAUGCCAACAGUUUCAGAAGUUGCAGGCUUAAUAAUUGGUGAUUUCAGUGAAUCGAACUUUCAACGCGAUGUUAUUAUAGAGCAUCGCACAAAGGGACUUCGGAGAAUCACAGAUUUGCAUCCAAGUUUCAUGCCCAUGACAUACCCGUUAAUAUAUCCUUAUGGUGAAGAUGGAUAUAGACCUGACAUAUCUUUAAGAGACGUAACUGAUAGCCCUUUUAAGAGGCAAAAACUGACAAUGAGGUAAUAUUAUUGCUUUAGGUUGCAACAAAGAUUGAAUGAGGGACACACUCUACUUCAAGCUGGUAUACUAUUCCAACAAUAAAUAGUUGAUUGUUACAUGGCAAUUGAAGAAGAAAGAUUUCGUUGGAUCCGAAAUAAUCAACAAAAACUUAGAUCAAACCUUUUCUCUAGUUUGAUGGAUGUUGUUCAUCGAGGUGAUUCUGAUUGUUCGAAAGCUGGAAAAUCAAUUAUUCUACCUUCAUCACACACGGGGGGACCACAAUAUAGAACACAAAAUUAUGAAGAUCCUAUGGCAAUUUGUAAAUAGGCAGGAUAUCCUGAUUUAUUUCUUACUUUCACUUGCAACCCAAAGUGGCAAGAAAUAAAUAACAUGCUCCGAUUAGUUGGGCAAAAGAAUGAUGACAAUCGAGUCGAUAUCAUAUGCAAAGUUUUCGAGAUAAAAUUAUUCCAACUAAUGCAAGAUCUGAAAAAAGAUCAACCGUUUGGAAAAAUAAUUGCAUGUAAGUUCACUUCAAAUUCGUAUCCAUAACAAAUUCAACUCAUUUGUUAUUGAAAAGUACAAGGAAGAACAAUAAUUUCACAAUUGAAAUCAAUAUUUCUAACUUUUAAAUUUUACUCCAUUUUGUGGCAGGUCUAUAUACAAUUGAGUUUCAAAAAAGAGGCUUGCCCCAUGCACACAUACUGCUUUUUUUGCAUCCAACAAUGAAAAAUCCUUCUGCAGACCAUAUUGAUAAAAUAAUAAGUGCAGAAAUCCCUGACUUAAAUGUUGAUCCUGAUGGUUAUAAUGCAGUUAACAAAUUUAUGAUUCAUGGACCGUGUGGAAAACACAAUUCUCACUCUCCAUGCAUGAUGCAAGACAAGUGCACAAAACAUUUUCCAAAAAAAUUUAAUGAUCAGACAACAGUGGAUACAAAUGGCUUUCCAGUCUAUAAAACGAGAAAUACAGGCAUUCAUGUCGAAAAGAAAAGUGUCUUCUUGGAUAAUCGAUAUGUGGUCCCUUAUCACAGGAAUUUAAUUGUCAAAUUUGAUGCACAUAUUAAUGUUGAGAUUUGUAAUUACUCGAGAUCAGUUAAAUAUCUUUUCAAGUAUGUCCAUAAAGGGUCUGAUAGAACAACUACAACAAUGGAAUCUAUUAACACUAGGAGAAAAAAUGGCUUAGCAAUCGGAAGAAUUUACUUUGCACAUCCUUCAAGUGGAGAACAAUUUUAUAUGCGAAUGUUGCUCAAUUUUGUAAAACGAAGCACUUCAUUUGAAAGUAUUAGAACAGUAAAUGGAGUGACAUAUCCAACUUUUAAAGCUGCGUGCUAUGCUUUGGGAUUAUUAGACGAUGAUAAAGAAUGGAUCGAUUGCUUAACUGAAGCUGCAAUAUGGGCGACUGAAAAUGAAUUAAGACAUCUUUUUGUCACGAUACUCAUUCAUUGUCAGGUUUCUGAUGCAUCCUAACUUUGGAAAUCUAAUUAUACUACUUUAUCAGAAGACAUAACUUCAUUGCAAAGGAAAAGAUUCAGAUUGAAAGAUCUUCAGUUAACCGAGCAACAAGUUGAAGCAUACACAUUGUUGGAGAUUGAAAAUAUCAUGUUGAAAAUGGGAAAAGUUUGAGAGACAUAGAUGGAAUGCCACUUCCUAAUUCUUCUUUGAUAAGAGAUUCAGGUAACCAAUUGGUCAAUGAAGAGCUUGAUUAUUAUUGUGAUCAAUUAAAGAAGUUGCAUGAGAAAUCGUUUGCUGCUCUAAAUGCUUGCCAAAAAUUAGCCUAUGAAGCAAUAAUGCAUUCUGUUGAGAAUGAAGAAUGACAUUUAUUUUUUAUCAAUGGACGUGGUACUUGUAAAAUAUUUUUGUGGAAUACAAUUAUUGCAAAGCUCAGAUCACAUUCUAAAAUAGUCUUACCUGUUGCAACUUCAGGUAUAAUAGCUUUGUUAUUGCCUAAUGGUAGGACAGCUCAUUCGCGAUUUCAUAUUCCUUUGGAUGUGACAGUAGAGUCCACUUGUGAAAUCCGACAAGGCACCUUAUUAGCUAGACUUCUUAUGAAAACUUCUUUGAUCAUUUGGGAUGAAGCGCCUAUGGCACAUAAGUUUUGCUUUGAAGCUUUGGAUAGGACCUUGAGAGAUAUUCUAAGAACAAGGUAUGAAAAUAGUUCUAUCAAACCUUUUGGAGGACUUACAAUAGUAUGUGGUGGCGAUUUCCGACAAAUAUUGCCAGUUGUGCCAAAGGGGACAAGAGCAGACAUUGUUGAUACUUUACUUAACUCAUCCUACUUAUGGCCAUUUUUCAAAAUUUAUGAGCUCAAACAAAAUAUGAGGCUCUAUAAUGGAAGCGUGAGUGGCUCUGAAGCUGCUAAAAUAGCUUCUUUUGACAAAUAGUUGUUGCAGAUUGGAGAUGGUUCAUUAUAUGAUGACAUUGAUAGAGAUUUAGUUAAACUACCUUCUGAUAUCUGUAAGAAACCAUAAGAAAAUCUGAUGAAAUAAAUAGUCGACACUAUCUACCCAUCAAUUCGGCAUAACUACAGUGAUUGAGCAUAUUUGAAAGAAAGAGCAAUAUUAACGCCAAAAAAUGAAAUGGUGCAUGAAUUGAACGAGAUGAUUAUGAAUAUAAUACCUGGUCAAGGGAGAACAUAUUUUAGCUCAGACAAUAUAGGCAAAGCAAGCAAAAACACAAAUGAUGAAGAUGUUCUGUAUCCAACUGAAUUUUUGAAUAGUUUGAAAUUCAAUAGCAUCCCUAAUCAUGACAUACGACUUAAGGAAGGUGCUCCUGUAAUGCUUCUCAGAAAUCUAAAUCAAAUAGAAGGCCUAUGCAACGGCACAAGAUUGGUUAUCACUCGUCUUGGUAAAUAGUCCAUUAGAGGUGACAUCAUUUCUGGAACAAAUAUUGGACAAAAUGUCACAAUUCCAAGAAUUAUUAUGUCUCCUAAUGAAUCAAGAUGGCCAUUCAAGCUUAGCAGACGACAACUUCCUUUGGCUCCAUGUUUUUCCAUGACGAUCAACAAAAGCCAAGGACAAUCUCUUAAACAUGUUGGCUUGUAUCUCCCUAAGCAAGUAUUCACACAUGGUCAAUUAUAUGUCGUCGUGUCUCGAGUUACCACAAGAGAAGGAUUGACCGUACUAAAUGUCGAUCAAGAGGUAGAAGACCAAAACUUCAUAAAAAACAUUGUCUACAAAGAAGUAUUUCAAAAUAUUCACACAUCAGCUCACAAAAUCAAGGUAUCACAUUUUUAGAUUAUAUUUUAAAAUUUAAUUUAUACAUUGCAAGCUCUUACUUCACCCUAUAAUAAUGAUUUUUAUUAUGUGUUUUAAUUAUUCAGUAGACAAAUGGAUAAAUCAAAGGAACUAUCGAGACAUCAAAAUGGUAGUUUGGUUGAGUUUUCCAAGCUGUUAUGGAGGAUUUAAUUGCCAAAGAACAUAAUACGUGAAGAAGCAUUCUUUUUUACAUCAACUAUUUUUCCUUUCAUUCUCUCUAAUCCAUGGAGACAUGGUUUAUAUACAGAUAAAGAACAUUUUGGCACUAGGUGUUGCUGAUCCCCAUUGGAACUUGCCAUAGCUGCAAGCUUGAUAUAAACAACUGCUCACCUCCGCAGCUACAAACGAUGUGAAAUAACUUACAAAAGUCUUUACAUGUAUUUUACUUAUUUUUUUUAUAAUUCAACGCUAAGGAUCCUCAAUUACAAAAUUUAAUUUGGAACUUAUCAACAACAAAAUGUAUAAGGUCUGUACACUUAGACUAUACACGUUAAUAUAUAUUUUUAAAGUUAACAAAAAAUAGUUAACUUUCAUAAAUAACAUUAGUUUUAUAAGGCUGCCUCAUUUUAAAAAAAAUUAAUUUAUAUUUUUUAUCAGUUUUAUCAAGUGUAAAGAAAGAAAAAUUGAUAAUACUAAAUUCAUUUUUUAAAGCCGCGCGAAGCGCGGUUUUAUUUCCUAGUAUAUAUAUAAAGCUAGGACUUGAGGAGGUGAUGUGGCAUCACCAUUUUGCUUCUUUGUAUAUUCUCUAUUAUCUAAUAAAUAAAGAAUUUUUUUUUAUAUUUGGCUUUUCAUCUUCUCAUAAUUAAUUUGAUUGUAUUUAACUCAUUUAAUAAAUAGUAACUUUAUUAAUAUAUAUCAUUCAUCAUCUUUUUAUAUUUUCUAUUAUCUAAAAUAUCUAAAAUAUUGGUGGAUAUUCUUUGUACUUUUUUUCUCUUUUUAUUUAAAUUCAACAAUAUAUAAUUAAUAAUAAUAAUUAAUUAUAAGUCUUUUGAAACAUUUAUUUAUUUUAUUAUGCUAGCAAUUAAACUUUAGUGGCUUAAAAUACAUGAAUUAAUUAACAUAGAAAGAGAGGUUCUUUCAUUUUCCCUCAACAAUGUCACUAAGGCCUAAUUUUAAUGUCAUAAUCCCAUAUUUAAUUAUGCAACCUUUUGUUAAGUGUCUUUUGGCUUCUUCAAAAUUUAUUAUGCUAUCAAUUAAACUUUAGUGCCUUAAAAUACAUCACAUAAUCUCUCUCUCUCUCUCUCUCUCUCUCCACAAUCUCUCUCUCUCACAUAAUCACAUAAACUUUAGUGCCUUAAAAUACAUCACAUAAACUUGAGGAGGUGAUGUGGCAUCACCAUUUUUCAUCUUUGUAUAUUCUCUAUUAUCUAAUAAAUAGAGAAAUUUUCUUUUAAAUUUGGUUUUUCAUCUUCUCAUAAUUAAUUUUAUUGUUAUUACACAAUAACAAUUAUGUAAAGAUUUUAAUGAGGCAUAUUCUUUGUAAUGAACAUCCAAGGGGAAGUGUUAUGAAUUUAUUAAAAUAAAUGUAGAUGGUCAUAACAUAUAUCUCUUACUCUCUCCACUAUCUCCCAUUAGCAACCUUUAGCUUCCCUAUAACUCUCACUAUCUCACAAGGAAUUAUGAUCCAUAAUUUUUUAUUAAUUUCAUGGAGUGAUUAUGUAAUUAUAAAAGGAGAUCUCAUCUUUUUGUUUUGUACACACACAAUUGGAAUGAAUAAAAUCACUCAAUAAUAUAUUUCCUCAUUUCAUUUGUUAUCUUGCAUUACUUAUUUAUUUAUAUUGCUGGCUAAUAGUUUUUUUUGUUUUUUAUAAGACUGUCUCAUCUUAAAAAAAAAUCAAUUCAUAUUUUUUAUCAGUUUCAUCAAGUGUAAAGUAAGAAAAAAUGAUAAUACUAAAUUCUUUUUUUAAAGCCUCGUGAAGCGCGGUUAUAUUUUCUAGUUAUAAAUAAUAAUUAUUAUAAAAUUUUGAUGAUGAUGAUUGAAAUUAACUACCAAUGUUGAAUUCAUCGUUAAGACCCUGAGGGAAACAAAUUUAUUGGCACCAAAAUCUUGAUCUCAAAAUACUGUAUAUAUAUUUUUACUGUCAUGCAUCUCGUUGGUUUAUUAUUUAUUGGAAUUAGAAAAAUGUGUAUUUGCCAUUCGGCCAAAUGAUUCCAUAUUGAAAUAUGAAGAUUCAAUUCCUCCAUCAAUAAAAAAAAAAAAAAAUUGCGUGGAGACUGUUUUCUCCGUUAUAAAAUUUAAGUGAACUAAAUAUUCCUAAAAACUUAGCAAGUAUAGAAAAUAUAAACGGAUCAGUAGUUGUCUGAUUGUAAUAUCAGUCCAAAAAAUGUGCAUGUAUAUGUUUCAAGUAACAACUUUAUUAAGGCCAUUUGAGGUAUGUGAGUUGAGAUUUUAUACUUGUGCCGUGUGAGCUUCAUGUAAUUUUACAUGACCAAGGACGUGUCAGAGUUGACAAACAUUCCAUUAUUAAUAAAGAAUUACGGAUUUAACAUUCAAGAUUAUCGUGUGAUAUAAGACGUUAUUUUGGAAUUUUAUUAUUAUAGGUAUUUUGUUAUUUUUUAUUUUAAUUAGCCCCAUGUUUUAUUCUUUUAUUUCUAUUAUAAUUAUUAUUUAGUUUCCCUUUUUAACUUAACAUUUACUUCAUUAUAAAUAAAUAGGUCUUUUUAUUAUUUUUAUAACUUCAUCUUUAAUUAUCCAACGAAACCCCUCUUUUAAAAUUCCCUUUAACAUUAUCUAUUAAAAUCUCUCUUGUAAAAUCAUUUGAGUUAGAGUGUAAUCUAAUUUCAUUUAACAUAUUAUUAAAUUCUCAUUAAGUUGUUUGCAUUAGAAUAAGAUAUAAUCCCCUUCAAUUAGAAUGUAACCUAAACAUGUAGGCAGUGUUAUCUAUCCUAUCAAUUCCACAAUUAAUUUCACUUUCACUAUCCUACUCUGUCAUCAUAAAGUAUCAAUUCCACUCUCGCUAUCCUGCUUCGUCAUCAUGAUUAAUCCAAAAACUUUGGAUAAAUACAUGCAACCAAAUAUAAGAAAUUAUUUCUAGCUUUAUUGCACCAUUUUUCAUUAGAUUACGAAUUGACUUUCAAGGAGAUUUAAUAUCAAACAACUUUGAUUCGACAAUUACUCUCAUUAACUUCUAAUAUUGCUAAUAAUUUAAAGCUAAAAUUUGUCUUCUUUACUAAUUAGAUCUGAGCAGUGCAGGGUGCUAACACAUGAGUAUUUGUACUACAAUUUUUAAAUUGAUUAAAAGAAAUCGCUUCACUGAUCAGAAUAUCAUCAAUAACUGAAAACAAAAAAAAAAAUUAAGAAUUUUUAGAAUUCACAUGACAAAAAUGUAUACAUAAAAAAUUGAUUUAUGUGGGCUUUGUGAAUCAACCACAGAAAAGCCCACAACCUGAUCCAACGAGACCGACUCUUCUCGGCUACUAAGCAUAAAUUUCCCAAGUUUCAUUGUGAACGACACCGUUUUGUUCUACUCACUGGCCACGCAAAAAUCUGCCAAGGAGUCACUAACUUCACUUAAGUGCAAAUGUCAGUCAUCUUCAUAGUUCACACGUUUAUCAAUAAUUUGAAAAAAAAAUAAAGAAAUUAUCGAGAUUUUUAAUUAAAGAUGCCCUAAAAAUAGUGUAUUUAGUUAAAUAUAUUUUAUAAUUGAAAAUUAUUUAUAUAUUUUUUUUUUAUGUGGUACAUUAUCUAAAAGAGUAAUGAUACAGCCACAAACUCUUGUACAAAUUUAUUUUGUACAAACUGAUGUGGCAUGAUAAGAUUGGUUGAAUUAAAUAUCACUUGGCCCACAUGAUUUGUUUUUAUUAAUUUAUAUUUUCAUUCAACCAAUGAAUUAAUGUCACAUCAGUUUGUACAAAAUAAGUUUGUACAAGAGUUUGUGGCUGUAUCAUUACUCUUUUAGAUAAAGUACCGCAUAAGACAAAAAUAUAUAAAUAAUUUUCAAUUAUAAAAUAUAUUUAACUAAAUACACUAUUUUUAGAUCAAGCUUAGCGAUGCCGUCGACCGUUGUUUUUAUUAAUGUAUAUUUUCAUUCAACUAAUGAAUUAAUGCCACAUCAGUUUGUACAAAAUAAGUUUGUACAAGAGUUUGUGGCUGUAUCAUUACUCUUUUCAGAUAGAGUACCCGNNNNNNNNNNNNNNNNNNNNNNNNNNNNNNNNNNNNNNNNNNNNNNNNNNNNNNNNNNNNNNNNNNNNNNNNNNNNNNNNNNNNNNNNNNNNNNNNNNNNNNNNNNNNNNNNNNNNNNNNNNNNNNNNNNNNNNNNNNNNNNNNNNNNNNNNNNNNNNNNNNNNNNNNNNNNNNNNNNNNNNNNNNNNNNNNNNNNNNNNNNNNNNNNNNNNNNNNNNNNNNNNNNNNNNNNNNNNNNNNNNNNNNNNNNNNNNNNNNNNNNNNNNNNNNNNNNNNNNNNNNNNNNNNNNNNNNNNNNNNNNNNNNNNNNNNNNNNNNNNNNNNNNNNNNNNNNNNNNNNNNNNNNNNNNNNNNNNNNNNNNNNNNNNNNNNNNNNNNNNNNNNNNNNNNNNNNNNNNNNNNNNNNNNNNNNNNNNNNNNNNNNNNNNNNNNNNNNNNNNNNNNNNNNNNNNNNNNNNNNNNNNNNNNNNNNNNNNNNNNNNNNNNNNNNNNNNNNNNNNNNNNNNNNNNNNNNNNNNNNNNNNNNNNNNNNNNNNNNNNNNNNNNNNNNNNNNNNNNNNNNNNNNNNNNNNNNNNNNNNNNNNNNNNNNNNNNNNNNNNNNNNNNNNNNNNNNNNNNNNNNNNNNNNNNNNNNNNNNNNNNNNNNNNNNNNNNNNNNNNNNNNNNNGUUUGUAUAAUUAUGUGUUAUAUUAUGACAGGAAAGAAUAUCUCAAGUUAUUUCCAUUGAUAUUUCUAAAUUUGACAUUAAAAUGAAUUUCAAGCUUAAAACAUUCGAUCCAAUCCCUCCCGUUUCAAUUAUGACAGAUGAUGAUGUAGAUUAUUUUCACGACGAAGAAAAAAAAAUUAUAUUUGCUUGGGUAUUUUAGCUAUGAUAAUUGAGUAGCAACUUGUAUUCCCUUAAAGCUUAUCAUGAUCCUCACAUAUAUUAGACCGAUUUUAUUUGAUGUAAAAAAAAAAAAAGCUUUUCAUGUUUGAUGUAUUGAAGUUUGAUAUAUUAAACCUUAUGUUAAUUGUGUUAUCAUUUUGUUGUAAUUUUGUUCUCUAUUCACUUACUCGAAUAUAAUCAUGUAUUUAUAAAGUUACCCGACUAUCGUCGUGUAUAUAUAAAUUUACUAGACUACAACGGUUUAUUCAUGAAGCCUGACUACAACCGUAUAUUUAUAAAGAUACUUGACUGUAUUUCUGUAUUUAUGACAAUACAUUCUAUUAGUGCAAAAAAUAUAUUUUUUCACUAAAUAUGUCUUUUAAUCAUUACUGGACUAUAGUUGUGUAUUUUUACAACUUACACGACUUUUGUCGUGUAUGUGUGAAUUUACAUUAUAGCAAUAGUGCAAGUGUGAUAAAUUUCUACUUUUUUGUUUCGCAGGUAGAUAAAUAUGUUUGCGUGGCCUAUGUUGAUUUCAAAGGGAGGUGACCAGAAGUUUAUAAUACAUGGGUCGAGUGUUUGGGCUGAGCUUAUUAAUAACUAUGAUGAUUAUGUAGCAACUUCUAUUUUAUUAAAACUUAUUUAUGAUUCGAACAUAUAUGAGACCUAUGUUGUUUGAUAUACAAUAGCUUUUAUUGUUUGUUGAAUUGAAGUUUGAUAUGUUAAAGCUUAUGUUGAUUGUGUUAUCAUAAUAAUAACUAUUUUAGGUGGUUUUUGUUCUAUGUCCGCGUACUCGACAAUAGUUGUGUAUUUGUAAAGUUAUCCGACUAUUGUCUUGUAUAUCUAAUUUUACUUUACUACAACUUAUUAAGAGAUGAAUAAUUGAUAUUUUAGGGAUGGAUGAUGUACGUAUGUUGUUUUAAAGAUACUCAACUACAGUCGUGUAUUUUAGCCGCUCAUUCCUUUAAUAUAUAUGAACACCAUGUUAUAUAACAUACAUUGUACAAAACUAUCUUUUUUCUCAAUAAUAUACUUAACAAAAAAAAAACAUGAAUAUUGAUAUAAAAUCAUCUUUAUGGGUAUUUUCCUUCAAGAAGAAGAAAUUAGUGGCCCAUUGAAUAGUGUUUAUGCGUGCUUUAUGGGUUAUAAGUUAAGCUAUAACAAUUUUGUCAAUCCUUAGCCCGACUAAAAAGUCAUGAAUUGCAAAGCCAAUGUGACACUCGUUGGUGCUUUUAAGUGUUUAUUAUAAAUAAUUGCAAAGCCAAAUAUUUAUUAUUUAUAAUGAAACCGAAAUUUAUCUCCGCGUGAAAAUAAAGGAGUGAAGGCGAGAAAAGAUUCCUCUCCACGUGAAACACAGAUGUUGAAAUGUGUUUGCUAUUCGUUUGAUGAUUCGAGGAUUCACAAUUGCCGAUAAGUCCAAGAAAAAUUCCAAAAAUUAUCUUCCAAAAAUAAAGGAGUUAAUUGUGUGUGCUUUAUGGUAUAACAUUUUUGUCGAUACUCAACCCAACUCAGAAAUCACGAGUUGCACAGUCAAUGAAAAAGAAGACAAAAGUCAAUAAAAGCAAAGACAUUAAGACAUUGACUGAUGAUAGCAUGGUGGGACAUUAAGUAUCCCUUGGCAUUAAAGUAGAAAUUUAAUAAAUUUCUUAUUUCAUAAUUUUUUUAUAAAAAUAAUAUUUAAUAAAUUUUGUAAAAACUAUUUCUUUUAUAAUUUUUUCUAUUUUACUGAAUUUUUAAAAAAUAGGUUGAAAUUUACUUUUCAUAAGCAAUUUAAAUAAGCCACCACAAAUUUUCAAAGUUUAUAUUAUAACAUUAAUAAUUUAACAAAAAAGAUAAUUAUAGCUUAUGUUUCCAUACACUCUAGUUUAUAAGCCAUUACGUAUCAUAUUAGCACAAUAAUUUACCAAUGCAACUAAUGUGCAUUCUCUCCAAUAUCAAAGCUUUGAUUUAGCAAUUUCAUAUUUUUUAUAUUUUAUUUUUAUUAUAAAAUUAAUGAGACUUAUAUAUGAUUAUAUUUUUUUUUUAACUACGAACAAGUCCAUGUGAAAGUUAACCAUGACUUUUAAAAUCAAUUUCAUAACCAUAGCUUUUAACGAUCAAUCUAUUUAUAUUUUUUCUAUAGUCAUGAUAUUUUCGUGCUCAUGCCAAUGAAAUAUUCACACAUACAUAUGCCCAUGUCCAUAAACACACAUAACAACAUAUCAUAUCAACACAUCAUAUAAACACAUGGGCAGAGUAUAUAAAUCAAUAUCUGGACAUAUAUAAAAAUAGGCUUUCCAAACAUGUCAAGCAUAUAUAUUGUUUAUUGUGAUUCGUUUGGAAAUCUAAUUUACUUACCUCCUGGUAUCCUCAAGUAACAAAUGCACAUCGAUAUCAUCGGCCUAAAAAUAAAUAAAAAUACUCUCAUAAAAAUAAAAUUAAACCAUAAUCAUAAACUCCAAUAUUCUCAAAUUCCUCAAUAUAAUCACAUUCCAUACUUAACCUCAAAUAAUCUUAAUUUAAAUCAUAAAUCAUCAAAAUACUCAUAAUUCUUGAAAUUACGAAAUUACCCCCGAAUAUCAAAAUUACCAAAAUGCCCUUGAAUUCAAUAUUACAAAAAUACCCUCAAAUAUCAAAAUUACCAAAUUAACCUCAAAAUCAUAAAUUACCAACUUUAUCCUCAAUUCAGCAAUUACUCAAAUACCCACAAAAUCUGAAAUUACAAAAUUGCCCUUAGACUGUGAAAUUACUGAAAUACCAUUGACGGUCAACGGUCACCGGAAUUCAACUGACGGCGACGGGAAGCUCAGAACUGAAAGUUCAAGCCACGCUGAGUCCAAUGGUGGCGGUGGUGACCUCUCACGCGCGGUGAUGGCUCCGAAUCGAGCUCCCGAAGUCGUGAAUCCUCCAACGGCCGAUCGACGGCAAAACGACGUCCCCGGCAUCAGUGGUUAGUCGAAAAUGGCAGAGGGAAAGGUAAGGAACAAAACCCAAGUGAUGGCUUCACCGGAAACUGGCGAAAUCACGGCGAAUCGAGGCGGGGAUUCCGCGGACCUUCAAAGCUUCGAUCGGUGGCUUUCCGAUCGAUUUCCGGCGGCAAGGACGGCAUGGAUACGUUGCUCGUCUCUCAAGCUUCGAAUCGGUACCAACCUUGACCGGAACGGUGGCCGGAAAUGGGAGAACCGGCCUGGUCGCGCUCGCGGGUCGGGUUGGAUCCAAGUCAAAAUCGGGUCAACUCUCUUUCUCCCUCUCUCUUACCCCUCUCUCUCUUUUUUUGAAAACCAGCUGCCCUUUCUAUAUAUAGAACCCGACUUCUUCUUCCUUUUUUUUUCCUGUUAAGCUUAAUACAAAUUAAGCUAAUACUGGACUCGUGACGAAAAUAAAAUCCCACUAUCCGAGCUUUUAAUCGUGCUCAGUAUAUCUCGAUUUAAUGUUGCGAAAAUUUUAAAAUUAAAUAUCGAAGAGGAAAAAUUACAUCAUACACUUAAUUAGGAAAAAUCAAAGUGCAUAUGUUACACAAAGCUAAGAUGACGGCAGUGAUGGUUGAAGAACUGACAUCUAACCAACUUUGGUAUUGAUGGUAUAGUCAAUGGUGAGACAGAAAUAAUGGUGGACGGUUGGAGAAGCAGCAACAGACGUAAUACCAACUUUUCCUCUUUCUAGCUCUAGUAUAUAAACCAAAUACUAGGGUAGAUGGAUCCAAUUGGUUGAUUGGUGUGAGAAGGGCAAUGGAUUUGAUUUUAGGUGAUGAGGGAAGAAAUUUUAGGGAUUUCCCUUUCGAGAAAGCGAAGAUAUCAGAUUGGUGAAAGAAGGAGGGGGAGAAUGAAUGAAAGAAAUUUAGGGAUUACUCAAGUUGAGAACCAACAUCUCAAGUUGCCUUUCUUUUUCUAUUUUCAUUGAACAUAAAAUAUCAACAAUUAGAUUCAUUUAGUUUUUUUCUAUAAGCAUGGAUGCUGUAAUUUGGCUGGGUGAAUUCUCAGCGGAUGUUCUGUCUUUUGUAUUUUCCAGAAGAUUCAUUUAGUUGAUUCAAACAGUUUGAUUUCAAUUUUCAGUAUGGUGUCCGGGCUUAGUGCCCGGCUUUGGAGCUUUAACCCUUAUACAAUUGAUAAUAUAUAAGAACUUGUAUUAUUGAAUUUACAGACAUAAUAAAUUAUGUGUAAAGUCUACAAUGUACUUCUAGUAAACGACAGCUUUAUGGAUCAAUAAUCCUAGUUUUCUUUCCUAAUUUUAUGAGCAAGUAAGACUCGUUAUAUUUUGCUUCAUUAACAUAGAAUAGUAAAUGGCUUGCCUAGCUUUGAACAAAGUAUUUAGGUCAUUUCACAUGUAAUUAAAUUUACGGCAUUGAUGCCGUAAUGGACGUGGACCAUUAGAAUUGAAUAAAAAAUCUCUACCAUUAAUUCUAAAUAAAUAGGUAACAUGUUACCGAAGUAGCAGGUAAUUACUCUUUUUUGUUCAAAUUCCAAGUUACAUUUACUAAUGUUAUGUGUGAUUUACAAGUUUUAUGAAAUAUUUACAAGUUAAUGUUGAUUUAUAAGUUUUAUACAACAUUUACAAGUUUUUAUUUUGUUUAUAAGUUCUUCUUACAAUUUACAACUCUAACAUUAAUUUACCUAUUUUUCCAUUAAUUUACUAAUUUUAUGUGUGGUUUACAAAUUUUUUGUUUUAUUUCAUACUUAAUGUCAAUUUACAAGUUCUAUGUUAUUUUUCUAAGUUUUUGUUUUGUUUACAAGUUCUUCUUGCAAUUUACAACUCCAACAUUAAUUUACUCUUUUUUCCAUCAAUUUACUAGUUUUAUAUGUGAUUUACACAUUUUUAUUUUCAUUUCACACUUAAUGUCAAUUUACAAGUUCUAUGUCAUUUUUCUAAAUUUUUGUUUUGUUUACAAGUUUUUCUUGCAAAUUACAACUCCAUCAUUAAUUUACCAAUUUUUCCAUCAAUUUACUAGUAAUAUAUGUGAUAUACAUAUUUUUUGUUUCAUUUCACAAUUAAUGUCAAUUUACUAGUUCUAUGUCAUUUUUCUAAAUUUAUGUUUUGUUUAUAAGUUCUUCGUGCAAAUUACAACUCCAAUAUUAAUUUACCCUUUUUUUUAUUAAUUUAUUAGUUUUAUGUGUGGUUUACAAAUUUAUUAUUUCAUUUCACAUUUAAUGUCAAUUUACAAAUUCUAUGUCAUUUUUCUAAGUUUUUGUUUUGUUUACAAGUUCUUCUUGUAAUUUACAACUCCAACUUUAAUUUAUCCAUUUUUCCAUCAAUUUACUAGUUUUAUGUGUGAUUUAUACAUUUUUUGUUUCAUUUCAUACUUAAUGUCAAUUUACAAGUUCUAUGUCAUUUUUAUAAGUUUUUAUUUUAUUUACAAGUUUUUCUUGCAAAUCACAACUCCAUUAGUUUACCCAUUGUUUCAUUAAUUUACUAGUUUUAUAUGUGAUUUACAUAUUUUUUAAUUUACUAGUUGUGUGUCAUAUUUCUAAGUUUUUGUUUUGUUUACAAGUUCUUCUUGCAAAUUACAACUCCAACAUUAAUUUACCCUUUUUUCCAUUAAUUUUCUAAUUUUAUGUGUGGUUUACAAAUUUUUUGUUUCAUUUCACACUUAAUGUCAAUUUACAAGUUCUAUGUCAUUUUUCUAAGUUUUUUUUUUUUGUUUACAAGUACUUCUAACAAUUUACAACUCCAACAUUAAUUUACCAUUUUUUUCAUCAAUUUACUAGUUUUAUGUGUGGUUUACAUAUUUUUUGUUUUAUUUCACACUUAAUGUCAAUUAAGAAGUUCUAUGUCAUAUUUCUAAGUUUUUAUUUUGUUUACAAGUUCUUCUUGCAAUUUACAACUCCAACAUUAAUUUACCCUUUUUUCCAUUGAUGGUUGUCGAAGCCAACAAAAAUAAAUUCCUACUCUAAAUAAAUUGUGUAUAGUGAUUGAGCAGGGUCGUGUCCACAGAGAUCGGUAAUUAUUUAAAUCCUUUUGAAACGUAAAACGUAAAAUGGGGGAAUUGUUGACAAUAAUAAAAAUCAAAUUGAAAUAACAAGAAUGCAAAUUAAAGUUGUAAUUCAAAUUGGAGAAAGCUCUGGUUGAAGGAAUUAACUCAGCUUGAUUCGACUACUGAUCAUUGAUUCAAAUAUAGAUUAUUAUUACUUAUGAAUAGACCGGUUAUAGCUAUUGAGACCCUCUAAUAGCCAAUCUCUCCUUAACUAGUCGAUAACCAAGGUACGACCGUUGGUUAUUUCCCUAAUCAAUGGACAACCCUAGAUACGAUCAUAGGAUUUAAUCAAUUGACAGCCUGAAAAACCAGAGAGACACAAAUCCUAAUCAACACAUAUGAUGAUUCAUUUAAAUUAGAUUGUUUAUUCUCACAACACAACUCUCUGCUAUGUUAUUUGUCACAAACAUUAAAUUCUUCAUACGAUGAAUCCUUUAAUUGACAAUAGAUUAAGUUAAUAAUUAAAUAGUGGCCAAUUAUCUAAUUAACAAACAUAAUCAUGAAAAUAAUUCAGAGAAUAAACAAAUACCCAAAAAGCAAUAAAACAAUUAAAGCACAAGAAAGAUCUCACAGUAGUGAUGAAUCAAAGCUUCAUUAUCCUUCAAUCAGAAAAAUAGGUUUAGUUCUUCAUAGAGAGAAGAGAAAAAUUAAGAUCUAGGGUUUUCUUUCUUUUCCUCCAAUCCAAAAUCCCUCCCUUUUUCACAUUAGAUUCCUCCCUUAAAUACUCUCUCUCUCUUCUCUUUUAGAGUUCUAUUUAAAAUAAAAUACUAAUAUCUGAAAUAUUAAAUUCGUAAUUACAAAAAUAGCCAAAAAUACAAAACACGUUAAACUAAAAACUGCAGGUCCGCAGUUGACAACACUCGCCCACGCCUUAUCAACAAAGUUCUUCUGCCGCUCAUAAUUUCUCCAAGAGAACAAUUAUCCUUAAACAACAUCUUGUAGCUCAAUUUUAUCACCAAUCAAUAGAAUUGCACCUACAAAAGUAAAACACAAGUAAAUCACUAUUAUUAAGUGAAAAACAUCGAUAUUAAGGGAAGUAAACAAUGCAAAACUAGUGCAUAAAUUGCACUCUAACAAAUUCCCCCACACCAAGAUGAUGCUUGUCCUCAAGCAUAUAACUCAAGACUAAUCUCAAAUCUCCACUAAAUUCUCAUCUCAACUCAUCCAAAAACAAUUUUAAGCAAGCAUACCUCAAGAAAUUAAGUCGUUCAACGUUCGAGAGACAAGGAUUUUAAAGCAUAGAAUUUCAUAAGAUAGAAUAAGAACAUUCAACCACCAAGAAGAUCCAUUCAAAAUUCAAGUGCAACAAGAUGUAAUAGCCCUCUCAAUAACUUCACUCCAUGCACUCAAAGUGUUUAGGGUGUCAUUUAUCCACUCAAAUCAAAUCAAAGAAUGCUAUUACCAUAAGCUUGCUCAUCACAUCUCAAUCCACAAAACAUGAAUAAAAUGCAAAAAUCUAAGGGUCUUAAAAGGGUUGUAAUGGGGUUAAAUGGGUUAAAUGAAAAAGAAAGGUUUACGAAAGAAAAAGAGAUCAAAACGAGAAGAAUGAACUCAUUGAAUGAACUUAUGAUAUCAAAAUGCUUAUUUCUACUCAAGUCACCAAGAAUGUAAACAUUUUUUUUUUGUUUUUUUUUUGUGAUUUUUCUUUUUCUUUUUUUUUUUCUUUUUCUUUUUUUUCUUUUUUUUUUGUUUUUGUUUUUGAAUCAAACAAAAGAAACGAACCUUGCACAAUUUAAUUCAAGCAUAAUGCUUGUUGAUCUAAUUGAGAAACUUUAUUACAAGGUAGAAAAAGCAACAAAAUAUAUCGACACAAUGAGUCCAAAAAUCUCCUUAAAUUGAGGCUCAAAAAAGAAGAAAAAUGGUUAAGUAGGCGGAGAGAAUUAGAUGGGUAAUUGUUAAGGCUCAAACAAAGGUAGCAAAUAAAGGUCUUCAGGUAGAGAAAAAGGAAAAUGCGAGAAUAGAAAAUUGGUAAAUGGUUUGCCCUUAUCAUUUUAAUGCAUAAAAUCCCGUAAUGUGGCUUCAACAUGCAUAAUAAAGCAAGUUCUAGAAUAAACAAACUAAGAUUGAUAUUCACAUAACAAAAAUAAUUAGAGCAAAGUGGUUGGUCAUAGGCUCAAAUCCUCACAAAGUUGGUAAAUUUGCCAUCAAAUCCUGUACACUCUUCAAAUGAAUCAACCAUCAAUAGUGGUGUAGAAUGAAAAGAAGGUAUGAGUGAGAUAUUAAAGGAAAGGUAAAAAGGAUAAUAAGCGAGAAAGAUGUAUGUAGUAAAAAAAAUGAAAGAUAAAAUGUGAGUGAUGAAAAAGUAUGAUAGAAAAAUAAAAUAGAUGUAAAUAAUGUGAGAUAGAUGGGAAAAGAGUAGUGAGAGAUAAAGGAAAAGAAAAUUAAUAAUAUAUAAAGCAUACUAACUCCAAAAUCAUUUAAGGAUGAGUAGAGUGAAAAAAAGAUAAGUAGAGUGAAAACAAUAAUUCCAGACAUCAAUAAUGCAAAAAUCCCUCCCCCACACCAAGAACUUACAUUGUCCCCAAUGUAAGAUAAUCAAAGCUCACAUAAAAAUUAAAGCGUAAGGACAAAAGAUUAAAGGCAAAAACUUCCCUGAAUUGUGAGCUUUGAUCCUCAUAACGUCUAUGGGCUUGGCGGGAAUGGUGGGAUAAAUCCCACACUCUUGAAGUAUGCGGCCAAAUUCUGCUCCAUCUUGUCACGGAUUUCGAUUCACGCGGCUGGAAUGCAGGUCGUAGGCUGGUUGCGGACUAUUGCUGCUCGACUGGAGCUUGCGAGUACACGGCUGCUGGUUCAGUUGCGCGCGGAUGGGACUGAUGCUGCGAACUGGUGACGCUGGAUCUGCGUGCUGCGGCUGUUGCUGCGCGCUGGGGGAUUGCUGGUGCGCGCGCUGGUGACACUUGUUGCGUUGCGUGCUCGGGCUGGGGCUGGUUCGCGCUGCGCUCGCAGCUGGGGCUGAUUCGCGCUGCACGCUGCGAGACACGGGAUGCUGGUGCUGCGCUCGCGGGAUGGUGCUCGAUACUGGUGCGCGCGGGUGCUGCUGGUGUGCUGCAAGCGGCUGGAGAAGAAAACAAGUUCUGGAAAAUUAGGGAUUUUUUUAACAGUGAAAAAAUUUUUUUUUUUUUUUAACAGUGAUUUUUGAAAUUUUUUUUAAUAAAUAAAUAAAUAUAUAUAUAAAAGAAAGAACAAAAGAAAAUCUCUUUUUUUUGUUUUUUUAAAUAAAUAAAUAGAAAAAAAAAUAAAAUAAUUUUUUUUUAAUUUUUUUUUUUUUUUUAGUGAUGAAUCACUUGAGACACUAAAAAUUUCAGAAGUACUUUUCUAAUAAGCACGUGGGCACGCCUUAAAACCAUUUUACUUUAAAAAUCACAGAAGUACUUAUCAGUUAAGACGUGGGCACGCCUUAUCAAAAAUUUUCUUCUGACCAAAAUAAGCAAACACAUUAUUUUAAAAAAAAAUCUAAAUCAAAAUUAAAAGAAGAUAUGACAAAAACCAAAAUAAAUAAAUCAUUUGGGUUGCCUCCCAAAAAGCGCCUUUGUUUUAUGUCUUUGGCUAGACACAUUUAUGCAUCAAUCUCCAUAAUUGGGACUCUCGAGAGCCACAUCCUCCACAAUAUUCACCGAAAAACCUUCAUAAAAAGGUUUUAAGCGAUGACCAUUAACCUUAAAAACUUUGUCAGAGGUCGGACUCCGAAUCUCAACUGCACCAUGAGGAAAAACAUUAGUAAUAAUAAAAGGUCCAACCCAGCAAGAACGUAAUUUACCCGGAAAAAGUUUAAGCUUAGAAUGAAAAAGAAGAACUUUUUGACCAAUAGAGAACUCCUUUCUCAAAAUCAUUCUAUCAUGAAAUGUCUUCGUCUUUUCCUUGUAAAAAAUUUCCUGCGCUAUAGGGUUAAUAACAUCCACAGAAAAUACCGAAUGUUCCUCACUAGGAUAUUUCAUGGUAUCAUUCAUAUUGAAUUCUAUAACCUCUCCAUCAAACUCCAUAGUGAGAGUCCCUUUAUGUACAUCCAUUUUAGUCCUAGCAGUCUUAAGAAAAGGUCUUCCUAGCAAAAUUGGGACAGAAUUAGAGGAGUUAUCAUCUUCCAUAUCAAGUACAUAAAAAUCAGCAGGAAAAACCAACUCAUUAACUUGUACUAAGACAUCUUCUAAUACCCCAUCAGGAUAUGCAUUAGACCUAUCAGCUAGUUGAAUUAUCACGCCAGUUUCUUUUAAUGGACCAACAUUCAAAGAUGAAUAAAUGGAACGAGGCAUGACAUUAAUAGAAGCUCCUAGAUCUAACAUAGGCUUUUCAACUCUAACACUACCAAUUUUACAAGGGAUAGUAAACAUACCUGGAUCCUUGCACUUAGGAGGUAGUUUCUUUUGGAGAACUGCUGAAACAUUCUCCCCCAUGUGAACUUUUUCAUCUCCUCUUAAUUUUCUUUUGGAGGUGCACAAUUCCUUAAGGACUUUAGCAUAUCGAGGUAUUUGUUUUAUAGCAUCUAAUAAAGGAAUAUUUACCUCAACCUUGCGAAAUGUCUCAAGGAUGUCUUUCUCUUGUUCCUCCUUCUUGGAUUUUGUAAACCGGCUUGGAAAAGGAGGAGGUAUCACAAUAGGUAGGGGUUUCGCUCUGGUGGGUUGCGCAUCUUGAGAUUUAGGCAUCAAUUCAUUCUUCUCAAGCUCAUCUUCUACAUGCUUUGUCACUUUCUUACUAGGCUCUUGCAACUCCUUCCCACUUCUAAGGAUGACAGCACUAACGUUUUGCUUUGGAUUCACCUCAGAUUGUGAACGCAAUCUUCCUAAUACUUGAGACUCCAGACGGCUCACUGUAGUCGCCAAUUGACUCAUUUGGUUCUCCAAGUUCUGAAUGCUUGCUGUAGUUGCCUGCUGAAAUUGUUGAGUGUUAGUCGCAAGUGAUUUAACAAUUUCUUCAAGAGAUAUACCUGACUUGGAGUUUGACUGUGGAGGUGUUGGUUGUCUUGGUGGAUACUGUUGUGGGAAUCCUGACGGCCUAACUCCAUAGCUGAAGUUGGGAUGAUCCUUCCAUCCCGGAUUGUAUGUUUGUGCAUAAGGAUCAUACCUCCUCUGAGGCAUGCCUGGAAAUCCUCCAACUGCAUUGGCUUGUUCAACGGGUUCUUCUUGAAGUGUAGGACACAUAUCAGUUGAAUGACACAUAUUGUAACAAAUGCCACAAGUCUUCACCUGUUGCACAUUACCUACAACAAACUUUUCCACAAGAGAAGUAAGUUUAUCUAAAUGUUGUUCAAUAGAAGAAAUAUUUACCUCAUUCACCGUUCUUGAAGUGGCAUCUUGUCUGCUGCCAAAUUGUUGUGCAUUGGCAGCCAUAUUUGAGAUCAACUCCCUUGCUUGAGUAGGAGUCUUGUUCACCAACAGGCCUCCACUAGCAGCAUCUAUCAUACUCAUAUCCAUCAAUGAUAAUCCUUCGUAAAAAUAUUGAAUAAAAAGUUGAUCAGAAAUCUGAUGCUGAGGACAACUGGCACACAAUUGUUUGAAUCGCUCCCAAUACUCAUACAAAGUCUCCCCAGGAAGUUGUCUGAUCCCACAAAUGUCUUUUCUGAUGUUAGCAGCCCUUGAAGCAGGAAAGUACUUCUCGAGGAACUGCUUCUUCAAAUCAUUCCACGUUGUAAUCGAUCCAGGAGGCAAGUAAUACAACCAGUCUUUAGCUAGUCCAUCUAAAGAGAAAGGAAAAACACGCAGCUUAAUCUGCUCUUCAGUCACACCUUGUGGUCUCAUACUUGAACACACAACAUGAAACUCCUUAAGAUGUUUAUGAGGAUCUUCACCUGUAAAACCAUGAAACUUGGGUAAUAAAUGAAUAAGACUAGACUUUAAUUCAAAAUUUACCUCCAAGUCUACAUAUUGAAUGCAGAGUGGUUGCUGAUUCAAGUCUAGUUCAGCUAACUCUCUAAGAGUUCUUUCAACAGGUGCAGCUCUAUCCAUCACUUGUUCUUCUGAAUCGCUAGAUGAUUCAACCAAAUCAGGCACCGUAUCUGUUUCAGAAAGCAAAGGCGACGAGGAUCGUUGCUUAGCUCGCUUCGUCUGCUGUCUCAGCUGGCGAGCUGUCUUCUCAAUUUCAGGAUCAAACGAAAGUGUACCUGUACGAGAAGAAUGAACCAUACACCAAGUAAAACGUAAAAAGGAUUAAAUAAACGACACCAAUCCCCGGCAACGGCGCCAAAAUUUGAUGGUUGUCGAAGCCAACAAAAAUAAAUUCCUACUCUAAAUAAAUUGUGUAUAGUGAUUGAGCAGGGUCGUGUUCACAGAGAUCGGUAAUUAUUUAAAUCCUUUUGAAACGUAAAACGUAAAAUGGGGGAAUUGUUGACAAUAAUAAAAAUCAAAUUGAAAUAACAAGAAUGCAAAUUAAAGUUGUAAUUCAAAUUGGAGAAAGCUCUGGUUGAAGGAAUUAACUCAGCUUGAUUCGACUACUGAUCAUUGAUUCAAAUAUAGAUUAUUAUUACUUAUGAAUAGACCGGUUAUAGCUAUUGAGACCCUCUAAUAGCCAAUCUCUCCUUAACUAGUCGAUAACCAAGGUACGACCGUUGGUUAUUUCCCUAAUCAAUGGACAACCCUAGAUACGAUCAUAGGAUUUAAUCAAUUGACAGCCUGAAAAACCAGAGAGACCCAAAUCCUAAUCAACACAUAUGAUGAUUCAUUUAAAUUAGAUUGUUUAUUCUCACAACACAACUCUCUGCUAUGUUAUUUGUCACAAACAUUAAAUUCUUCAUACGAUGAAUCCUUUAAUUGACAAUAGAUUAAGUUGAUAAUUAAAUAGUGGCUAAUUACCUAAUUAACAAACAUAAUCAUGAAAAUAAUUCAGAGAAUAAACAAAUACCCAAAAAGCAAUAAAACAAUUAAAGCACAAGAAAGAUCUCACAGUAGUGAUGAAUCAAAGCUUCAUUAUCCUUCAACCAGAAAAAUAGGUUUAGUUCUUCAUAGAGAGAAGAGAAAAAUUAAGAUCUAGGGUUUUCUUUCUUUUCCUCCAAUCCAAAAUCCCUCCCUCUUUCACAAUAGAUUCCUCCCUUAAAUACUCUCUCUCUCUUCUCUUUUAGAGUUCUAUUUAAAAUAAAAUACUAAUAUCUGAAAUAUUAAAUUCGUAAUUACAAAAAUAGCCAAAAAUACAAAACACGUUAAACUAAAAACUGCAGGUCCGCAGUUGACAGCACGCGCCCACGCGUUAUCAACAAAGUUCUUCUGCCGCUCAUAAUUUCUCCAAGAGAACAAUUAUCCUUAAACAAUAUCUUGUAGCUCAAUUUUAUCACCAAUCAAUAGAAUUGCACCUACAAAAGUAAAACACAAGUAAAUCAUUAUUAUUAAGUGCAAAACAUCGAUAUUAAAGGAAGUAAACAAUGCAAAACUAGUGCAUAAAUUGCACUCUAACAUCCAUCAAUUUACUAGUUUUAUAUGUGAUUUACACAUUUUUUGUUUCAUUUCACACUUAGGUGGCGUUUGUUUUUUUGUCUGAAAUCUGAAUAAACCUGAAUUGGUCUGAAUUCUGAAUAGAUCUGAAUGUCUGAAUCUGAAUAAUAUGUUUGUUUUUUCAUCUGAAUCUAAUAAAAUAAGUAUUAAGUUGUUUGUUUUUUUCAACUUAAAAAGCUAAAAAUAUGUACUUUUACAUUUGUAUCCUUAUUAAAUUUGAAUGUCAAAUAAAUAAUAUAUUAAAUACUACAAUAUUUUAACAUUUAUAAGUAAAACUAUAUUCAAGUGAAUACAUAAUUAUUUUAGAAUUUUAAUAGAUAAAAUACCAUAAAUUUUAAAUUUUAUUGUAUAUAAUAUAAGAAAGAAAAAACAGAGAUAUUUUUAUGUGGGGUAAAUGUCUAUGGGUGAGUUUUGGGAUAGACAUGAAAAAUAAAUUAUAAAGCAAGGAUAUUUUUGACAUUAGCAAGUAAUUGACUUAAUUCAGAUUUCUCCAUUAAGUAAAAAGCCAAAAAAAUUGGCUUAUUUUAUUAAGUCAAAAUUAUCUAAAAAGUCUCAUUAAGUUAUAAAAACAAACACUUCUAAUUAACUUAAUUAAUUAAGUUAAGUCACUUUAAGUUAUUAAGUUAAAAAAAAAACGCCACCUUAAUGUCAAUUUACAAGUUCUAUGUCAUUUUUCUAAAUUUUUGUUUUGUUUACAAGUUCUUCUUGCAAAUUACAACUCCAUCAUUAAUUUACUAAUUUUUCCAUCAAUUUACUAGUAAUAUGGGUGAUAUACACAUUUUUUGUUUCAUUUCACAAUUAAUGUCAAUUUACUAGUUCUAUGUCAUUUUUCUAAGUUUAUGUUUGGUUUACAAGUUCUUCGUGCAAAUUACAACUCCAACAUUAAUUUAUCCUUUUUUCAUUAAUUUAUUAGUUUUAUGUGUGGUUUACAAAUUUAUUAUUUCAUUUCACAUUUAAUGUCAAUUUACAAGUUCUAUGUCAUUUUUCUAAGGUUUUGUUUUGUUUGCAAGUUCUUCUUGUAAUUUACAACUCCAACAUUAAUUUACCCAUUUUUCCAUCAAUUUACUAGUUUUAUGUGUGAUUUAUAUAUUUUUUGUUUCAUUUCAUACUUAAUGUCAAUUACAAGUCUCUAUGUCAUUUUUAUAAGUUUUUGUUUUGUUUACAAGUUCUUCUUGCAAAUUACAACUCCAUCAUUAAUUUAUUCCUUUUUCCAUUAAUUUACUAGUUUUAUGUGUGAUUUACACAUUGUGUGUUUCAUUUCACACUUAAUGUUAAUUUACAACUUCUAAGUCAUUUUUCCAAGUUUUUGAUUUGUUUACACUCUUUUCUUCUAAUUUACAACUCCAUCAUUAAUUUACCCACUUUUCCAUCAAUUUACUGGUUUUAUGUGUGGUUUACACAUUUUUUGUUUCAUUUUACACUUAAUGUUAAUUUACAAAUUNNNNNNNNNNNNNNNNNNNNNNNNNNNNNNNNNNNNNNNNNNNNNNNNNNNNNNNNNNNNNNNNNNNNNNNNNNNNNNNNNNNNNNNNNNNNNNNNNNNNAGAUAUGAGUGCAUGGGAUAGCUGGCAAUUUUGACUAAAUCUCAACCGUUCAUGAUUCAAUGGUCAUGAUUGUGCCACGUGGCAAUGGUUGGUGAAGCAAGUUGGAGGAUCCGAAUCUUUGUAUUCGGGUCGACACGAUCCACCCAUUAACCCGCCAAAUCUCAACCGUUCGUUGGGCAAAUCGGACGAGUCAAAUGAUGCCACGUGUGAUGUUGAGUUUUGAAGUUUGACCGGCCAUUGGAUCUUGAUCUAAAGGUUGUGAGGAGCACAUGCAUGAAGCCUAUGAUGGACCGCAAAGCACUGGAUUAUGAAUUUAUUUUUCUAUAAAUAGAGCCUCAUUUUUAUGUUUUAAUCAUCUUUCUACAACUCUCUUCUUCUCAAUUUCUCUCCAUCUCCUUGUAAUCUUGAUUUCUAGGUGUGUUUUUAAUAUUUUGUAUAAUUAUUUUCAUUAAUAAAAUUAGUUUUAUUUCCAAUUUUAGUUGUUUUUAUUUCUUUUAAUUAUAAGUAAUUCAAUUUUACUACUUCUUUUUAUUUUAAUUAUGCUUAACUAAAUAAUAUUAUUUAGGGGAAGGUGAAACUAUUAGGAAAUAAAUAUGAUUUAAUCAAAUUCUAUUUUUAAUUUUAUAAAUUAAAUUAUUUUCUAUUUAAUUUUAUACAUGUUUUAUAUUUUGAAAUUUUGAUUUAUUGUAGACAAACAAAUGAAUUUGGCACAAUAAAUUCUUAAGAUCUUAAUAUAAGGCAUGGUGAAAUGGUAUUUUGACUUAUUGUAGACAAAUUAAAUUUUGGCACAAUAAAUACUUAAUCCAUCAUAAAAUUAAAGGGAAAAUAAUAAUAAUUUGUAUAAUUAAUCUUUUGGGUAAUAAAUCUAAAAAAAAUUGGCAAAAAGAAUUUAUUAAGUUUUAUUUAUUUCUAAGAGGGGAUCCAUAACCCUAACUAGUUCAAUUCCAUAAUUUCAUUUAAAUUAAGUUGUUUAUAUUUAAGUUUUAAUUUUAAUUUUUAGAUAAAAUAAAAUAAACUAAUUAAAUCUUUUCUCUGUGGAUCGACCUCGGACUCACCGAGUUAUAAUACAAUAAGACACUCUUAUACUUGGGAGUUAAAAAUUACUUUUAGGUUGUGUCACCAUCAAUUUACUACUUUUAUGUGUGGUUUACACAUUUUUUGUUUCAUUUUACAUUUAAGGUGGAUUUACAGGUUUAAGUCAUUUUUCCAAGUUUUUAUUUUCUUUACAGUUUUUUCUUCUUAUUUACAAGUUCAUUAUUAAUUUAUCUUUUUUUUCCAUCAAUUUACUAGUUUUAUGUGUGAUUUAUACAUUUUUUGUUUCAUUUCACACUUAAUGUCAAUUUACAAGUUCUAUGUCAUUUUUAUAAGUUUUUGUUUUGUUUACAAGUUCUUCUUGCAAAUUACAACUCCAUCAUUAAUUUAUUCCUUUUUCCAUUAAUUUACUAGUUUUAUGUGUGAUUUACACAUUGUGUGUUUCAUUUCACACUUAAUGUUAAUUUACAACUUCUAAGUCAUUUUUCCAAGUUUUUGAUUUGUUUACACUCUUUUCUUCUAAUUUACAACUCCAUCAUUAAUUUACCCACUUUUCCAUCAAUUUACUGGUUUUAUGUGUGGUUUACACAUUUUUUGUUUCAUUUUACACUUAAUGUUAAUUUACAAAUUUUAAGUCCUUUUUUCAAGAUUCUGUUUUCUGUACACUUUUUUCUUGUAAUUUACAACUCCAUCAUUAAUUUACCAAAUUUUCCAUCAAUUUACUAGUUUUAUGGUGUGGGUUACACAUUUUUUGUUUCNNNNNNNNNNNNNNNNNNNNNNNNNNNNNNNNNNNNNNNNNNNNNNNNNNNNNNNNNNNNNNNNNNNNNNNNNNNNNNNNNNNNNNNNNNNNNNNNNNNNNNNNNNNNNNNNNNNNNNNNNNNNNNNNNNNNNNNNNNNNNNNNNNNNNNNNNNNNNNNNNNNNNNNNNNNNNNNNNNNNNNNNNNNNNNNNNNNNNNNNNNNNNNNNNNNNNNNNNNNNNNNNNNNNNNNNNNNNNNNNNNNNNNNNNNNNNNNNNNNNNNNNNNNNNNNNNNNNNNNNNNNNNNNNNNNNNNNNNNNNNNNNNNNNNNNNNNNNNNNNNNNNNNNNNNNNNNNNNNNNNNNNNNNNNNNNNNNNNNUUUUGUUUGCAAUUUUUUCUUCUAAUUUACCACUCCAACUUUAAUUUACUAAUUUUCCCUUUUUUUACUAUUUCCAAGUGUGAAUUACAAAUCUUUUAUUUCAUUUCAUAAUUAAUGUCAAUUUACAAGUUUUUUUUUUAUUUUGUAGACCAUUUUACCACUCUAACGCUAAUUUACCCGUUUCACCUUCAAUCUACGAGUCAUACGUGUAGUUUAGAAAAUUUUUGUCUUAUUUCACAUUUAGUUGGAAUUUAGGUUAUGUAGUUUAGGUCAAUUGCCUCAACUUAAAUCCAAUGUGAAAAUGGUUAAAGAGUUGGAUUAUUGGCAUUUUAUGAUUUAGAUAGAAUAAAAUAAGGGUGGGCAUGAGUUGGGUUUGAUAGAGUUAGUGAAAUUCUAACAUGGUCUACUUUUUAAUAAGUUGAGAUAAAAUCCAUCAAACUUUAUUAAAAAAAUUCAAUAUUAUAACAAUUAUGGCAGCAUCAACAGCAAAAAAGUUAUAAAAAAACUUUUUUUAUACUAUCUAUUUUUUCCCCUUUUUUGAAAAUAAAAGGCGGAAAAAAAAACAUUUCCCAUUGACUCUCAACGUCACUGUAGAAGAAAAAAAAUCAAAACAAAAAGCACCGCCCUGUCCGCCCCUCAUGUUCAUUCCCAAAUGUGAAUUUCUGUCUCAGUUCUUCUAAAUUUUAAGCCAAGAUUCGCCAAAUCCGAACCCGAAUCCGCUGGCACGUGAACCGUGAAACCGUCGAUCACAAUCCAUAUUGUCGAAGAGAUGACAUGCAUAUUGUCGUUCAGAUUCUGGUGAUGGUAAGGCUGUGGAAGAAACCAAGAAGAGCACCAAAAGCAUCGCUAGUUUUAACCCUGAAACUGUGUUUCAACUCCAAAACUUUGCAGAUCGGUUUGGCGCGCAUCGCGCGAGGUAAGCAAUCUGGAAAAUCAUUUUAGAAUUUUUCUUUUUUUCACAAAUUAUUAUCGAGAAUGAAGACAAGAAGCUUAGACUUAGAAUAUUUGAAAAUUGUGUUUUCUAAUGAUUUUCAAGAAUAGUUUUGACAAAUAUGUCUGGUAAUGUCUUUUGGAGCAUAAUAAGAGUAUUGUGUUUUCCAAGAACAUAAUGCCCUGUGUGAACUUUUUGGUUUAAAAUUUAUUUGCUGGCAAUAAUAUACUAUUGAAAAUUUUUUUCUUGCCUGUCUGAAAACUCAGUUUUUCUUGUUUUCCAUCUGUCUGAACAUACUAUGUGUUUACAUAUUGUAUGCUGAUGGAGAGACAGGUACUGCCUUGAUCAAUUUGAUGGGCUUAUAAAUGAACAAAGCAUAGGGAAAUUGGACUAUUUGGACAUUAAUUUGACCAAUUUGAUGAGCUUGUAAAAGAACAAAGCAUACAGAAUCGGACAAUAUAAUUGGGUCUUUUUUGCUUUUGAAUGGGGUUGUGAUGUAUUUUGCAGCCAUGCUUGUGAGCUGAUCUGUCUAUCUUUCAGCUACUAUUAACAUACUGCCAUGUUAAGUUUUUUAUGACAUGAGAAGACUUUAGCAGGAAAGUUCAACCUCUUAAGGUUUUAGAAGCUUAUAGACUGAGAAUCAUUUCAUCUGAUAUGAUGACUCUUGUUAAGAUUUAUCUUGUAUUCAAUUUUCUUUCUUUAUUUAGAUUACAAAGUGUAUUUCGCUCCUCAGGUUGCAGAGUCACUGCCACGGAUAUGCUUCUUAUCUGGCCUUGGUGGGGAGGAAAUGAAGAUGUUCAUUGAAGCAUUUCCAGAGACAGGUACCUGAUCUUCUAUUGAAACACCAUUGCAGUAUCAUGUUUCAGACCUUGAAGUGGAUAUAUUUGUAUCAUUUCAGCCAUUUUCGAGUUUACAAAAACCUGUACGUGAAGAUUUAGGCACAAAAAGAAAUGUCAAAUAUCACAAGUUUUGGAUCCUGUAAAACAACAGAAAAUUUAACCCAAAAACAGCAAGAAAUUUAUCUAAAAACAGCAAAAACUUUAACUGAAAAAUAGUAGCAAAUUUUACCCAAAAACAAUAGAAAAUUUAACCCAAAUACAGCAGUAAAUGAAGCCCAAAACACCAGAAAUUUACAUGGAAACAACAGAAAAUUUAGCCCAAAAACAGUCAUAAAUUUAUCCAAACAACAACAAAUUUACCCAGAAACAACAGAAACUUUAACACAAAAAUAGCAAUAAAUUUAUCCAAAAAUAGGAAAACAUUUAACUGUAAACCAGCAGCAAAUUUACCCAGAAGCAACAGAAAAUUUAACCUAAAAACAGCAGCAAAUGAAGCCCAAACACCAAAAAAAAUUACUUGAACACAGCAAAAAAUUUUACCCAAAAACAGUAGUAAAUUUAUCUAAAAAUAGCAGACAAUUUAACUGAAAAACAGCAGCCAAUUUAUCCAGAAACAGUAGAAACUUUAACAUAAUAACAUAAGCAAAUGAAGCCCAAAACACCAGAAAAAUUAACCAAAAACGGUAGCCAAUCAUCCCAAAUACAGCAAUAAAUUUAUCCAAAAAUAGCAGUAUAUUUACCCAAAAACAGCAAAAUAUUUAACCUAAAAACAGCACCAAAUGAAGCCCAAAACACCAAAAAUACUUACCUGGAAACAGCAGAAAAUAUAACCCAAAAACAGUAGUAAAUUUAUCUAAAAAAUACAGAAAAAUAAAAUGAAAUACAAUAAACUGAAAUACAGCAGACAAUUUACCCAGAAACAUCAAAAAAUUUAAGCUAAAAACAGCAGCAAAUGAAGCCCAAAACACCAUAAAAAUUUAACCAAAAACAGCAGCAAAUCAUCCUAAAUACAGCAAAAAAAUUAUCCAAAAAAAGUAAAAAAUUUAACUGAAAAAUAGCAGUAUAUUUACCCAGAAACAGCAAAAUAUUUAGCCCAGAACCAGUAGCAAAUGAAGCCUAAAACACUAGAAAAAAUUACCUGGAAAUAUCAAAAAAUAUAACCCAAAAAUAUAAGUAAAUUUAUCUAAAAACAACAGAAAAAUAAACUGAAAUACAGCAACCAAUUUACCCAAAAAUAGCAAAAAAUUUAACUUAAAAACAUCAGCAAAUUAGGCCAAAAAUACCAAAAAAUUUUAACCAAAAACACUAGCAAAUCAUUACAAAUAAAACAGAAAAUUCAUCCAAAAACAGCAAAAAAUUUAAAUGAAAAACAGCAGUAUAUUUACACAAAAAUAGCAAAAUAUUUAGCCCAGAACUAGCAGCAAAUGAAGCCCAAAACACCAGAAAAUUACCUGGAAACAGCAAAAAAUAUAACCCAAAAAUAACAGUAAAUUUAUCUAAAAAUAGCAGAAAAAUAAACUGAAAUACAGCAGCCAAUUUACCCAAAAAUGGCAGAAAAUUUAACCUAAAAACAGCAGUAAAUUAAGCCAAAAAUACCAAAAAAAUUUAACCAAAAACAACAGCAAUUCAUUACAAAUACAACAGAAAAUUCAUCCAAAAACAGCAAAAAAUUUAACUGAAAAACAGCAAUAUAAUUACCCCAAAACAGCAAAAUAUUUAGCCCAGAACCAGCAGCAAAUGAAGCCCAAAACACCAAAAAAUAUUACCUGGAAACAGCAAAAAAUAUAACCCAAAAAUAGCAGUAAAUUUAUCUAAAAAUAGCAGAAAAAUAAACUGAAAAACAGCAGCCAAUUUACCCAGAAAUAGCAAAAAAUUUAACCUAAAAACAGCAGCAAAUGAAGUCCAAAACACAAGAAAAAUUUAAUCAAAAACAGCAGUAAAUCAUCCCAAAUACAGCAAAAAAUUUGGCCAUAAACAAAGGCAUAUCAAACCCAAAAUUUUUUUGCAAAUUCACAUAAUUCUCUGUCACGUCAAUUAUAUUUGAGACAAAAACCCACUUCCAGUUUCAGAAUUUUGAUCCCUUUACCCUUAAUUUAUCUACUUUUGUCUGAUGUAUAUUUUCAUUUAUUUGUUAUCCCCAUCCAUACAUCCAUCCAUGAUCCACCACACAUUUGUUUAUAAACCAAAAUCAAUGCACACAAUAAUACAAAAUCAAGGUCACAACAGUUAGCAUAACUCAUAUAGCACUGUAUAUCAUUCACCCACACUCGAAGCUUAAGUCAAAUAUAUCGAAUGAAGGAAUUAGUAUAUGCUAGUGCUCAUAAGCUUUUCCGUCAGUGUGCUUUUAUGGGAGGGCAUCUUGAUGCAAGUUAUACAGAGCUCACACACAAGGCAAUAAAAUAUGCGCAGGGAGUUCCUUUAGCUCUUAUCAUUCACCCAUAUUCAAAAAUCAUCCUAAACACAUAUAUUUAGGCUAAAAAAAAAAUAACAUUCUAAUGGAUAACAAGAUAGAUUUAUUAAUUGACCUAUAUAUUACAAUGGAAUAAUAGUUAGAUCGAAACUAAAAUAAGAUACAUAUAAAAAAAUAAUGUUUCGUGAAAUUAGACCAGCACUUCAAUAUGAAUUGAAUCUUUCUUAUGACCCUCAGAUUGAAUGAUAUUCUUAAGGAGAGUAUGAAUUAAUUUGGUGUCCUAAGUAACGAUAAUAAUUGAUCAACAAUAAAUGAAAUAUCUCUAACUACCUGAUCAUCACAAACUGUGAAAGCAAAUUACAACCCGCAGUAACAAAUCUUCUCCUCGAAGUGAAAUAUAAAACAAACAGAAACCACAAAAAAAAAAUCACCAACAAUUUCAGUUUCAAUAUAUCUAAGAGAGGGACCAUUGCACUAAAGCUACAACUGGUAAACUUCUUCCCUCUUUCCUUCCCCAUGCUUAGCCCGUAGUGAACUCAAGCAGCUACAUCUAAUUUCUUUGAUCAAUUUCAAAAGUGUCCAGCUAAGAUUCUUAUAAGAUACGAACCAAAUGAACAUUACAUAAUUCAACAAUAUGUGUUUUCAGAACAGGACAUAUUACUGUAUUCAAGCAACCAUAUUACCAGCAAAAUAAAUCAAUUAAUCUAAUUUAUCCAUAUUACUUGUAAUAACAGAAACAAAUCGUAUCAAAGUCUAGUGCAUGCUCUAUAUUUCUUAAUUUAAUUUAUCCAUAUUUCUUUUUUGCUUCUUUUUCACCUCUGUUUUCGCUUCAAGCAACUUCCAAAGCAAUGAUUGGCAGGAAAAAAGUAUUGGAGGAAAACAAAAUCGCAUUAGCCGGCAAACCCAAACACUUUGCACAGGAACUUAAUUCCGUGAACAAAUGCAGAAAUUAUGACCAUGAAAGAAAACUAUGCAGACCCAAACACUUUGCAGCGACUUCUUAAUUCUUAGAUUCAAUUCUGUGAACAAAUUAUGACCAUGAAAGAAAACGAAAUUGCUUAGCAAUUCGAGCGAGACAGAGGAUUAAACUUACCUUGCACAGGGACGACGGCCAAACCAAGAUAGAGGCAGUGACGGCAGAGACUCAGCAAUUCGAACAAGACAGAAAAUCAACUCAACGGCUGCAAUCUGCAGACGUGUCGCCGGUGCACCUAAACGGAAGUUAACGCGGCAGUGGGUUUCUUUUGGAAUUCAUUAAUUAGGGAUUUCAAUAUGAACGAGUUUUCCCUUUUUAUUUUUUUAUUUCUUUAAAACAUAAAUCUUCUUUUUUUCCUUUAAAGUUAUACCGGUAAAUUUUUAUUUUUAAAAAGUACUUAACCGGCUUAUAACCGGUUAGAUGUAAUUUAAUUAAAAAAUUUUAUUAUUUUAUAAUUAUUGUAAACUGUUGAUUUAAUCUAACGGUUCAUAAUAAUUACGACAUUGAUGCUGUGUUUUUAAUUACGGCAUCAUAGAUUUUUCAUAGGUGCCAUUUCUCAAUCUACCGGCUUUGAUAUUAACAAAAUGCAGUAUACGCAUGAGCCGAUUAUAGUAAACAAUUUGGCAAGAGUUCUCUAUAGAAUACUAAUGAGACACAAAUUGCACAGUAACAAAUGACCUUAGAAAAUGAAUAAGAUGCAGCAAAUUGACCAAGUGACAAAUCCGUUCCCAUCCGAAUCAUAGCUAAUUUAGAAUGAAUAUUUGAAAAUAAGAGAAGGCAGGAACACACGAGGGCAAAGCCAAGGAAAAGAGACCCAGCAAUGAGGCACGAAUUAAAAGUUAGAUAAUAAUCUUACACACUAUUAUUUAAGGCGUUCAUUGCGAAGAUACGAGGGCACAACCAAGGAAGAGAGACCUAGCAAUGAGGCACGAAUUAAAAGUUAGAUAAUACUCUUACACACUAUUAUUGAAGGCAUUCAUUGCGAAGAUUAUAAUUCACUACUAGUGAAAGAAAAGAAAAUCAAUUAGAUUGUCUCAUACGUCUAGCUCUUGAACAUUUUAAAGCAACGAGUAUCUAAAUUUUAAGAAUCCCAUUACCAUUUCCUUUGCAUUGAUUCUCUGCUUUGGUGAUUCUAUAGUACGCUCCGUAGCCAAAUUGAAGACAAAUGACACACGUUGCUCUUUGGUCAUAAAAUGUUUGUCCUCCCGAGUUAGUAGAUUUGCAUCAACAACUGUCGUAACUGAAAUGAGUAGUGAAUCAUUAACCCAACACUUUAAUCUCAUUUCUCUAGAAUUUUUUUUUUGUGGGUUUCAAUGUAAUUGUUGGGGGAUUUAGCAUAAGAUUUCUAGGUAUCCAACCCAAAAGACUAGCUUUUUAGGUGGAGUGACCUACCACCUUAUAAACCCAAGUAUCUCCCCUUUACUAGCCAAUGUGGGACACAACUCAACAAUCCCCCCCUCGGAUGAAACCAUUGCCAAGACUUUGGUCCUUUCGUUCGACACACCUGAGUUGUUCCACCACCACAUUCCGGCUAUUAGGGUCUAGCUUUGAUACCACUUGUUGGGGGGACUUAGCAUAAGAUUUCUAGGUAUCCAACGCAAAAGACUAGCGUUUUAAGUGGAGUGACCUACCACCUUAUAAAUCCAAGUAUCUCUCAUUUACUAGCCAAUGUGAGACACAACUCAACAGUAAUAUAUGCUCUUUUUAAAUUUUACGCGCAAAUAAUAAUAUCAUUUAAAAAGGAACUGUAAAUAGCUUCCCUAGUUUUAAGCAAAGUAUUUAGGUCAUUUGACAUAUAAUAAGGUCCAUUUCUCAAUCUACCAGCUUUGGUUUUCAUAAAUGCGAUAUAUGCAUAAACUAAUGGGUAUAAAACUAAAUGCACUGAAAUUUUCAAUCCUUCUAAAUCCUACAAAUUAUUCAUAAUUUUCCACACAUGAAGCAAAAGAACAAUAAUUAAAUCACACUGACCUGAUUAUACCAAAUGACCCUAUAGAAAAAAUAUAAAUAUAAUUAAACCUAAACAAAUGGCUAAAAUCUCUAUGGAAACUUAAAGGGACUCAAAUUGCACAAUAACAAAUCACUUUAGAAAUUCAAUAAGAUGCAGCAAACUAACCAAGUGUCAAAUCCGUUCCUUUUCCGAAUCAUAGCUAAUUUAGAAUGAAUAUUUGAAAGUGAGAGAAUGUAGGAUCACAUGCGGGCACAGCAACCAAGGAAAGUAGACCUAGCAUUGGCACGAAUAAAAAGUUAGACAAUACCCGUACACACAAUUAUUGGAGGUAUUCAUUGCAAAGAUUAGAAAACAUUACCAAUGAAAGAAAGGAAAAUCAAUUUGAGUGUCACAUGCGUCUACCCCUUAACAUUUUUGAGCAAUGAGUCUCUAAUUUUUAAGAGUCUUGUUACAAUUUCUUUUGCAUUGAUUCUCUGCUCUGGUGAUUCUACAGUACACUUCAUAGCUAAAUUGAAGACAAAUGACAGGCAUUGCUCUUUGGUCACAAAAUGUUUGUCGUCUUGACUUAAUAGAUUUGCAUCAACAACUUCUAUAACUGAAAUAGGUAGCAAGUUAUCAACCCAACACUUUAAUGUCAUUUCUCCAGAAAAAAUUUCAUCUGUGGGUUUCUUCCAGGUAAAUGUUUCUAUUAACAUAAUUCCAAAGCUGUAAACAUCCCCAUUUGUGGAUACUCGUCCUUCUCUUCCAUACUCUAUGGAUUGCAAUAGUUAGAUAGUAAGAUAAUAUAAUUUAUAAUACUACGCACAAAUGAAGAUCAAAAUAAAUAAGAAACAUAUAAGAAAUUAUUAAAGAAAUAAAAAAAAAUUAUUAUGUAACAAACCUGGUGCCAUAUAGCCUAUGGUGGCAAGUGUUUGUGUUUGAGUCAAAGAUUGAUCUUCUUUGAGUAAGGGCUUUGCCAUGCCAAAAUCACUCAAAUGAGCAACCAUAUUAUCAUCUAACAAUACAUUGUUGGGCUUUAAGUCACAGUGAAUUAUUGGGACUGAAUAACCAAAGUGCAGAUAUUCCAAGGCUGAUGCAACAUCUAUCAUUAUGUUCAAUCUUUGAAAAAUAUCCAAAAUGUAGUUGCUCGAAUACAAACACUUCUCCAGACUUCCAUGAGGCAUGUAUUCUAAUACCAACGCUUUAAAAUCAUCAUUUGAACAACUGCUAAUGAUUUUUAUAAGGUUUCGAUGGCGAAUACGUUUCAUCAUGUCACAUUCAAUAUCGAAACUCUUAAAUGCUCCUUCAUAUUGUAAGUCAAAAACCUUUACUGCAACCUCUAUCCCAUCUUGAAUUCUUGCCUUGUAAACAGAAGCAACACCUCCUCUGCCGAUUAGAUUGUUUUCACUAAAUCCGUUUGUAGCUUGAAAAAGUUCUAGGUGUGUAAACCUUCUCAGAUUUGCUACUAAUGGCAUAUUAGCAUCAGCCAACUGUGAUUUCCCUCUCUUUCGAUAUCUUAAGAUCAACAAAAUCACUGCCAUCAUAAAUAUAGUACUCAAUGGCAAGACAAUCCCUAAGAGAAGAUCAUUUUUCCUUGAUGUGUGGUGGAUUCUAGUUCUGCAUGGUGGGACUUGCAGAUUGGGCGUACCACACAAUAAUUCAUUUCCCUUGAACGAUUCAGCUGAGAAAUUUCUAAAAGGUCCCUCUCUAGGAAUCUCUCCUUCCAGCUUAUUGAAAGAAACAUUUAUAUAUUUGAGAUCUAAUAGUUUCUCUAAAGAUAUAGGAAUAGCUCCAGAGAUAUUAUUAUUGGAUAAAUCUAAGGAUUUCAAGUCUAUCAAACCACCAAUGGAAUCAGGAAUUGAGCCUUGUAAUCUAUUAUAUUCUAAAAAUAGAUAUUGUAGAUCUUUUAGGUCUCCAAUUGUUGUUGGGAUAAAACCUGAAAAAUUAUUCAUCGACAAAUCUAUUUGUACCAAAACCCUUAAAUUUCCAAUCUCUAGUGGGAGUGGGCCAGUAAAAGAAUUUGAAGACAAGUUAAGGUACAAGAUGUACUUAAGGUUCCAUAAAGUUGAAGGAAUAGAAGUUAACUGAUUGGAGCCCAAAUAGAGGUUCCUUAGACUAGUGAGAUUGCCAAAGCAUGCUGGGACGAAUCCAGAAAGUUUAUUGCCGCCCAAGUCCAAUAGAAACAGUGCAGCUAAACGACAAAGAUCAUCUGGGAUUGAUCCUUCCAAUUGAUUAUCUUCCAAACUCAAUAAUUGAAGCUUUUGUAAUUUGUCGAGAGCAAUCGGAAUUGAUCCAUUCAAUUUGUUUCCUCCUAAAUAAAUUGUUGUCAAGUUGGUCAAGUUGCUGAUCUCUUCAGGAAUGCUGCCACUAAUAUUGCAAUUAAACAUAAAAAAGACUUCCAUAGAUUGAGAAAGAUUGCCUAUAGCCCUUGGAAGAAUGCCAUCUAGUGAAUUAUUGGAGAAGCUCAAAUACUUCAAAUACUUGCAAUUUGACAAUGAGGAUAGAAAGUUCAAUUUUGGAGUUGAAGAUGUCAAAUAAUUAUAGUUUAAACUAAGCCGCUUAAGGUUUCUUAAGUUGCCAAAUGUGUUUGGAAUAAAACCGUAGAACGAGUUCAUUUCCAACUCUAGUCUGGAGAGCUUAGAAGCAUUGAAGAUGAAACUAGGAAUUGUGCCGCUAAAAUUAUUACCCCACAAGAGAAGUUCUUCGAGAUUUGGAAGUCGGACGUCUGCGCUUGAUGGAAGUCUUCCCGAGAGUGAGUUACUCUGAAGAUAAAGUGAGUUGAGUGUUGACACAUUGAAGAUUGUAGUUGGGACAACACCAACUAAUUUGUUAAAACUAAACGCCAUCCAUUCCAGAUUAUGGAGAUUACCGAUUUCAUGUGGUAUCUCACCUGUAUUUUGAAAAAACAAAUUUCAAAUUUAUUUUAAAUAAUAAAUUAUACACUUUUAUAUCAUGAAAAGAGUAUUCGUAAUUAAAAUUAUUAAAUAUGAGUUUAAGAUUAAUUAUUAUACAUAGAUAAAAUGUUAAUAAAUUAUUAAAUUUUUAUUCUUAUUAAUUAAAUAUAAAUAUUAAUAAUUCUAGUAUUCAUGUCAUUAUUAAAUAAAAAAAAGAAACUACUCAUUUUAAUAUUAAUUUGAAUUAGUAAUAUAGUAUGUGUAUGAACAUAAGAAUUUUUUUCUAACUGAAUUUUUAGUUUUUCUAUGUGUUACUACAGUGAAUAUAUGAAUUGAUAUCACGGUGGAAGAAUAUUGAUUUCAUGAGGUAUCUCACCUAUAUUUUGAAAUAACUAUAUUCAGAUUUGUUUCAGAGAAUAAAAACAAACUCAAUUCUGUUACCACUCAUCCGUCAAUGCUUUAGUAUGUUUUAAGGUUAUUUGGUAUUGAAGUUAGGUAGCUUUAGUUUGUAAGAUACCAAACAUGCACUACGGCUAGGAUUUAAUUUAUUUUAGACUUUCCUUUUCAAAAUCAAAACACUUGUUUUCAUGCCUAAAUAAACAUCUGAACUUAACCGCCAUUAUCACAAACUGUUGCUUGUUUCUGACUUCUUCUUUUCUACUACUUAUUAUCUCACUAACUUUUAAACUUUUGGUAUAAACAUGAGCAAAGAAGAACCAUUGCCAAUUAAUUCUGGUUUCUUUUACGAAUUUAUGUCAUGGAAUUAGAUUAAAAAUGGAUGUGUUAUUGUCACAAAUGCAUAUUAUUAGAAAAGACUACCUGUUAAGCCAUUAUGUGACAAAUCCAAAAUCGAUAGAGAAGAAAGAUUGAAGAUUGAUGAAGGAAUGGUUCCAGUUAAGAAAUUAUUGUCUAGCCAUAAGUGCACUAAUUCUCCAAGAUUCCCGAGCUCCUCUGGAAUUUCUCCUAAAAUCCAUGAGAAACAUAUGCGUUAACUAUUUUAACUUAUUAACCGGCCCUCAAGAAGAAAAAAAAGGAACUAAAAAACGUUUUUGCGUGAAAAGAGAUAAAAAAAUAAUUUAUGAAAACAUAAAUAAAUAAUUUUUUUGUCAAAUGACGAGAUAAGCAGAACCAAACAUGCUCUAAGGCUAGGAUUUAAUCUACUUUAGACUUUCCUUUUCAAAAUCAAAACGCUUGCUUUCAUGCCUAAAUAAACGUCUGAACUGAACCGCCAUUAUCACAAACUGUUGCUUGUUUCUGACUUCUUCUUCUCUACUACUUAUUAUAUCACUAACUUUUAAGCUUUUGGCAUAAACAUGUGCAAAGAAGAAACAUUGCAAAUUAAUUCUUAAUUCUUUUACGAAUUUAUGUCAUGGAAUUAGAUUAAAAAUGGAUGUGUUAUUGUCAUUGGUAUUUUGCAAUAACAAUUGACAGAUGAAGUAGACAAUAUCAAUUGAACACAAUUUCUAUUUGCAAUCUGUGAAAAUAAUUUAACUUUUCACACUUAUAGAUAUUGUUCCAUCUUUCAAAUUCUCCACCUGAUUUUGGACCCUAGAAAGACAAUUAAAAAAAAAAAGAAAGUAAAGAAAAACAUCUAAUGUGCUUGAUAGGUUAUGUUUCAAUUAAAAUGGUUAAACAAAAUUGAUUUUCAAGCAAAUAAACAACUGCUAUUCUAGGAACAAGCCCACAGUGGUCCAGGUAAAAUACUAGGAGUGAUAACUAGAAAAAUGACAUGGAUAUAAAUCACACAUACCUUGGAGUCUGUUUUGGUCAAGAUAUAAAUACUUAAGCUUGAUCAAAUUCCCGAUUUCUUUUGGUAUGUCUCCCGAGAAGUCAUUGAUCGACAAAGACAAUGUUUGUAGAUGUUUGCACCUUAAUAAAGUCGAUGAGAUUUUGCCGUCAAAGUUGUUUUCGUCUAGAAACAGGAUUUGCAAAAGAGGAAGGUUGCUGCAAAUAUUUGCAAGGAGUUCACCUGGGAGUUCAGCAAAUAAUAUCUUUAUAUUCAAAAUGAAUAUUUUCUAGUAAAGAAGACUUAAAUAACAUAAAGGAAGCGAUUGGACCAGAGAGCUGGUUAUAGCUAAGAUCAAGUUUUUGAAGUGAAGAUGGAUUCCCAAGUUGAGAAGGAAUGAUGCCUGUUAAGAAAUCAUUUGUUAGCGAUGGCAUCACCAAUUAUAUAAAGAUAAACAGUGAUUUCAUGUCAAAUAUUUUAUGUUGAUGUCACAAAUGCAUAUUAUUAGCAAAGACUACCUGUCAAGUUAUUAUAUGACAAAUCCAACUUCGAUAGAGAAGAAAGAUUGAAGAUUGAUGAAGGAAUGGUUCCAGUUAAGAAAUUAUUUUGUAGCCGUAACUCCUCCAAUUCUGCAAGAUUCCCGAGCUCCUCUGGAAUUUCUCCUAAAAUCCAAGAGUAACAUAUGCGUUAACUAUUUUAACUUAUUAACCGGCACUCAAGAAGAAAAAAAGGAACUAAAAAAAGUUUUUGCCUGAAAAGAAAUAAAAAAAAAAUUUAUGAAAACAUAAAUAAAUAAAGUUUUUGUCAAAUGACGAGAUAAGCAGAACCAAACAUGCUCUAAGGCUAGGAUUUAGACUUUCCUUUCCAAAAUCAAAACGCUUACUUUCAUGCCUAAAUAAACGUCUGAACGUAUGAGUAACAUACACGUUAACUAUUUUAACUUAUUAUUAACAGGCGCUCAAGAAGAAAAAAAUGAAAUAAAAAAAGCUUUUGCCUGAAGAGAGAUAAAAAAAAUUUACUCAAUAGAAUUAAAUAAUUAUAGGCUGACAGGAUUAAUAAAAGUGAGACAUUAUUAAUUUUCAUCAAUUAAUUAAACUCAUUGAUCAUACCUUGGAGUUGGUUCCCUUGAAGAUAUAACCCGAUAAGCUUUGUCACGUUGCCAAUUUCUUUUGGUAUGGUCCCAGAAAAAUCAUUAAGCGAUAAAGAUAUGUUUCGCAGCCGUUUGCAGUUUGAUAAAGUGGAUGGUAUCUUGCCAUGAAACAUGUUACUUUUAAGAAAUAGGGAUUCCAAAUUGGAAAGGUGAUUGCAAAAAUUUGGUGGGAGUUCGCCAAAUAGUGUAUUGUUUGUAAAACGAAUAGAAAGUAAAGAAGACAUGUUGAAGAUAGAGGCGGGAAUGGAACCCGAAAACCAAUUAAAACUGAGAUCAAGUGUUUGGAGAGACGAGAGAUUCCCAAGUUCAGAAGGGAUAGUGCCUGUGAGAUUUAACCUAGAUAUAUUCAAGGCUGUCACUCUAUGAGUACAGACAUCACAAGUGACGCCCGUCCAAUUACAGACAGAGCUACUUGUGUUCCAAUUUCUAGCCAAGAAAUUGGCUGGAUCAUCAGUUACAUGACCUUUCAGGGAAAGAAGGGCUUGUUGGUCUGUGGUAAUACUUGUAGUGUUGGCUGAUACAAUCAUGAAGGAAAGAAUCAAGCAAUGGAGUAAGAGAAAUCUGUUCAUCAUCCGGGCAGAAGGCAUUCUUUCCAUGAGACUAGAAUAUUUAGAUUGUAAGUGUGUGCUUAAUUGGAUUGAUAAUGCAAGAACACUCACAGCUGCUUCCAAGUAUAUAUAAUGAAACCCAAAUUUCGAAGAAGCAGCAAGAAAGAAAAUAGAGGAGUGAAAAGACUAUGCUCAUAACUUGUUGAAAGGUGAAAUAAUUUUAUGUGGACCCGCUGCGUCAAGCCAGUCCUUUAGGUCCACAUUCAGGAUGAUUGCAGUAAGUUUUGUUUUCCUUUAUAAUCAUCCUAUUAAUUUAUCGCAAAAUAGUUCUACUCAUUAAAAAAAAAAAUUAUUCUCCAUAUAUAGUAACAGGACAUUUACUACUCCUAGAAAAAAAAUUAUAUUUCUAUGUGCUUUUUUUGAAUUUGAGAUAAUUUACGAACCGGUGGUGUCACUUUCAUCAAGGUAUUGGCUUGGGUAAUAAAGUUCUUCACGGGUCAAUGACGACGUCAUAAGUUGACGACAAAUUGCCUAAGUCAAUGAAAGAAGAGACAAUGAAACCGAUUAUUAUUUUUAUAUAAGUAUUCAUAUUCAUUGAAGGAAUUUAACAGUUCUCAAUGGAACAAUAGAUGAUUGAGUGUUUUUGCUAUUGCUAUGAUCAUUCAAGGAUUUACAAAUGCCAAUAAAAAUAUAACCAAAAAGGAAGAAAUAUGUGGCUUCAAUUGUAUUUGUGAGGGACACUCAUUUCUGAUCUUUAACUUGAAUUGUUUUUUUUUUCCUCCAAAUUAUGAAUAUCUCAUGUGGAAAUUGGAAAUUUUUAUCACCUAUGAUUGGUUAAUAUGGAAAUUCUCUUUGAGCAAUAUAUAAUUCUCUUUUAAGAAGAAGAAGUUAGCGGCCUGUUAAUUAUGUGUGCUUUAUGGGUUACAAUUGGCACUAUUUUCAUUUCACUUUUAUUAGGGAUGAUGACAGAACUAAAUUUUUAAAAUUUUCUCCGGAAAAAAUAAAUGUUUACAAAGGCGUCAUGUGCAUGCAAUCCUUCAGAAUUUCGUAACUAAUAAUAAACUUGCAAGAGAUUGAGAUUGAACGAUGAUGAAAUACAGAGCAAAAGAAAGAAAACUCGUUUUCAAAAAAAAAAAUUAAUGUUUAUAUUACUUUUAUUUGCGAAAAUUUUCAAAACGUAAUAGUUAAUUCAUACAUACAGAUUAAUUUGUCAGAUGUGUAAUAUAAUUUUCGGGGAACGCGUUGCAUUAAGUCACUCCUUCAGGUCCACUCCGAAUCACUAGAUAUUUUACUCUCUUCUUAUUAUGUGGAUCCAAUCAAAACUUUCAACUUUUGGGAUUCAGCCAUCGGAUUUAAUGAAAAAGUUGUUCAAUGUCAAGAGCUUUGUUUAUAUGGUUUAGUUCUUAUAUUUUAAUUUAGGAGUUUAUUUAAUUUUUAUAUAUUGAAAAAUACUUCAAAAUACUUCUCUUAUUAAAUAUAUUAGGUUCCAGCCUUUACUAUUUUCGUUUUAAUGGUAAUACCUUACAAUAACAAUCUUGGAGAUAUUAAUGAAAAAAUUUAAUUCAUCAAAUUAGCCUAAAAAAAUAAAAAUUAAAGAAAUUUUUAUGUUAUUAUUUUACUUUUAGGAUUAAUUUGAUAAAUUAAUUUUUAUAUACAAUUAUUAGUAAGAUUAUUGUAAUGAUAUUAAAUAUUACUUUCAGUUAGUUGAUAUUAAUUUAUUUAAAAAUAGUUAUUUGUCAUAUUCUAGUUAAAGUACAAAAAAAACUAUUUCUUUCAUAACGAUAUUUAUUGAUUAAUUUGGUAAUUAAUAAUUAGUUAACUUGCUAUUAAAAUUUUUUGAUAAAUUAAUAAAUAUUAAGAAUAUUGUUGAUAGGGUAGCAUUAUAAAGGUAAAGAUAAGAAUAUAAUAUAUUUAAUAAUAAUAGUAUAUUGAAGUACUUUUUAAAAUAUAAAAAUUAAAUGAGUAUUUAAAUCAAAAUACAAAAAGUAAACAAGCAUUUACUUGAUAAAAAAUCAUAAAAGUUGAAUGUUUCAAAAUUUUGACACCCAAGACUUGUGUAUUAAAAGAGGUCAUGAGAAUUAAAACAUAGAUGAAACAGUGUCGUAACGUUAUCACAGAGACGUGCUAAGAUAUUUUUAUUUUUAAAUUUAAAUUUGAUACGCAUAAGAGAUAGCGAUGGUGAGAGUGGGACUGCCCACUUAGAAUUUAAAUUUAAUUGUACGGUCCCAUUCUCUCUCUCAUAUUUUUCGUAUUCUCUUUCAAGAAGAAUAAAUUAGCGGCCCAUUGAAUAGUGUUUGUGCGUGCUUUAUGGGUUAUAACAUUUUUGUCGAUCCUCAGCUCGACUCAAAAGUCAUGAAUUGCAAAGCCAAUGUAACAGAAGACAAUGGGGUAAUGACUAAUUAAGUAUUUAUGAUGAAACCUAAAUUUCUCUCCACGUGAAAGAGAAAUCAGAAAAUAGAGAGAAAUUAAAGCGAGAAAAGAUUCCUCUCCACGUGACAACAAACGUUGAAAUGUUUUUGCUAUUCCUCUCCACUCGUUUCUGAUCUUUUAACUUGAAUUAAAUUUUGUCGAUCUCGCUGCAAAAAUUAUCUUCCAAGAUGAAGAAAUCAGUGGCCCAUCGGUUAAUUGUGCGUGCUUUAUGGGUUAUACACAUUUUUGUCAAUAGUCAACCCAACUCAGAAAUUACAUGUUGCGAAGUCAAUGAAAGAGAAGUCAAAGUCAAUGAAAACAAAGACAGCAAGACAUUGACUAAUCAUAAUAUGGUGGGACACUUAAGUAUCAUUUGGGAUUAAAGUAGAAAUUUAAUAAAUUUCUUAUUUCAUAAUUCUUUAUAAAAAUAAUAUUUAAUAAAUUUUAUAAAAAUUAUUUAUUUCAUAAUUUUUUUUAUUUUACUACAAUUUUUAAAAACAAGUUGAGAUUUACUUUUCAAAAAUAACUUAAAAUAAGCCACCACAAUUUUUCAAAGUUUCUGUUAUAACAUUAAUAAUUUAACAAAAAAGAUAAUUAUAUCUUAUUUUUUCAUACACUUUAGUACAUAAGUUAUUAGUAUCAUAUUACCACCACAAUUUACUAUCGCAAGUAAUUUGAGUUCUCUCCAGUAUCAAAAUUUUGAUUUUAUUAAGUUCAUAUUUUUUAUAUUUUAAUAUUUUUUUCUUUUGUAAAAUUAAUGAGACUUGUACAUGAUUACACAAAUUUUUUUAAACAAUGAACAAGUUCAUGUGAAAGUUAACCAUAAGUCUUAAAAUCAAAUUCAUGAUUAUAGUUUUUAACGUUCAAUCUAUUUAUAUUUUUUCUAUAGUCACGGUAUUCAUUGCAACAAGUUGAUUAUCUGCUUUUAAGAGUCUUGUUACAAUUUCCUUUGCAUUGAUUCUCCGCUUUGGUGAUUCCACAGUAACGCUCUAUAGCGAAAUUGAAGACAAAUGACAUGAACUUAGCAAUUUUGCACCAACAACUUCCAUAAUUGAAUUGGGUAGCAUAUUAUUAACCCAACGCUUUAAUGUCAUUUUUCCAUGAAAAAUUUCAUCUGUGGGUUUCUUCCCAUUGAAUGUUUCCAUUAUCAUUAUCUCAAAGUUGUAAACAUCCCCAUUUGUGGAUGCCUAUCCUUCUCUUCCAUACUGUAUGGAUUUCAACAAUUACAUGGAAAGAUAAAAUAAUUAACAAUAGCAUGCUCAAAUGAAGAUCGUAAAAAUAAAUAACAUAUCAUAAAGUAUUAAAGAAAUAAAAAAAUUAAUGUAGAACAAACUCAGUGGUGGCAAGUGUUUGUGUUUGAGUUAAUGAUUAAUCUUCUCUGAGUAAGAGCUUUGCCAUGCCAAAAUCACUCAAAAUGAGCAACCAUAUUAUCGUCUAGCAAUACAUUACUCAGCUUUAAAUCACAGUGAAUUAUAGGUGUUGUAUGACCAAAGUGUAGAUAUUCCAAAACUAAUGCAAUAUCUAUCAUUAUGUUUAAUCUUUGAAAAAUAUCCAAAAUGUACUUGCUUGUAUACAAACACUUACCCAGACUUGCAUGACGCAUGUAUUUUAAUACCAACGCUUUAAAACCAUCAUUUGAACAACUGCUAAUGAUUUUGAUAAGGUUUUGAUGGCAAAUACUUUUUAUCAUAUCGUAUUCAACAUCAAGACUCUUAAAUGCUCCUCCAUAUGAAUCUUUUCUUCUCGCGUAUUGAAAGAAAAUUUAUAUUUUUGAGAUUUUAAAGUUUUUCUAAUGAUAUAAGAGUAGCCUCGGAGAAAUUAUUAUUGGAUAAAUCCAAAGAUUUCAAGCUUGUCAAAUCAUCAAUAGAAUCAAGAAUUGAGCCUUGAAAUAUAAUAUAUUCGGAAAAGAGGUAUAGUACAUCUUUUAGGUCUCUAAUUGUAGUUGGGAUAACACCAGAAAAAUUAUUCAUCGACAAAUUUAUUCUUCACAAAACCUUCAAAUUUCCAAUCUCUAAAGGAAGUGGACCAGUAAAAACAUUUAAAGACAAGGUCCAAUAUGUCUUCCACAAAGUUGAAGGAAUAGAAGUCAACUCAUUGAAACCCAAAUAAAGACUGUCCCCCCCUGAUGCAGAGCAAGAAAUUGAAGAAAUCUUAAUUAUAUUUAAAUGUAUAAUAUUUAGGAAUAUUUUAAUUAAUUUGUAUUCUAGUUUAAUUUGGUUUCCUAUUUAGAGUCUUAUUGUUUAGGUAUUGCUUAUUUGGGUAAUAUUCCUAAUUUAGGCAUAAGUCUUAUUAAAAUAGGUUUUUUAAUCAUAUUAGGAUAAGUCUUACUUAAUAUAAAUAAGUGUCUUUUGUAGCUUUUACAAGCAGAGAAUUUUGAGUUUAAUAAUAUUUCAAUUUUCAAAUCUCUUUGUGAGUAUUUGAACAAUUAAUCCUCGGUAUUCUGCGGAAUCAACGAGUCUUAACCCCUAAAUUCGCGGUAUUCUUUUGAAUCAACGUGAAUUUAGUUGUUUUUUUGUUCCGGUAUUCUUUAGAAUCAACAGAAUAUUUUGAACAUUAAACUUCCGCUACAUCAGUUUAGUAUCAAAGCCAAAACCUGGUCUCACCAAUCUAACUCCAUCUACCACCAAACCUUUCCUUUUUUCCUUUUUUGUUUUUUUUUUCCAUUUAGUUUUAAAAAAAAACCCAAACAACACCAAAAAAAGCAUAGGAAAAAAAAAGAAAAAAAUUAUAUCAUGAAAUCACAACAUCGACGUGAAGAUUUCAUCUUGAGAAAUGUUUUAGUUAAGAUGUUGAGGAUUUUGCGUUCAAUUUCUCAAGAUUUAGAGAAAAUUCGAGAUAGAAAAUCUUUACACAUAAAGCAUGCAUAUGGAUUUGAUGAAGUUGUUCACGAUGAUGUUUGUUAUGAAGAUAAUGAGGAAAAUUGUAACUUUGUUCCUUUCGACAAUAUUAUUCCUUCCGAGGAGAAUAUUAAUUGGCCAUUCAUGUCUACAACAAAUCCUCAACACAAAGACAAUAUUGAUUUGGAUCAAUCGCCGAAAUUUGAUGAGUAUCUUGAUAUUGUGGGACGAGAAGAGGUAAUUGUUUAUCCAUCUUUUGAUCUUGUGGAGGAGAGAGAGAUAGUUGUUGAUACAAUCUCUUAUUGUUCUCUUGAUUUGCUGAAAGAAGACAAAAAGAGUUGUGAUAUUUUUCAACAGUUAGUGGAUUAUGAGAAGAAAUCAUUUCUCCUUAACUAUGUUGAAGUUCGACACGAACAAUACGAGAAGACAUUAUUGGAGAAGUUGUUGAUAGAAGAAUUUAUUUUACGCCAUUGGAGUGAUUGGAUGGACGUUAUAACAAAAGUUGGAAAAUUUAAAGUUUGUCAUCUAUGUCAAAGCUCUGUUUUAAAAAUUAAUCCUUAUGCACAUGAAGAUGUUCUUGAAGACUACAACAUACAAAAUUCAAGGACGAAUUUUCUCCAACCUGGCGGGAAUGAUGCAGAGCAAGAAAUUGAAGAAAUCCUAAUUAUAUUUAAAUGUAUAAUAUUUAGGAAUAUUUUAAUUAAUUUGUAUUCUAGUUUAAUUUGGUUUCCUAUUUAGAGUCUUAUUGUUUAGGUAUUGUUUAUUUGGGUAAUAUUCCUAAUUUAGGCAUAAGUCUUAUUAAAAUAGGUUUUCUAAUCAUAUUAGGAUAAGUCUUACUUAAUAUAAAUAAGUGUCUUUUGUAGCUUUUACAAGCAGAGAAUUUUGAGUUUAAUAAUAUUUCAAUUUUCAAAUCUCUUUGUGAGUAUUUGAACAAUUAAUUCUUGGUAUUCUGCGGAAUCAACGAGUCUUAACCCCUAAAUUCGCGGUAUUCUUUUGAAUCAACAUGAAUUUAGUUGUUCUUUUGUUCCGGUAUUCUCUAGAAUCAACGGAAUAUUUUGAACAUUAAACUUCCGCUGCAUCACCCCCCCCCCCGGGGCACCAAAUAGAGGUUCCUUAGAGAAGUGAGAUUGCUGAAGCACGUAGGGAUGGAUCCUGAAAGUUUAUUGCCGUUUAAGUCCAGCUAAAAUAAGGCAGUCAAACGACAUCAAAUGUCUGGAAUUGAUCCUUCCAAUUGAUUAUCUUGAAAACUCAAUAAUCGAAUAUUUUUUAAUUUGCGGAGAGUAAUCAGAAUUGACUCAUUCGAUUUAUUGCCUUUUAAAUAAGUUGCUAUUAAGUUGGUCAAGCUGUUGAUCUCCUCAGGAACGCCGCCACUAAUAUUACAGUUGAACAACGAUAAGACUUCCAAAGAUUGAUAAAGAUUGCCUAUAGCUCUUAAAAGAUUGCCAUCUAGUGGAUUAUUGGAGAAGCUAAAAAACUCCAUAUGCUUGCAAGAUGAAAUGUGUGGUAUACUGCAUUACAGGAAGAAUGCAAGAGAUUCAUAUUUGUAAUGCUGGAUUAAACUGAAUAUAUGAUUAGAUAAGAUUGUAUUAGAGCAAAUUAGAUAGGAUUUGACUAAAUUAUUUAUAGUGGGUUUGGAUGAAUUCAUAGAUAAUUUAUAAAUAAAAUUAAAUAAUUGGAAAAUACUAAUAUAAAUUCAAUUAUUUAUCUCAAAACAUUUUAUUAAUAAUGGCAAAGUGUUAUAAAUAUACAUUUUUAUUCAUGAAAUUAAUAUUCACAAUAUUAAUUAAAAUUAUUAAAAAUAUACAAGUUUAAGUUUAAUUAUAGUUGGAAUAAAAUUUGUCAAAAUAAUCUAAGGAUUUUGAUCAAAAGAGUGGUGUCAUUGACCGCCUUAUGGAGAGUAACAUUGCACAUGUCGAACUCUAAUUAGGAAACAUGUGAAGUGGGUCGACUCACAACUCUCUGAAUAAUAGUUGAAUACAUGCAGUGUCCCUCUCCAUAAAAAUUAAAGAAAUUUUUAUGUUAUUAUUUUACUUUUAGGAUUAAUUUGAUAAAUUAAAUUUUUAUAUACAAUUAUUAGUAAGAUUAUUGUAAUGAUAUUAAAUAUUACUUUCAGUUAGUUGAUAUUAAUUUAUUUAAAAAUAGUUAUUUGUCAUAUUCUAGUUAAAGUACAAAAAAAAACUAUUUCUUUCAUACUGAUAUUUAUUGAUUAAUUUGGUAAUUAAUAAUUAGUUAACUUGCUAUUAAAUUUUUUUGAUAAAUUAAUUAAUAUUAAGAAUAUUGUUGAUAGGGUAGCAUUAUAAAGGUAAAGAUAAGAAUAUAAUAUAUUUAAUAAUAAUAGUAUAUUGAAGUACUUUUUAAAAUAUAAAAAUUAAAUGAGUAUUUAAAUCAAAAUACAAAAAGUAAACAAGCAUUUACUUGAUAAAAAAUCAUAAAAAUUGAAUGUUUCAAAAUUUUGACACCCAAGACUUAUCUAUUAAAAGUGGUCAUGAGAAUUAAAACUUAAAUGAAACAGUGUCGUAACGUUAUCACAUAGACGUGCUGAGAUUUUCUUAUUUUCAAAUUUAAAUUUGACACGCAUAAGAGAUAGCGAUGGUGGAAGUGGGACUGCCCACUUGAAAUUUAAAUUUAAUUACACGGUCCCAUUCUCUCUCUCAUAUUCUUCGUAUUCUCUUUCAAGAAGAAUAAAUUAGCGGCCCAUUGAAUAGUGUUUAUGCGUGCUUUAUGGGUUAUAACAUUUUUGUCGAUCCUUAGCUCGACUCAAAAGUCAUGAAUUGCAAAGCCAAUGGAACAGAAGACAAUCGGGUAAUGACUAAUUAAGUAUUUAUGAUGGAGUGACACUCGGAAGUGCUUCUAAGUAUUUAUGAUGAAACCUAAAUUUCUCUCCACGUGAAAGAGAAAAAUCAGAAAAUAGAGGAGAGAAAUUAAAGCGAGAAAAGAUUCCUCUCCACGUAACAACAAACGUUGAAAUGUUUUUGCUCUUCGUUUGAUGCUUCGAGGAUUCACAGGUGCCGAUAAGUCCAACAAAAUUCCGCGGCUUGAAUUGUAUUUGUUAGGGGCACUCGUUUCUGAUCUUUUAACUUGAAUUAAAUUUUGUCGAUCUCGCUGCAAAAAUUAUCUUCCAAGAUGAAGAAAUCAAUGAAAGAGAAGUCAAAGUCAAUGAAAGCAAAGACGAUAAGACAUUGAUUAAUCAUAGUCCCAUUGGGAUUAUAGUAGAAAUUUGAUAAAUUUUGUAAAAAUUAUUUAUUUCAUAAUUUUUUCUAUUUUAUUACAGUUUUUUAAAAUAAGAUAAGGUUUAUUUUUCAUAAGCAGUUUAAAAUAAACCAAUCACAGUUUUUGAAAGUUCUUAUUAUAACAUUAAUAAUUUUACAAAAAAGAUAAUUAUGUCUUAUUUACCAUAUACUCUAAUAUAUAAGUCAUUAAAUAUCAUAUUAGCGUUACAAUUUACCGCCGCCACUAAUGUGUGUUCUCUCCAAUAUCAAAGUUUUGAUUUAGCAAGUUCAUAUUUUUUAUAUUUUAAUUUUGUUUUCUAUUAUAAAAUUAAUGAGACUUGUAUAUGAUUACUUAAAUUUUUUUUUUGAAUUAUGAACAAGUUCAUGUGAAAGUUAACCAUGACUCUUAAAAUCAAUUUCAUAACCAUGGCUUUUAACAUUCAAUCGAUUUAUAUUUUUUCUAGUCAUGGUGUUCAUGACAACAAGUUGAUUCUCUGCUUUUAAAAGUCUCGUUACAAUUUUCUUUGUAUUGAUUCUCUGUUUUGGUGAUUCCACAGUACACUCCAUAGCUAAAUUGAAGACAAAUGACAUGCAUUGCUCUUUGGUCAUAAAAUGUUUGUAUUCCCAAUGCAGCAAAUUUGCACCAACAACUUCCAUAACUGAAUUGGGUAGCAAAUCAUUAGCCUAAUGCUUUAAUGUCAUUUCUCCAUAAAAUAUUUCAUUUGUAGGUUUCUUCCCACUUAAUGUUUCCAUUAUCAUAAUCCCAAAGCUGUAAACAUCCCUCAUUUGUGGAUGCUUGUCCUUCUCUUCCAUAUUCUAUGGAUUUCAACAAUUAGAUAGUAAGAUAAAAUAAUUUACAAUAAUAUGCUCAAAUGAAGAUCAUAAGAAAUAAAUAACGUAUCAGAAAGUAUUAAAGAAAUAAAAAAAAAAAACAUUUAAUGUGGAACAGACCUGGUGCCAUAUAGUCUAUGGUGGUUAUUAACAACAUAAAAAAUAAAGUUUAGUCAUAAAAAAUCAUUAAUCACCGUUUGCCUCUCCUAUAAACUGGAGUUAUGUUUCUUUUGUGAGAGGAAAAUUGAACCCUCAAGAACACAGACAAUCCAAACCAAACCCCGUCCCAGCUAUUGCUAAUUUAACCAAAGGAUUUGUUUGACCUUGCAAUUUAAGCAUUUGGCUUUGCCUCUCCUAGUUCUCUUGCUGCUAACAGAAGCAUUUUCAUCUGCAAAAAUAGCUGAGGCUUGUUAAUAACUUGAGCUUAAUAAUAAAUUACAGCAAACUUAAUUAAAUUAAAUUGUCCUUCAUAAUAGGUGCUACAUUUUUCUGCUAAGAAUGGGUGCUGAAUUUUUUUUUUUUUAAGGGUGCAAUAGCCCCCAGCCAAUUGCGAAAUACUUGCACCUUGAUAUAUUCUUGUCAUUACUUUUUACUGUCAACAUUCCUAAUUGAUCUUAACAUUUUACGAAAAAUAUAUGUAUAUACCUGAAUCUUUCUUCGCUGCCAGCAGGAUAAGAUUAUGAAAGUUUAAGUUAAUAAAAAAUUAAACCAUUUGAUCAUUAUUCUUGAAUACCCAUAUUUUCUUAUUAAAAUCGAAUAUUCUUGCCCAAAACAUGCACUUCAAUAAGCAAAAUGGAGAUUUUGCUUCAUUUGAUUACGUUCAAAGAGUCAGACUCAAUGACUAAGGGCGGGCUACAAACCUGAAAUCUAUGUCAUUUCAAUACCUUGUAAAAUUGCUAAUGCUUCUGCAGAUACUUGCUGCAGCCACGUGCAAUCACUUCACAUUUGUUGCUCCUGAUUAAUGCUCUCAAACCAGCCCAUGAUCCUUCUGCAUCCAUGUGUGAUGAGGAAAGAUUUUGCAGGAUGUGAUUAAAAUAAAGUUCUCAAUUCUGCAGGGGUCUAACCAAUAAUAAUAAACUUCAGGAAGGAAAACGAUUACCAUAAUUUCCUUGCAUACCACAUACAAUUGAUCAACAUGUAGUAGAUAUUUCCGCUUUAUCUUUGCAUCUCAAGCAAUUGUCCUCGAUACAACCCCUCUUAAAGCACAGAAAAAAUGAGCAAAACCAAGGUGAUUAUUGAAAAAUUUCUUCGGAAAAAGAGAAAAGAAAAAAAGGAAAGAGAGAUUACCAGCUAGAUUUUUAGAUGCCUGAAUGUCCUAGAGCAUGCUGAGUUCCAUAUGACAAAAACUACACUGUCUGAGUAGAUAUAAAUUUAUGAUUCCGACUAUAUUUGACAUCAGGGAAGCAGCAAUGAUAUCAGAAAGUUCAUCAGAGCAAGAUGAUCCCAAAAAUUGGUUAUCUUCCAACACCACCAUUCAACAAUAAAUAAUUUGCAUUGCCUGCUCUUCUUUCACAAGGGACAAAUCCAUCGAACAGUGACACAGGCGUCAUCAUCUCAUCAGAUAACAACCCCAACUUCCUCCACAUUUCAUCAGGUAUCAACCCCAAAUUACACAUUUCAACUAACUGAUUUACUGCCGAAGAAGAUGAAUGAAACUUGAAUAUAAAUUUAGUUAGCCUGAUGGAUGUAUGGUAGUCCAGUUCAAUCCUUGCAUCAAUGACAUCUUGCAAUAGCCGUUUAACCAUCUUAAUAUUCCGUUCCUUACAGAAACUAAGGAGCAUUACUCUAUAUGUGUAGGCAUUGGGAGGUACAGCAAUGUGCUUCAUCUGACUAUACAAGAUAUAUGCUUCUUCAGUCCUUCCACCCUCGAGAAGUCCACGAAUAGCAACUGUGUAUGAUACAACAUCUAGUGGGUAUUUCUCUACGAUGGCUCUCCUAAACAAUUGGAUGGCCUUGUGGCAUCUGCCAGCUUCUAUAAGUCUAUCCACAAUUGCAGUAUGGACAUGAGCAUUAACAGCCGGAUUAUUCAUGACUAUCCCCUGGUACACAUUAAUUGCUUCAUCAAUCUUUCUUGCUCCACAUAGUCCACAAAGUAAUCCAACAAAGCUGUAAUUAUCUGGCGUGAAACCUUUAUCCAGCAUAGUAUUAUAUAACUUGACGGCCUGAUUCGGGAAACCAGCCUUACAAAAGUAACUUAAAAGUGCAUUAUAGACUACUAGAUCUGCUUCCACCUCAAGUCCACAAACUAACUUGGGUAAAAGAGAGAAUCUUCCAGACAAACAUACAGUGGACAGUAAAGAACAAAAUGUAUAAGAAUCGGGAACUAACUUCAGUUCUAACAAACCAUCAUAAACAUCAAGUGCAUCAUCAUAGCUUCCCAUCUUAGAUAAGCAAUCUAUUAAAACAUUAUGAAACACCAAGUCAGGAGCAUGCCCUUCAGAUUCCAACAUAUCUAAAAAACUAAAUGCAAUGCUGAACAUUUUGGCUUCCAUGAAUCCCUUAAUUAAAGAUGUAUAUGUUACAACAUUCGGAGAACAACCAUUCUGAACCAUCUUUUCCCAUAAAUAACCUGCCAUAUCAAGUCUUCUCAACCGGCGAAACCCAUCAAUGAGUACCGUCCAAGCAUUCACAGACAACGAAGUUCCCAAAGUAAUCAUUAGACCUAACAGUUGGUACGCUUCAGCGAUCCUACCCAUUUUGCAGAAACAAUUUAAAAGUAUCUCAAACAUCCUGACAUUAGGAUAAAAGCCCUUCCUAACCAUCAUCCCAAUGACAUCCUUAACAUUACUAACAUCAUUUAACUUGCAUAAAUUACACAAUGCAAUGUUAAAACUCAAGAAAUUCGGCAACUGGGUCUCUUUCAGAACCUUAAUACCAAGGUCAACACGUCCAAUCUUGAAUAAUACAUCCAUAACAAUAUUACGCGCAAAUGUGUUAGGCGUAAAACCAAACCUAACCAUUUCAUCAAAAGCCUCCAAAACCAUCCCAUACAUUUCCCCACGCCAAUAAAUCCUCAAAAAAAGCAAGAAAGUUUGUGCCUUUAUAACACACCCGACACGCGCCAAUUCACCCACAAUUCCUCUCACAGUCUCAAACCUUCCAGUCAAACGAGUAACCACACUAAUCAUAUGAUCAAAUGAUUGAACAUCAUGAAAGUAAUCACGUUGCUUUGCACACCAAAUGAAAAAACUCAAAGCAAUCAAAUCAGAAGGGCAGUUCAAUAAAGUUGAGUGCACAAUAUGAGGAGCAAGAAUGAUAGGAAAAUCCUGAUGUGUUGUUGCACAUACCUUAGGUGAUGAAAUUUGGUGAAUUGACUUAAAGGAUAUUAUCGUUUUCAAGAUUUGGCUCCUUUGUGCUGUGUAAAACAAGCUCCGUUUGCAUCUCCAUAGCAUAUUGAGCUUUGAUAAUGAAGAGGAGAACUAGCAGAAAACUUUUCAACAAUACAAGAAAGUGAAGUGGGUUUUAAUCAAAGAUGUUGAAAUUUUUUUUUUUUUUUCGUUUUGUUUCCCGGAAAAUAGAUUUUUCUUGGGGCUAAUUGAAAUACGAGUCGGUUUCAUGCUACUACUGCGAAGAUAUUGAGAGGGAAAGGGCAGAACGGUUCAGGGGUUUAUUGAACUCUGCAAAACCCUGAAUAUUUAUAUGCUGCAAUGACAUCAAGCCCUCAUAUUUUUGCGUAAAUCACAACUAAGUCAAUACAUCUUAGUUUUCUUCAUAUAGAUCCUUGUCAAAUAGUAUUAUGCUCCUCAAAAUCUUUUAAUAAAAUAAAUGGUUUAACUGUCGUUAGGCCCCAAAUAAGUUCUUGCUUUCUUGAAUAAUCUGACUUACGAGUAUAACGGUCAAAUAAUUGAUCAUCAUUAACUUUUUAGGAAUAUAAUGUUAGGGUGCUCCUAAAUUAUAGUUACGGUAACCUACGGCUCCUUUAAAAUAAUAUAAAAGUUGUCAUAGUGGUGGGACCCAUAUAUUUUUAAAGAAGAUGUCAGUUACCGCAUAUGUCACUUACCAAAUCCAUAACGUUAUAGAAGAUAACAGUCAAAUUUUUGCGCUUCCAAUUUUGAUUAGUUUCUUGUAAAAGCGAAUUUAUAUUGGCAUAUUUGAAUACGUAAUUUUAUAUAAUAAACCAAAAAAAAAAAAAGAGGAAGAAGAAGUUUUAUGUUUAAUAAGUGAAUUAAGAACACAAUAUGAUUGUCCUCUCUUGCAAUAUUGAUAAUGUCACUUAAAUAUCUUAAUUUGCUAUUUAUUCUGAUUUCUUUUGCCUUAAAGUUCUAUAAAGGACCUUCGUUAUCAUUUAAUAAUGUUGACAAAAUUUUAAAUCAAAUAGUUAUUAAUGGUAUUAACAAAAAUCAAUAAUAUUUAGAAUAGAAGUGGCUUUAAAUACAAGCGAAAAAUGCAGUUGCCUUAGCCCCAAAUUGUAGGAAUGGCUCAUUUUUUGAAUAUUUUAUUAAUAAUUCUCUAGUUACUAGAGAUUUUAAAAAAAUAUGCAUGAUGGUUAAAUCUAAUACACAUUAGUAAAAUCUAAUAGACAUCUUUCCAAUCAACAAUCAUCCUAUAAUUAAGAAUUCUUUUAAUAAAAAAAAUUCAUAUUUAGUAAUCUUAUUGUAAAGAGAUACAAUUAAUAAUAUUGUCUAACCACUUAUUCGUUCAUUUUUUUUCCAAGAUAAAUAAAUAAAAUUUUUGCCUUUUCAAUUUCUUAAAAAAACUUAAUUAUUUAACAAUAUAAUGAUUGAUUUCGGGCAUUCAUUUUAAUUUCUAUUAAGAUCCUCAUAAUCUAAAAAAUCAUAGAUGGAAAAAUUUCUUACUCUCUUCUUUAUAAAGAAAAUUAUUUCAUGCAUUAUUUCAUUCAAAAAAGUAAAAAAAUUAAUUUCUUGAAAGGGAAAAAGCUCUUUUGAUCCCUAAGGUUUAAUGUAAUAGCACGUUUCAUCCUUACUUUUCAAAUAAUAACCUAAAAUAUCCUUUCGUUAAUUCACCGUUAGUGUAAAGCCGUUAACUAGUAAUUCAUUGAGGGCAAAAUAUGAUUUUCAUUAAAGUGAUACAAACUAUAGUAAAAUAAUUUGUUUACACAAUUAUAUAACAUUACAAAGUAUGCAAAAUUCAUUAAUUUUUUCUUAAAUGAAAUCAACGAUGAUAUAAUUUGAUAUAUCCAUUGAAUAAUUGCCAUAAGGAACAAACUGUAAUUAACACAAUAUCUUUAAAUCAUUGGAAGAAAAACUCAAAAAUACCACCAAUUUUUAUGUGCUUGUAUGUGCUGAAUAUUUUCUUUAUCUUCAACUCAAUUCAAGUUAUUUUACAGUGCAAUUAGAGAGUAUACUUAUAUGAAUAAGAAAAUUGUGAUAUUUUUUGUACUUAGAUCUAGGGUUUAUAGGGCUUUCAUGCCGCUAAAAUAGAAAGAAGUAAAAAAAAUUACUUAAAAUGGAAGUUUUUCAUCAUUUUCGGUAUUUCCUAUUUAGUGAGAUUAGAUAAAAUCAUUUUUAGUUAUAUGUCAACUUUUAUUUAUUUUUCUAAUUUUCUCUUUGAUGGAAAAUCAUUUUUUACCCUAAAUGAAUUACUAACAAACGACAAUCAACUAAUGGUGAGUUAACGAAAGAAUGUUUCGGUAUAUUGUUUAAAAAGUAAGGAUGAAAUAGGUUAUUACAUGAAACCCUAAGGAUGGGAAGAACUUUUUCCCUUCUUGAAAUACAAAGCCCAUAUAUAUUAUUUGAUCAUCAAUUUAUCAUCUCAACUUUUUACUUACUAUAAUUCUAAAUAUUCUAUUUAAAAAUAGUAUUGUUCUCAUUUAUUUAUUUGUUUAUUUUUUUAAAAGUCCUAAAGGAAGUAAAUUUUAGGUUUUGUUUUUCGAAAUUUUUGUUGAUCUUCUUAAUUAUUUGUUGAAUUCAAAAACUAAAGAUGAAAUGAAUUUUGAGCUCUUUUGUUUUUAUUUUUUUAGUAUUAAAGUUGCUGAAUAAAAAGAGGUCUCGUAAAAUAAAUUUAUUUAAGGUCCCAGAUACUCUAAAGCCGGCCCUUAUUAGGGAUGUCAAUUCCUAAAAUCUAACCUUGAAUCCUAAUGUUGUGUGUCAUUCUUUUAUUAAUAGUAUAUUUCAUAAUUAUUAAAAUUAUUUAAUUACCAUCCAAUUAAUGAAUACUAUAUUAUAUCUAACUCAAAUUGAAAUUUAAAUAUUGCAGUGUCGAGCACUGCUCAACAAAAAUUACACUUCUCAACAAAACAAAAAACAAAAAUUACAUGGGAUCUUAGCGAGAGUAACCCAAGUAUGAUUGUGGGCUUGGAGGAUGGGUCUUGCCACAAAUUGGGUUGCCAUAGGCUGCUCAGUCCAUGGUCGUUAAAGCACUUCUCACGGUGGGCCCCAGGGGGGUGUUGUGGAAGGGUUCUUGCAAAAGUUGUUAGGUGUUUUAAGUUCAAUAAUUUGGUUCGUACUACUUAAAACGUUCUCUUGAAUUACAAGUAAACUCCAUUUAUGAUUAAUUUUGUUAAAAAAAAUUUCAAAAAGUUGUUAAUUUCUUAAGAUGAAAAAAUCAUGGACAUGAAUAUAUUUAGUAUAAUUUUAAAAAAAAAUAAUUAUCAUAUAAAUUCAUGUUCUUAUUCUUUUAUUACAAAAAAAUAAUAAUAAGGGGUGAGUAAAGCCAUUCAUAUUCUUGAUUUAGUAAUUAGAACUCCAUAUUAGAUCUAAAAUCUGUUAGGAUUCUAGAUACAUUAACACUUGUAAUAUAAUCUGACGUAAGUUUAUAAUCUAAUUGAAUAUGUAAGCAUGUGCCAAUCUGAAUCUCAAAUUUGUUACCGAUUGAUUCCCGAAGAAAAAAAAAUUAAAAAUAAACAAAGGACAUCUAUCUGCCCAAAGCUCACGUGUCAUGCACCCAUGUUCAAAACCACUGGAAUUCUGUACAAGGGUAUAUCUGCAUACUUUCUUAUACAAUAAGCUCUUUUAAUCAUUUGGAUACAAUUGGCAAGAACUUAUGCAAUUGGGGGGGGGGGGGGGGGGGGGUUUGAACUGCGUGCAUUUUUAAAUAUAGUAAGAAUCUAAGAAAAAUAAGUGUAUGAUGUAUAAAAACUUUAGGACAUUUUGUAGUUUAGAUCUUCAUCUAUUUUUGAAAUGUUUGUUAAAUCAUAAUUAAUAGAGGACUGAUUUGAUGCAUGUUGCCAUGUACUUUGUGUGAUUUUUUAUUGGUGGGGUAAUACAAUUCCACUAAUAACAUCAUAACACGCGUCUUAUCGUGCAUCAUAAAGUAUGUAAUUGUACGCAUUUGAUCAUAAUUCUUAAUAAAUAAUACAUAUUUUGAUUCAAGUUUAUUACACCAUUAAUGAUAGUACUAUUUCGUCCAAGGGAUUGAUAAGACCUUAAUCAAAACAUUUCACAAUUGUUUCAUACAAAAAGAAAACUCAUAAUAGUACAUAUCUAUCAAGGUGUCAAAAUGAUAUGUUUACUCUACAGAAGUAUUUUUCGGACCUCAAAUAGCAUUUUCCUUACUAGACGCUACCUUGCUACCACUAUCCAUUUUAUACACAUGCACACACACAUAUAUAUAAUUAUUAUUAAAUAAGAAAUUUUUUUAAAUUAUCAAAGUAAAGAAUAAAUUAAAAAAAUAUAAAAUACACAAUUUAAUAUAAUAUAUAUAUAUAUAUUAUAUCUUUUAACCUACCCCUUAUUUUAAUAACGGAAAGGAUUCUCUCCCUCUCUUUGUAAACAAAAUUGAAGGGGAAAGAUCGGAGUUUACACGCAAGACUUUUCCCAAAAAUAAAAAAUCAAUAUUCCAAGUCAAGCCUGCCAGCACAUUCACACUCACACUCACACAGUCACACACUCAAUUCAACCUCAACUGAGUCAAUAUAUAUCACUUCACAGUCGUGAGGAUUGCAUAAACGGACUUUGUGAAGAAGAAAUCAAGAAACAAGAAAAUGGCAGCAGCCACAGAAUCAAAGACUGUUCAUUCAGCAGCAGUCACCUAUGUUUCCAUGAUUUCACUCCUCACUCUCUGCCCUCCUUUUGUCAUUUUGCUGUAAGAUUCGUACACUUCAUCGUGCGAUAAGAAUCUGUUUCUUGAUUACUUUCUGAAUUACUUAUCAUGAUAUUAUCUUGUUAUUAUUAUUAUUUUUAAUUUUUUGUGGAAGUUAAAAAGAUUGCCUUGUGAUUAAAUGUUCAUAGAUAUAAGCAACCAUUGGUCCAUCGAUCGUGAUGUCGAUGUGUUUGUAGUAAUCAGUAUAAAUCUUAGAGCUAUUAAAAUAAUUAGGCAAUAAAACGAUGUGUUCUAAUUUUAAUAAGGAAAGUCUAAUAUAAAUUAAAUCCAAGCCUUAGAAAGACUUAAAUGGCAUGUGUCAUGAUCUUAUACAAAAUUUAGAAAAGAUUAGAUUAGGAGAAGAUCCCUAUAUUUCUCUUCUCAAAUAUUAAAAAAAAAAGAUUCAAAGUUAUUAUCAACAUUUAUUUCAAUGUUCGCAAUUGAAAUGCUCAAACACUAUUAAUUUUUUAGCAAAUAAAUAUUUUCUAAUCUUUAUAUCAACCUUCCUCUCAUUCUAGGAAUGAGCAUUAGUGGUCAAGGUGAAAUACUACGAGUAAUGAAUAAAAAAUUGACAUGAAUAUAAAGUCUAUGAUUAUGCUUACCCUGGAGUCUGUUUUGGUCAAGAUAUAACUCCUUAAGCUUGGUCAAGUUGCCAAUUGCUUUUGAUAUGGCUCCCAAGAAAUCAUUGAUUGACGAAGAUAAUUUUUGUAGAGGAAGGUUGUAGCAAAUAUUUGUUGGGAGGUCAACAAAUAACCUACUAUAUUCAAAAUAAAUGUUAGCUAGUAAAGAAGACUUGCUUAAGAUGAAGGAAGGGAAAGAAUCAGGGAGCUGGUUAUAGCUAAGAUAAAGUUUUUAGAAGUGAUAAUAGAUUCCCAAGUUGAGAAGGAAUAAUGCUUAUUAAGAAAUUAUUUGUUAGCGCUGGCAUCUUCAAUUAUAUAAAGAUAAGUAGCGAUUCCAUGCCAAAUAUUUUAUAUAGAUGUCACACAUGCAUAUUAUUAGUGAAGACUGAUGACUACCUGCUAAGUUAUUACAUCACAAAUCCAAGUUCAAUAGGGUAGAAAAAUUGAAGAUUGAUAAAGGAAUGAUUCCAGUUAAGAAAUUAUUUUGUAGCCAUAACAUCUUCAAUGUUAGAUUGAAAUUAUCCUGCCGCAACAUUCCCCAGCUCCUCUGGAAUUUCUCCUCAAAUGUUAUGAGUAACAUAUGCGUAGACAUUAUUAACUUAUUACCCAGCUCUCAAGAAUAAAAGAAAUGAAACAAAAGUAAUUAGUGCCUGAAGUGAAUAAAAAAUAGUGCUUUAGUUAUGUACAUAAAUAUUGCCAAUGUUUGUAGUGAAAUAUUUGACUAAUAUCUGUUAUUUUUUUGUAAAACGACGGCCAGUAACCAAGUGGUAGUCUAUAGCUUCUGUCAGUAANNNNNNNNNNNNNNNNNNNNNNNNNNNNNNNNNNNNNNNNNNNNNNNNNNNNNNNNNNNNNNNNNNNNNNNNNNNNNNNNNNNNNNNNNNNNNNNNNNNNNNNNNNNNNNNNNNNNNNNNNNNNNNNNNNNNNNNNNNNNNNNNNNNNNNNNNNNNNNNNNNNNNNNNNNNNNNNNNNNNNNNNNNNNNNNNNNNNNNNNNNNNNNNNNNNNNNNNNNNNNNNNNNNNNNNNNNNNNNNNNNNNNNNNNNNNNNNNNNNNNNNNNNNNNNNNNNNNNNNNNNNNNNNNNNNNNNNNNNNNNNNNNNNNNNNNNNNNNNNNNNNNNNNNNNNNNNNNNNNNNNNNNNNNNNNNNNNNNNNNNNNNNNNNNNNNNNNNNNNNNNNNNNNNNNNNNNNNNNAGAUUGUGUGUGGAAAAAGCUAAAAGAUCAAAAGUGUGCCGUGCUGGAUUAUAGGAGGAAUGCAAGAUUCACAUUUGGUAAGCUGGAUUAAACAGAAUAUAUGCUCAUUAAAUAAGAUUGUAUUAAACUGAAUUUGAUAGGAUUGAACAAAAUUAUUUAUUGAGGAUUAGAUUGGACUAAUUGAUGAUUUAUAAAUAAAAUUAGAUAGUUGAAACUACUAAUAUAAAUUUAAAUAUUUAUCUCAAAACAUUCUAUUAGUAAUUGUAAAAUAGUAUAAAUAUACAAAUUUAUAUCAUGAAAUGAACAUUCGUAAUUAAACUUAUUUAAAAUAUAUGAGUUUAAGUUUAAUUAUAAUUGGACUAAACUUUGUCAAAUAAUCUAAGGAUUUUGAUAGAGUAAGAAGUGAGAGCCACAACUCUCCCAAUAAGAGUUGAACUCAUGCCAUACCCUCUCCAUAAGAAAAGAUAUGGCCCAAAAUUAAAAUUUUCUAAAAAUUAAGACAAAAUAACUUAUUUAAUAAUUAAAAACUCUACUUAAGAUGCUGCCAAAUAAUAUGAAAGUUCCGUUCCGUUAUUUUUAACAGAGCUUUUAAAUUAAGAAAUAAAUGAUAUUUUAUAUCACUUUAUUAAAGAAAAGAAUGAACCGCAAGAUUGUAAGCCCCGUUCAGUUGCUUUAUGAAAGCACGUGAAUAACUGUGUAAUCGGCCAAAUACCAUGAGAAAUUCAGAGCUCCACACGUGUCUCAGCAGCUCGCACGAGUGCGAGAAGAAUUUCCGGGCCGCGGAUCUCUUGUUACCAAGGAUGCUUCUCAGCAUAACGAGGCCCGGGGACUUUCCUGGGCUUAAAUAUUUUUCUCAGCCCAUCCGCGUCAAUUUGCGGUGUUUGCCUGGGCGCAUAAAAUACUUUUUUUUGUUACGCUUAAGAAUUUUCAGUUUUUGCGAUGUGGGACCAAAAAAAAAAAAAUUAAAAUCAUGUGAUUCAUGUCAAACAUGAUUAGAAAACUUUACCUUUACUCAUUUUUAUCAAUCAUUUAUCAUUAGGAGCAAGAGGGGGGAAAAAAAUCGUUACCGUCGGUUGUCCUUGUGAAUGGUGUGUGUUCGUUUUUAUUAUAAUACACAUAAAAAAUUAUUUCUUUUAUAGAAACCAUAAGAAUGAACAAAAGUAAAGUUAUAUAAUCAUGUUUGAUUGCUAACUAGAAAAUAUAUUUAUAUUUUAUUAAUUUUAUUUCUUUAAUUUUUUUUAUCUCAAUGUAAAUAGUAAUAAUAAUAAUUUUUUAAAAUUUAAUGAUUUUAUUUCUUAAUCAAUUAAGGUAACUUUAGACACACAGAUUUUACACUCAGUCCCUUAGGUACUAAUACUUCUUAUUAAUCCCCGAAGUUACUUUUAUUUACUUAUUUGAACCAUAUAUGAAAUUUAAAGAAUGUCAAUCUCAUGAUAUUAAUUGUAUUACUUGUCUAAUUUCAACACAUUUUCAAACUAAUUAAUCCCACUACAAGAAAAAGUUAUUUAUGUGACUGUUAUUUUGCAGUUACAUAUGACAUUCAUGACAGCUUUGUAACGACAAAUGCUUUUUAACUGUAUUUUUGGCGUGCAGUAACAAAAGGUCGUAACGGUCACCAAAAUGAAUAACCACCUAAAUGCGGUCACAUAAAGUAAUGGGUUGGAUGCAAGUUUUGUGACAGGUGGAAGCUGUCACAAAUUUGUAAUGCUUAAUUUUUUUAUAAUUUUGUGAUAUUUGACUAUUUGUCAAUAUUUUAUCUCAUUUUCCUGAUAUUUGUCAAUUACAACACAAAUUCAACGUUGUUCAUUACAACAUUAACACACUAAAAUUAAUUAUCAUGAUACCAUCCAUAAAGUUCAAAUUAUAUACUGAAAAUGAGAGAUUAACAUCAAGCCGCAAGUCUCCAAGUCAAAAAUUAAAAGUAUACGCAAAUACAAAUACAAGCCUACGAUACAAAGUCUUACAAAAAUAAGUAAUGAAUCCAGGAGUCUCCAAUGCAUCUUAUCAAACGAUAGCCUACAAUAGAAGCAACAAUAUAUUAAAAAUGUGCAAGACAAACACACUUAAAUAUCAUAAUUAUUUAACUAAGCACUUCUUGUUAGCAAUAAUUAGAAGCGCUCUUGGUACAACUGUUAAUGUCUCUAUACUUUGUUGAAACUCUUAGUUAAUUUGCAAAUCUAAUAUUCAUUUUCCAAAAAUAAUAUCAACACUGAACAUAUGAAGAGUAAUGAAUCAUAAUUUUACAAGUAAAAGCGUUUAUCUAUAAUUUGACGUCAUAAUUUGCAGGAUAACUGCAUGACGGUGUUGAUGCGCAUUGGAAGCAUCGACUAUCUACUAAAAAAACAAACAUUUUGUUUUUCCUAAGAAACACAGAAGGAAAUGUAGUCUAUAGAUAGAUGAUGAAUAUGCAGCCAAUAUAUUUUACUAAAUUGUAAGAUGUAGGAAAUGUAGGGAAGGGCAUUAAGUUGCAAAGUUCAGUUCCAAGUUGGCAAUAAAAAUUGCUAUUAUGCUGCAACUUUUCUCAAUAUACUCCCCACUUUUCACCCUAAAUUAUACAUUUAUUCUAAAAUAAUUUUUAAAAUAUUUAAAAUAAAUAAGUCAACAAUGGUCAAAGGGUUUAGUAAUUGCGUACAAGUAUUAGUGUUUUAUACCCAUACCUAAUGCACCCAAUGAAUAGGUAUAAAAAUUUAUAUCCCGAUUUAAUUUUUUAUAAAAUAUGGAUAAAAUUAGACCUGACGCCUAAUUUUAACGUAACAGGCCCUUGUGCCUGUAGGGAUUUUUUGCCAUCCACAUAUGGGACUAGAACAAAGCCAACAUGCCUAUCUAAUGAGACUGGACCAUAAUUUUAUUUAAUAGAUCUUAGGCCUGGAUCAGUCUAGUUGCUUCCUUUUUGAUACCUUUGGCUGCUAUUUGCGUAGCAUUUACUUCUCAUAUUAGAGCAGGAAUUAUGAGAUUAAGAGUAAAAAUAGGUUGUUUACUUACAUUAAAAUAAGAGUAUGAAAUAGAAAUCAAAAUUCCAUUUAUGUGUUUAUUUGUUUUAGAUUGGGAGUCAGUUGUUUUAAAUUAUAAUUUUACCCUUAUUUAAAAAAUUAUAGAUUUUAGUUACAAGUGAAUAAAAAAAUAUAUUUGUAAAAUAAAAUAUUUAUUUUAUUAUUAAUUUUAAUUAUAUAAAUUAAUAAUAAUUAUCAAUAUUCUUAAUUAUAUAAACCGUAAUUUUUAUUUAAUUUUUAUUUAAUUAAUUAAACUAAAAUUAUUGAUAAGGGCAAUACAAAUGAAACAUCAUCAUUAAUAAUAUACUGCAAAGUUAAUAUUUUCUUAGAAUAAACUAUUUAUUAUUAUUAUCAUUAUUAUUAAUUAAUAUUAAAGAAAUAUAAUACUAUUAAAAUUAAAUAAAUAUAAUAAUAUUAUAUUUAAUAAGCCUAAUAUUAUUAUUUUUAAUAAAUGUAUUAUUAUUAAAUAAUAUAAUAAUAUUAUUUAAAUAGAUAUGAUAUUUUUACUUUUAAAUAAAUGUAACAUUAUUUUAUUUUAAUAAAUAUAAUUAUAUUAUAUUUAAUAAGAAAAGGGUGAAACAAGAAGAAGACCUCCCCAGGGUAGUGGAAUCCUCUUAAAUUUCUAGCCUUAACGACACCGUAUCAUCUCCUUGGUCACCACGGACAAAAUUUCUAUUGUGAGCGACGCCGUUUUGUUCUCCAUGCUCCCUACCCAAAAAUCCACAAGUGGUGACUUCAUUCAACUUUUCCCAGCCCACUGACAGUGACGAGCGUCACACCCACACCGUAUUAGGAAAUAAUAAUAAUUAUAAAAUUUUGAUGAUGAUGAUUGAAAUUAACUACCAAUGUUGAAUUCACCGUUAAGACCCUGAGGGAAACAAAUUUAUUGGCGCCAAAAUCUUGAUCUCAAAAUAUUGUAUAUAUAAUUUUACUGUUAUGCGUCUCGUUGGUAUAUCAUUUAUUGGAAUUAGAAAAAUGUGUAUUUGCUACUCGGCCAAAUGAUUCCAUAUUGAAAUAUGGAGAUUGAAUUCCUCCAUCAAUUAAAAAAAAAAAUUGAGUGGAGACUGUUUUCUUCAUUAUAAAAUAUAAGUGGAGUAGAUAUUCCUAAAAAAUUAGUAAGCGUAGAAAAUAUAAACAGAUCAGUAGUUAUCUGAUUGUAAUAUCAGUCUAAAAAAUAUGCAUGUAUGUUCCAAGUAAUAACUUUAUUAAGGCAAUUUGGGGUACAUAGGUUGAGAUUUUAUACUUGUGCCGUGUGAGCUUCAUGUAAUUUUACAUGGCCAAGGACAUGUCAAAGUUGAUAAACAUGCCAUUAUUAAUAAAGAAUUAUUGAUUUAACAUUCAAGAUUAUCGUGUGAUAUAAGACGUUAUUUUAGAAUUUUAGAAUUAUAUAAUUAUAGGUAUUUUGUUAUUUUCUAUUUUAAUUAGCACCAUGUUUUAGUUUUUUAUUUCUAUUAUAAUUAUUAUUUAGUUUCCUUUUUAGCUUAACUUUUACCUCAUUAUAAAUAGAGAUGUCUCUUUAUUGUUUUCAUAACUUUAGCUUUAUUUAUUCAAUAAAACCCUUCUUUUAAAAUUCUUUUUGGGAUUAUCUAUUGAAACCUCUCUUGUAGAAUCAUUUGGGUUAGAGUGUAAUCUUAUCUCAUUUAACACAUUAUUAAAUUCUUAUUUAGUUGUUUGCAUUAGAAUGAGAUUUAAUCAGUUUCAAUUAGAAUGUAAUCUACAAUUUCACUAUUAAUUCCACUUUCGCUACCUUGCUAUGUUAUCAUGAAGUAUCAAUUCUGCUCUCGCUGUCCCGCUCCAUCAUCAUGAUUAAUCCAAAAUUUUAAAAUAAAUACAUGCAACCAAAAUCAGAAAUUAUUUGAACUUUAUUACACUAUUUUUCAUUAGAUUACGAAUAGACUUUCAAAGAGAUUUAAUUUCAAACAACUUUAAUUCGACAGUUACUCUCAUUCACUUCUAAUACUGCUAAUAACUUAAAGCUAAAGUUUUUCUUCUUCAGUAAUUAGAUCUGAGCAGUGCAGGGUGCUAACACAUGAGUAUUUGUACUACAAUUUUUAAAUUGAUUAAAACAAAUCGCUUCACUGAUCAGAAUAUCAUCAAUACCCAAAAAAAAUAUAUUAAGAAUUUUUAGAAUUCACAUGACAAAAUAUAUGUAUAUAAUUGAUUUACGUGGGCUUUGUGAAUCAACCACAGAAAAGCCCACAACAUGAUCCAACGAGACCGAUUCUUCUCGGCCACUGAGCAUAAAUUUCCCAAGUUUCAUAGUGAACGACACCGUUUUGUUCUACUUGCUCGCCACGCAAAAAACUGCCAAGGAGUCACUUCACUGAAGUGCAAAUGUCAGUCAUCUGCACAGUUCACACGUUUAUGAAUAAAUUGAAAAACAAAUAGAGAAAUUAUCCUCAAAAGAUUAUUGAAAUGGCUCUCUCCAGAUCCAGCUUAUUUGUUUGUUUGAUUAAUAGUAGAUCAUGUAUGCUAAACCUUGCAUCGACUAUUAUUGUAAUGUGUUACAUAGAUAUCGAUGUAAUCUUGGAGUAAUCUUUUAUUGUUCUCACCUUACGGUGAGUAGCAGUGCUACAUGGCGAUGUCCGGUCUGCGUGUCCAGUGCUAAAUAAUCUAGAGAAAUUUUUUUAUUCUUAUUUUUGUUUUUGUUAUUUUUAUUUUUCAUUUUUGGGUGCUUGUACAGCUGCUCUGUGGGUGUUGCUUUACCAGUGUACUCAACAUUCAAGGGAAUUGAGAGGAAAGAUGAAGAUGAGCAACAAAAGUGGCUCAUGUAUUGGGCAGGUUGGAAUUUAUUUUUAUUUUUAUAAUUUAUUAUUAUUAUUUUUUGUUAGGCUUGUCACCUUGCUUGUUUUGUUACAUGAGGUUUUCAUAGACUCCUAAAUUUCCUCUGUUUCCAUUAUUUUUAGCCCAAGUGUUUUCCUGUUAGAUGCUUUGAUCAGUUGGGCAAAAAAAUUGAAUAUUACCUUUAUGGUUAUAGUGAUGCUGAGAUCUUGCAUGGGUGAAAAUAUAUAGCUCUACUAUUCAUGAUGACCAUCAAUGAUGAAAGUAACAAAUGUGCAGAAAUUCUUAUCACAUGUUGAUAAAUUUUGUAAUCAAUAAAAGAUAAGGCUGGUUUGAUCUGAGGAUAUAUAUCUGGCAUUGGUGCUUGCCCUUGAUGAACUUUUGAUAGUACUUGUCCUACUGACUAUUUGCAGCUUAUGGAACUUUUAGCAUUGCUGAGGCUUUUGCAGACAAGUUUCUUACUUGGUAAAGUUUUUGAGUACUAGUGAUUUCUUCCUUUUGCUUGUGUAGUAAGUAUUUAUCAUAUAUAUUUCGAAAAGAUAAGCAAGUGUACAUCUUUUCCCACGCAUAUACGCACGACGCUUAAUUAUCUAUGCCUAAUUGAUGUUACUGCCUUAUCUUGUUUCAUCAUUUCAGGUUUCCCAUGUAUUAUCACCUGAAAUUUGCAUUUCUUGUAUGGCUUCAGCUUCCAUCUACUGAUGUAAGUUUAAAAAUAACGCUUGUAACUUUGGAUCAUAUUGAAAAAAUGGGGAAGUGUACUUGUAUUUAUAUUUAUUUGUGAUGAAAAUUAAUGUAGCUUAAUAUGUUUAACUUUUGACUUCAAGUUAACUCAUGGUGAUAAACUUCCUUAUUUCUUGUUAGGGGGCAAGGCAGUUGUACGAGAACUACUUGAGUCCAUUCUUGUUGAGGUGUCAAGCUAAAGCUGAUCAACUCAGGGCCACUACACACGCUAAAUUUGAUCAACUCAGGGCCAUUACACAAGCUAAGGUCGAUCAACUCAGGGCCCUCACACUGCGUCCAUUCUUGUUGACGUGUCAAGCUAAAAUUGAUCAACUGAGGGCCAUUGAGACAUGGUAUGUUAUGUAGUGUUGUUAUCAUAUUAUGGGCGAUACUAGUUUGACUUAUCCGUUUGAUUGAAUGAUAGUGUGGUACUCCCCAUAUUCUCAAGAAUAUACAGAAAGUUGAAACCUCUGAGCAAAGUUCGACUUUCGCUUCCAUUGCGAAAUUGUAACUUGUGGUAAAUAAGGCACUUUAAAAUUGUUUAUAUUGGGUCAACCUCAACCCAUAGAUACCCUGUGCAAGUCUUGCUGUAUUGCACUCAACACUUCCCCUGUUGUUUCCGAUGAAGUAUAUGCUCUGCUAAAAUUUACAGGUUGGACGUAUCAGCUCAAUCAAGGCAGAAAUUAAAUGUGGGGGGGAUACAUUCUUUGCAUUUUUCUGGUCAGGUAAUGGUAGAUACCUUUCUUUUGGUGCAUGCUUGUCUUGUUAGUUCAGUGAUUUCCAUGUAGAUUCGAAGUAUUUUACUUGUUUCUGGACCAGCUCCAAAAUAUAGAUCCAAAUAAACCUGAAGGACGAAAUGCGGUUGAAGACCUGGAUGGAAUAACCUCAGACACAGACACUGAGUCUGAUCUUGAGGUUGAGGAGACUUUGAUCAUGCAUGUCAGUUUCGGCAAAUUGAGUUACUCUUGUUAUGAACCGAGACCCUAUCGUAGGAUUUCCAAAUCGUAUCUGCUCGAAUAAUCAAGGCUUCUUUGCCACCUAAAUGGGACAACAUGAACAUACGUUAUCCCUCAGUAUCAUCUCUUUACAAUCUCAAAAAUCUUUUGGUCAUUUGCAUUUGUAAGGCGUACUUGUGGUAGUUCAUUCCCAGAAUUUAUCUUUUGAUGUAGUGGUUAAUUUGUAGUAAAAAGUUUGAGAUUCAGUGGACAUGGUAUUGUAAAUUUUCAAUUACGAACUGCACCUGGUAGAAAUCAACUAUGUUUUUGUAUGGAUUCUCGAAGUUUCAGAUUUUAACAUCAGAUAACUAGGUUCUGUACAAUUUAAAUUUCGUUUUUCUAGUAGCAUCCCCAAAUACUCUAAAUAGGCAUACUUAUUAGGAAACCUAUUAUAUUAAUAAUCUUAAGUUAAUUAAGAUAGUCAUUGGUCUUUAAUUCUCAAUCUAAAACCAGUAGAAACGUUCUGUUUAUAUUUUCCCACGUGGUAUGAAAAAUAUUACUGAAAUUGGUGUGCAUGUUUUGGAUGAACUAUAUGUACUUUUUCUUCUAAGAAAAUCUUGAUAUUCAAUGAUUGUGAUAAAUUAUUUGAUUUUGUAUUAACUGAAACUUUCAUAUUCUUAUCCUGCUGACAAUGGUGGCUUUAAGUAUAGGCGAGAAAAGCGAUUGCCUAAGGUCCUAUAUUAUUUUAAGGCCUCAUUUUUUUUUUGAGUAUUUCUUAAUAGUUCUUUAAUUAAUAAAUAUCUUUUUAAAAAAAAUUAUGUAUUGUAGAAAACCCUAUUAGACAUCUUUAUAAUUAACAAUUAUACCAUAACUUAGAAUUAUUUUUUAUUUAUUUAUAGAAAAUCAAUAUUUGGUAGCCUUAAUGUUCAAAAGAUAUAAUUAAUAAAAUUGUUUAGUCAUUAAUUCAUUCAUUAUUAGUUUUUUUAAAAAAAUUUACAUUUUUUACCUUUUAACUUUCCUAAAAAAAUGAAAAAUUUUGACUUUUAAUAUUCCUUUUAAUUCCUUGUAGUAUAAAAAAUCAAUAGAUAAAUAGGUUUCUUGCUCUCUUUUUUUUUUUUUUUACAAAGAGAAUUAUUACAUUCAUUGAUUCAUUUUAAAAAGAAAAAAUUAGUUUCUUAAAAUACAAAGUGCAUAUCUAUUAUUUGAUAAUCAAUUCAUCAUCUCAAUUUUCUGCUAUUCUAAAUAAAAAAAUAUUCUAUUUGAAAAAAAUAUUGUUUUUAUUUAUUUGUUUGUUUAUUUUUGUAAUAAUUUUAAUGGAAGUAAAAAAGAUAUCUUCUUGCUUAUUUUUUUAAGUUUGGUUUUUGAAAAUUUUUAAGAUCUUUUUUAUUACUAUUAAAAUUCAAGAGUUAAAAGUCGAAUAAAUUUUGUAGUCUUUUAUAUUUCUUUGAGUAUUGAAAUUACAAAAUAAAAAAAGGCCCUACAAAAAAAUUUUGCCUAAGGCCCCAUAUACUCUAAAGCCGGCCCUGCCUGCUGAUAGUGGAUUGUAUAUAAUACAGUAGAUUUUCUUUACAGUAGGUUUGAGGAAAAUGUACAAUCAAGCUCUCAAUUAGUAGCAAUCAUGUAUUGAAGUUUCCGAAAGAUAUCAAAGUUAACUUGAGUUUAUAUCUGUUACACUAUGGAUAAUAUGCAUGAUAUUAUGAUAUCGUUCACAUCUUACAAUAUUAUUUCGGAACCGGUGCUUAACAGGUUCCGUUCCACCAGAAUUUUGUGACUCUCUCCAUCUUCAAGUAUUUUAUUUGGAAAAUAACAAGCUUACAGGUUCCAUCCCUGAGAGCUUAGGUCGUUUCAGUUGUUUGAAAAAGUUGAAUUUGGCGAGGAAUAAGUUAUCUGGCUCAAUUCCAACUAGUUUUGGGAACUUGAAAUAGCUUACAAACCCACAUAGAUUUAAGCUAUAAUGAGCUUGCUGGUGAGCUUAAUCCUUUGUUUUUGAAGCCCCACCAAGCUCAAAAUGUGUGACAAAGAACAAGUAUUAAACUCACCAUCGAACUCAUUAUAACUUAAAUCCAAGUGGGUACGAAAGCCCUUCCGACUAGUUUGCACCAAGCCAAAAAAUACGCUUACAUUUCUCUAAUUUGCUGAUCAUCAUCACCACCUCCAUCAAAGUCAUCAUCUGAUCUUGAUGAUCCUUCUCCUGCUCCUCCACUGCCUUCAUCUCCUUCCCCAACCUCAUUAUUCAUCGCCACCGCAGCGUCCGUGUCCCGGAAUAGUCCAGCCUGCUAAUGAUAAUUAAUAAUUCGUCAAGAACACAACACCCACACCAACAAAAAUGAAAUAAACUACUAAAAAAUAACAUAGCAAAGCAAAUAACGGAAAAAUAAAAUAAAAUAACACAAUAAAGUAUUUAGGAUUUUGGAGUUAUACAAGGCUUAGAGAGAGCGCAGGAGAGGCAAAAAAGUCUUUGGUGCGACGAGUGGGUGGCUUGCUACACGUGGACGCUGUUGGGAAAAUAUGCUCUUUAAAAGCAUAUGUGUUUAUUUAAUUGUAAUAAACAAUUUUUCUGAUUAAUAAAAUAAAUGAGGUAUUUUAUUCAAAUAUCUUAAUUGCAAUAAUAUUUGUAUUAAAGUCCAUUUAAUCAUAUUAUAUGUAUUUAUGUGAUCACCAUGUGGAUUCACAGAAGACAUAAAUACAAGUUAUCUUAUGAUUAAAUAAAUUUAGUUCGCAGUUGAUAAAUAAAGUUGGGCACUUUAUUUAGGUAUAGACUGUAAUAAAUUCAUUGAAUGAUUUGUCUUAAUCAUGUAUGAAUUUAUUGAUGUAGUACGACUACAUUGAACAGGAUCACAUAUGAGAUUUAAUUAACUUUGUAAUAACUGUCAGACUUAUUAAAUCUCAUAGGCGUUGAUUUUACUGUAAUCUUAAUCUUGAGUUAAUUAUGAUUUCAUGAUUGUGAUUGUUAUUUCAUUUGAGUUACCAAUGGGCACGACACAUCCUUGUGGUCAAGAUUACCCGGUAUCUUGGUGGGAGCAAUUAUGAGUAUUGGAGUUAUGGAUUAACAAUAUAGAAUUUGUACAACACAUCUCUUGAUAGGUUUUCGGUACUUGAUCAUAGAAUUCUCUGGCCAGAGUGUGUCAACAUAUUUAGUAUGUUGAAAAUGAUCAUUAGAGGAAACCAGUAAGGAUCAAGGAAUAAGAUGUUAUUAAAUUGAUUGGACAGUUGAGAUAUCAAUUUAAUUAACGAUGUGGUACAAAGGAUUGUGCAGUAAAGAAAUCAAUGUGGCUUGGGACGAAUUAUUAUUCGAGCAUACAAUUAUGGAAGUCAGUUCCAAUCUUUUAGUGGAGUAGAUUUGGAAUUAAAUAAUUGGGCUAGUUUAAUUACAGGCCUAAUUAUUGUAGCCACUAUUGUAUGUUCCCAAAUGAUCCCCGGGUUAGCUCAUUUAAUUGACUGCACCACUACUGGACUAAUAAGUAAGAUAACUAGCUAUUUGGGUCAAAAGCCUAAAUAUAUCAUUUAGUGAGAGGCUCCAUUUAAUUAGCUUUUGUAUAAGGGGCCUUAUGUUAUUUUACAAGGUGGGUCCCCUAUUGAAAAAGAAAAUAACGUGAGUUUUAUUUAGAGCAUUAUUUGGAGCCUAAGGUUUUCACUAAAGGGUGAUAUAAAAGGCUUAUUUUUUCCUAAAGAAAAAGACGGAAGCCACUUUAUACAGAUCAGAGAAAAAGAUUUUUCUCUCUAUUGUUGAGAGAAAAAUUUUCUCGUGCUAGUUGCUUUGGUAGUGAUAAAGGCGCCCACACGUCAAGUGCAGAUCGAACCUGAGUCAUAACCUGGAAGAUCAUUGGAGACUGUUCGUGAUCUAACAAGCGUGGUGGUGACGGAUCGUGAUCUAACAUGAGUGGUGGCGGCGGAUCGUGAUCUAGGAGCCUAAAACACUUCAGCAGGAAAAGCCAACUCGGAUUUUCAAGGUACGAUUUCUGGAUUACGUAUUCCUAUAUAUUAUAUGAGAGCGGUCCUUAAAAGGUUUUAUAAAAAUUUAAAAACCUAAUUUUUCCCCAACAAUUGGUAUCAGAGCCAUCUCAUAUUAAUAUAUAAGAAUUUCGUAUGAAAUUAAUCUUGAUAUUUAUGUAUUAGAGUGGCACAAUUUAUUCAGAUAUAUAUUAUUUGUUUAAUAUAUGAAUAAAGCAUGUUUUGGUUUGUCUUAAUCAUGGUUAGAUUUUCUGUUGUAUUUUUUCUUUGGAUCUGUAAUAGGAGGGGUGGUUUUUUAUCACCAUGUUUCCCUCAUGAUUUAUUUUACUGUUAUAGAAUUUUUGUAAGCCAAAAUUGGCCUAGGAAAUUUGUAAAUUAAUCUCGGAUUUUCAAGAUCGGAGCGACGGAGGCCGGGAAUUUUGACAGCGGCAACCAGCAGCAAGCAGCGCACGGCCAGCAACACAUGUUGCCAGCAAGCGCGCGCUGCAAGCCAGCAGCCAGCGCUCGCGGGAAGCGUGGCUUGUGCGCGCAGCACGCGCUGGCACAGGCUGCACGCGCAGCAAACAGCGCGCGCGGCCAGCGUGGCCAGUAGCGCGAGCUGCACGAGCAGCAAGUUGCGUGCGCGAGUUUGGAGCGUUUCCGGCAACAUGGCGGCGGGUGGUUCGGCGUCGAUGGCUGGAAACAGUGAACAGGGGAUAGGUUUUUGGAGAUGGCGGCUGGGGAAGAGAGAAAGAAAAAUAUGGAAUUAGGGUUUCAUGGUUUCUAUCAUGGAGGUCCCUAUGGUUCCAUAAGUUUUCAUUUGGGCAGAAAAGUUUUAAUUUUUUGCGUUUAAAUCCAAAAACAGUUUUGGGUUUAAUGAAUCCUAGUUUUAGGCCCAAUUUCAAUUGGGCUUAAUGGAUUAAAAAUGCAUAGACAAAAUUAAAUACAUUAAAUUUAUUUUUGGUCCAAAAGUUUUAUUUUAAUAAUAAAAAAAAUAAAACUAUUUAUUUAUUUAUUUCCUUUCAAAAUUAAAAUUGGACCAAUUAUAAAUUUAAAAGCCCAAUUUCCCCUAGUCCAUUAACAAAAACAAGCUUAUGGAAGAUGGACAUUGACAAGAAGCCCAAUGAAGAUUAGGCUUAGGGUUAAUCUAUUUUUCAUUAUUAGGAAAGCCAUGAAUUAAGAUUAUUUAAUUGUUUUUCUAUAUGUUAUGUUUUGGAUGUCAACAUGCCAUGAUAACAUGUCAUAUAGAAUAGGUGGUGCCACUCUAUGCAUAAUGAUACAUGUCAUUCAUUAAUUAUGAAUUUCAUUAUAUUGUUUGAAAUUUGCCUAUGCUUAAUAAUAUUGGAUAUCAUCUAGAUAAUAUUAUAGGAAGCAUGCAAUUAACAAUAUGUAUGUUUUAAAAAUGAAAAAUCAAUUUUAAAAUAUUGAGUGGGAGAGGGAAAAUUCAAGAUAAUUUUUCCCACGGGCUCCAUUGUUAGUUCAAUAAUAAAAUUAUAUAUAUACCUCGACUUCAUGAUACGGUGAUGCUCCCUUCGGAGGGUAUAUAUAUUAGAUAUUUUAUUUGAUGAACUUCUUCAAAGAUAAAAUUGAAAUAUUUUUCAAUCGAUUGUUCACCCCAACGGUGACUAUUGAUAUGAAAAAUACGUAGAUUGAAACAAUGGUUAUACACUCAACUAAAGUUUGUUAUUAACCUUCCCAACGAAGCUCUGUUAACAAAUUUAGGCCCAAAAGGAGAACGAUAAUUAUUUAUCAUGUCUUUACAUGAAAGUAAAUAAUCUAAUGGAUAAUUGGGUCUAGUAAGUGUAGACAUGACUUCCCCAACGGAUAGCUUGUCGAAGCGGUACUAGAUUAUCGUUACAAUAAAUUAAAAUGCAUUUAUGAUUUUUUGCAUUUUUGUCAUUUAUUGUGAAUAUUGUUUCAAAGUAUUUAUGCAUGUGUAUUUUGUUUUUUCAGAAAAUGUCUUCCAUCAACCCAUUAUUAUUUAUCCUUGUUAAAAAUGAACUCACUGGCGAAAAUUAUUUAGAUUGGAAACGCAAUCUAUUUAAUAUCCUCAUUGCUAAAGGAAGCAAAUAUGUGUUGACCCAGCCUUGCCCUCCUGAACCAUCGUUAUACGAUUAUAGAAAUCAGAGGGAGCCUUAUGAGAAAUGGUGCGAAGCUAACAAAAUGGCUAAGCGCUAUAUAUUGGCUUCGAUUUCUAUGGAACUGCAUAAGAAACAUCGGAGCAUGGAAACAGCCACUGAAAUAAUGGCUAGUCUUCAUCAGAUGUUUGAGCAAAAUACCCAUUUUGCCAGAGAAGCAGCAUUAAAACGUAUUACGGAUACUAAGAUGGAAGAGGGCACAAAAGUUCGUGAUCAUGUCCUCAAAAUGAUGGACUAUUUGAAUGAGGUAGAGAUUCAUGGUGUUCAAAUCAAUGAUAAAUCAAAGAUUAACAUGGUGAUUGAAUCUUUACCUGAUACAUUCAAAGAGUUUAAGGUCAGCUAUAUCUUAAACAAUAAAGAUAUGACCUUAAUUGAAUUAAUGCACGAACUACAUGCUAUAGAAGAAUUUUAUCAUAGCAGAAAACUUCCUGAAAAAGGAUUCUCUUCAAGGCUUAAGUCGAAAGACAAGAAUGAGCAAGCAAGAGUUGGGAUCGGCAAACUGUCCACUAAAAGAAGUGGCAAGCCAAAAGGCAAGUGUUACAAAUGUGGACAGAAGGGUCACUGGAAGAAAGAUUGUCCUAAGAUUAUUAAAAUCAGGUAUAGGAAAUCUUUAAGCUUCCUAAUUAGUUCAGAUUUCUAUUGAUUCAUUCAAUAAUAAAUUCUGAGAUAACUAAUCUUAUUUAUAAUUCAUUUAUUUGGUUUUCAGGAAACCAAGAGAUUAAGUGAAGAAAGCUUCAAACAGCAGUUGAGGACGUGCUAGUUUAUAUCAAUUGAAAGACUAGAUCAAUUUUACAAGACUUUAGUUUUGGUAUUUGUCUUUAUUUUUCCAAAUAUUAGAGGAAUUUAAUUUCGGUGGCUUGUUUUAAUAAACAGGAGUACACUGUUAUUUAUGGAUCCUCUGUUUAUUACUUAUUUUGGUUAUUUAUAAAGACAAUUUAUAUCAUAGAAGUACAUUGAUCUAUUCAAAGUAAGAUAUAAUGAUAAAAAGUAUAUGCAUUUAUCUAAGAAAAGAAAUGUUUCUUCUAACCAAAAAUCACCUCUGAUAUUUAUGCUUAAGUCAUAUAAACUAUAAUAAGAUUUUAAGAAAAUGAUUAAUGAUAGACUUGUUGGCCUAUUAAGAUUGAUCAUUGUAACUCUAUAAAUCUUAUUUAGAAAAGUAAUAUGACAAGAAUGCUCUUUUUGAGCUAAAAGCAUAACAUUGUAUUUGAUGAUUUAGCGCAUACAAAUGUAUACGGACUAAUCAGUUUACAUGUUAUAAGAGGUUAUGAGUAUUCUAUCAAUCUUGUUGAUGAAUAUUCAUUUUAUUUAUGUUUGUCUAAAUGCGUCAUGAUUCCAUUGCUUUUGAAAUUCAAAAGAGUACGUGGAUAAGACAGAAGCAAUUAGACAGGAACAUAAAAGAACUUCGAUAUGAUCGAAACAAAGAAUAUCUCUAUGGAGAAUUCAAGCACUAUUUGGUUGUCAAUGAACACUAUGAUACAAUAGUGUAAUUAAAUGGAGAAACAAGAUUCUUUUGGAUAAGACAAGAUAUAUACUAAGUGGUUUAUCAUUUACCUUUUUGAUUCCAGAUACUAGUAUUUGAAACUACAAAGUUUAUUGAACUUAGUUUUAUCUAUCUCGGUGUCUACUACUCCAAGAUAUUAUGAAAAAGUCACAAACAUAGUUUGAGACACAUUCGUAUUUGGAAUUUACUAGAAUCAGAGAUAGAGAAGAUGGAUUCGUGUUCAGAAGCUUGCAUGUUUUAGGUAUCUUAAAGGAAUAAGGGAAAGUCUGAAUUAUAGUCCUCAAGAUAGGAAUGUAUUUAUAGAAAUAUUCUUUACUUUCUUUGAGGAAUACUAUAUAAUGACUUAUAACCUAAGAGUAAGGUAAAACUAGAGAAAUAAAAGAGAUCAGGUUGAUGCUCAACUUUCAACACCUGUUAUAGAACAGGAAGAACAGCAACAACCAGCUGAUCAAUACAAGAUUAUCCUUGAACAACCAUCACUUUUAGAACCUCGUCGUAGUGGGAGGGUAACUAGGUUACCUGCGAGAUACAUGCUUUUGGGAGAAACCUAUACGGCUAUCUCAGAUGAACAUGUACAAGAUCCCACUAGUUACAACGAAACUCUAAUAGAUAGAGAUGUUGAAUUUUAGAAAAAGGCCAUGAAUCAAGAAAUGGAAUCUAUGUAUUCCAAUAAAGUCUGGGAACUUGUAGAGGCACCAAAUGGGGUAAAACCUAUAGGGUGCAAGUAGAUCUACAAGAGAAAAAGAGGAGUAGUCGGAAGGGUGGAAACAUUUAAAGCAAGAUUAGUAGCCGAAGGGUUUACUCAGAAAGAAUGAAUCGAUUAUGAGGAAACCUUUUCUCCGGUUGCUAUGCUUAAAUCCAUCAGGAUUCUGCUCUCCUUUGCUGCAGUGCUAGAUUAUGAAAUUUGGCAAAUGGAUGUCAAGACUGCCUUUCUUAACGGGCAUCUUGAAGAAAACAUCUACAUGUAGCAACCAGAUGGAUUUAUACAAAAAGGCCAAGAACACAUGGUAUGUAAGUUGCAGAGAUCCAUUUAUAGAUUGAAGCAAGCAUCUCGGUCAUGGAACAUCAGAUUUGAUCAAGCGAUAAAAUCGCUUGGAUUCAUUCAGAACAUUGAUGAACCAUGUGUGUACAAGAAAAUUCAGGAAAAAUUUGUAGCCUUCCUAGUUCUUUGUGUAGACAAUAUUCUCCUGAUUGGAAACGAUAUAGGAGUAUUGACUACAAUAAAGAUUUGGUUAGCAAAAUAAUUUGAUAUGAAAGACCUGGGAGAGAUAAGUUAUAUUCUUGGUAUCAAGUUACUACGAGACCGGAAGAAUAAAACUUUAGCCUUGUCUCAAGCGGUCUAUAUCGAUAAGAUAUUGGCUAGAUUUAGCAUGGAAAAUUCCAAGACUGAUUUAUUACCAUUCAGACAUGGAAUUACAUUCUCUAAGGAUCAAUCACCUAAAACAUCUGAAGAGAUAGAGAGAAUGAGACGAGUUCCCUAUGCAACAGCUGUGGGAAGUCUCAUGUAUGUCAUGCUUUGCACUAGGCCAGACAUCUGUUUUGCGGUAGGGAUGGUUAGUAGAUAUCAAUCUAAUCCUGGACCUGAACACUGGACUGGGGACAAGCCUAUAAUGAAGUAUCUGAAAAGAACUUAAAAUUAUAUGCUUGUGUAUUCUGGUGAUAAACUUAUUCUAGUGGGUUAUACUAAUUCUGAUUUUUUGUCAGAUAAGGAUUUUAGAAAAUCAACUUCCGGCUAUGUGUUUACAUUGGGAAGUGGAGCUAUUAGUUGGAUGAGUGUGAAACAAUCUUGUAUCACAGACUCAAUAACUAAAGCUGAAUAUGUGGCUACAUCUGAAGCUGCAAAAGAAGCUAUAUGGCUCUGUAAGUUCCUACGAAAUCUUGAGGUGGUACCUAUUGUAACUGCACCCCUUAAACUAUUUUGUGAUAAUGGUGGUGCGGUAGCUCAAUCUAAGGAACCAAGGAACCACAAGAAACAAAACAUAUUGAAAGGAAGUAUCAUCUUAUAAGGGAAUAGUGUAGAAAGGUUAUAUAAAAGUGCCCCAAAUGGCAUUAGAUGCUAAAUGGCAGAUCUUAUUACAAUGGCCAUUAGUGGGAAACCUUUAUAACCUGCACUUAGAGCCCUAGAGCAUGUGCAAUAUGCCAGAUAUGCUUUGAGAGCUAGUGGGAGAUUGUUGGGAAAAUAUGCUCUUUAAAAGCAUAUGUGUUUAUUUAAUUGUAAUAAACAAUUUUUCUGAUUAAUAAAAUAAAUGAGGUAUUUUAUUCAAAUAUCUUAAUUGUAAUAAUAUUUGUAUUAAAGUCCAUUUAAUCAUAUUAUAUGUAUUUAUGUGAUCACCAUGUGGAUUCACAGAAGACAUAAAUAUAAGUUAUCUUAUGAUUAAAUAAAUUUAGUUCGCAGUUGAUAAAUAAAGUUGGGCACUUUAUUUAGGUAUAGACUGUAAUAAAUUCAUUGAAUGAUUUGUCUUAAUCAUGUAUGAAUUUAUUGAUGUAGUAUGACUACAUUGAACAGGAUCACAUAUGAGAUUUAAUUAACUUUGUAAUAACUGUCAGACUUAUUAAAUCUCAUAGGCGUUGAUUUUACUGUAAUCUUAAUCUUGAGUUAAUUAUGAUUUCAUGAUUGUGAUUGUUAUUUCAUUUGAGUUACCAAUGGGCACGACACAUCCUUGUGGUCAAGAUUACCCGGUAUCUUGGUGGGAGCAAUUAUGAGUAUUGGAGUUAUGGAUUAACAAUAUAGAAUUUGUACAACACAUCUCUUGAUAGGUUUUCGGUACUUGAUCAUAGAAUUCUCUGGCCAGAGUGUGUCAACAUAUUUAGUAUGUUGAAAAUGAUCAUUAGAGAAAACCAGUAAGGAUCAAGGAAUAAGAUGUUAUUAAAUUGAUUGGACAGUUGAGAUAUCAAUUUAAUUAACGAUGUGGUACAAAGGAUUGUGCAGUAAAGAAAUCAAUGUGGCUUGGGACGAAUUAUUAUUCGAGCAUACAAUUAUGGAAGUCAGUUCCAAUCUUUUAGUGGAGUAGAUUUGGAAUUAAAUAAUUGGGCUAGUUUAAUUACAGGCCUAAUUAUUGUAGCCACUAUUGUAUGUUCCCAAAUGAUCCCCGGGUUAGCUCAUUUAAUUGACUGCACCACUACUGGACUAAUAAGUAAGAUAACUAGCUAUUUGGGUCAAAAGCCUAAAUAUAUCAUUUAGUGAGAGGCUCCAUUUAAUUAGCUUUUGUAUAAGGGGCCUUAUGUUAUUUUACAAGGUGGGUCCCCUAUUGAAAAAGAAAAUAACGUGAGUUUUAUUUAGAGCAUUAUUUGGAGCCUAGGGUUUUCACUAAAGGGUGAUAUAAAAGGCUUAUUUUUUCCUAAAGAAAAAGACGGAAGCCACUUUAUACAGAUCAGAGAAAAAGAUUUUUCUCUCUAUUGUUGAGAGAAAAAUUUUCUCGUGCUAGUUGCUUUGGUAGUGAUAAAGGCGCCCACACGUUAAGUGCAGAUCGAACCUGAGUCAUAACCUGGAAGAUCAUUGGAGACUGUUCGUGAUCUAACAAGCGUGGUGGUGACGGAUCGUGAUCUAACAGGAGUGGUGGUGGCGGAUCGUGAUCUAGGAGCCUAAAACACUUCAGCAGGAAAAGCCAACUCGGAUUUUCAAGGUACGAUUUCUGGAUUACGUAUUCCUAUAUAUUAUAUGAGAGCGGUCCUUAAAAGGUUUUAUAAAAAUUUAAAAACCUAAUUUUUCCCCAACAGACGCCCCCAUAGCAAUGAGAAAACCAAGAAAAAAAAAGUUGUUGUCUUGAGAGGGUUGAUGAAAUGGUUCUUGUGAGCAAAAAUGGUGGCAUGUUGAAGUGGGGUGAGCUUUGAUUUAAGGACGUCAAUUAUCAAACAAAACAGAAUGAAGUCUAAAAACACAUUAAUGUUGUGUUUACUUGCUGGAGUGGGAGUGAGGAGUGUGGAUUUCUCCCACUCCAGCGUUUACUUACUUAAAAUGGGGAGGGAUUGGGAGUCCCACUCCGUGGGCCCCACCCAUUUUUGGAGUGGGGAGUGGGAAUCCACUCCCACCUCUCCCAUUUCUAUCCUUUUUUUUAUUUUAUGUUUUAUAAUUAAUAAAAUAAAAUAAAUAAUAUUACAUUUAUUUGAAUAAUAAUAUUAUAUUUAACUAAAUAAUAAUUUACAUUGAUUCUAAGUUAAAAUUAUUUUAAAAUAAUAUUAUUAUAUUAAUAGAGAAUUAAUAAAUAUAAUAUUAUUAUAUUUAUUUUAAAAAUAAUAGUACUAUAUUUAUUUAAUAUUAAUAAUAAUAAAUACUUUAUUCUAAUAAAAUAUUAAUUUUGUACUAAAUAAUAUUAUAUUAUUAUUUUAUAUAAUAAUAAAUUUAAUAUAAUUAUAUUAAAUAAAAUAAAAUAACAUUUCAUUUUAUAUUAAAAUUAAAAUUAAUAAUUUAUUGUUCAUAAUUAAGAAUAUUAAUAAUUAUAAUAAAUUUACAAAUAUAAUAAAAUAAAUAUUAUUCAUUAAAUAUAUUUUUUAUUAGUUUUGUAAUUAAAAACUAUAAUUCUUUAAAUAAGGAUAAAAUUGUAAUUUGAAACUAUUUACUCCCAAUCCAAGACAAAGUAAAUACAUAAAUUGGAUUCUGAUCUCCAUUCCAUGCUUCCAUUCCAGUGUAAGUAAACAACCUACUCCCACUCCCACUCCACACUCCCAAUCCUAGGAUUCACAAUCCUAGGAUUCCCACUCCUCAGGAUUUCCAAUCCAAUCCAAAAAGUAAACGCUACCUAAAAGAAAAGGAAUUGUUGUGUUUGUGUGUGAGAGAGAAAAAGAGAGUGUAUGUAUUUGUUUGUUUUAUUGAGAAACGAAAUGAUGAAAAAGGGUGUUAGGAGUUGACUGUUAGAAAUUCUGUGUGAAAAUGUGAGGAUUCAAGUCCCUCAACCAACUUUUGAAGGAUAUAUUAAUUAACACUAGCUAAUUGAAAUUUGCAAUUAUUCAAAUUAGUGUCAAAAUUACAUAUCCACCAAUAUUGCAAUUUGCAAUACUCAACUGAAAAUAGUUUUAUAGGAAAAAAUAGCAUUAACAUAAAUUUUGUUCUGUAUAUAGGUAAAAAGAAAUAUAUUUCAAACUCCAGUUAAUUUUAUAUGUAGAAAUAUGAUAAAGAUUAAAUUUUCAUCCAUUUGAUAAUUAAGAAUAUAUCUAACUAAUUAAGAAUGCUUUAACAAAUCAACGGAUAGCAUAGUCAAUAAAAUCAAAAUUAUAUACUUGCUGAGUUGAUUGAUUAUUUUUUUCCGAAGUAAUUAACUCAAAAUCUUGAAAGUUUCUUUAUACCUAAUGAAGAAAUAUGGUAUCCAACAUUGCUAGGCGGUGGUUUUAGGCUUUGGAGAAGCUAAAAUUGUAGAAAUGAAAGUAUCUUUUUUGCCCAAAUUUUUACUCUCAUAAGGGACUUUUACUCUAUUCACAUUUCAUAAAGGGAAGACAAUAAAUAAUUGAAUAAGAGAUUUAACCUCAAAAUAUUAUGUAGAAACUCAAACUGUUGUUCUCAUAAUUGUUUAUGAGGCCACUCGGCCUUUUGUCCGAGUGAUUGCAUUAAUGGCAUUAAAUUGCAUAGAACGUAGGAAAUUGAUCCACCACCAUCUAAUUAUAACAUCACAAAUAAAUAAAAGUAAAGAUGAAAUGGAAAUUAAUUGGAGCUUUUACCUUGUUGCUAUACUUGGUAAUGUCCACCUGAUUUAUGAUCCCGAUUAGAAUGCCUAAAAUUACUGCUUUCUUUUUCUUGAUUGUAUCAUCAUCACUUUUGUGAAAUUUUAAAAUAAAAAAAAAAGAAAAAAAUGAGGGAUGCUGGGUCAAUCACUCUUUAAACAACUCGAUUGGACACGCGUUUACUACAUUGUUUUUUUUAUUUUAUUCAUAAGUGAUUAUCCACUAACUACUUAUUUUUUCACACAUGUUUAAACAUGUACAAACUUUUUUUUUUUCAGAAAAUUCUCCUUGAAGUUGACAUUAUUUUCACUCGUCCAUUGUGGCCUAAACUCUAUUAGAAAUUUGUUAAUGUCAUAAGGGUAAAAUUAUCAUUUAAUUUUAACAAACAAAAACGACCCCAAAUCAAAUAAAAAACUCAAUGCCACAAAUUAUCAAAAUGUAAAUCCAUUAAUUCAACUGAAAGAAAAAUGCUCAGCCUUAACCCUAACUCUAACAGCCACACACUAUCAAAAUCAAAAUGAAAUUUUAUUUAAUUUUUAAUCAAAUAAUAACAAAAAGAUGCAUCACUGGUGAACAGUAGCUAGUGCCGGUGGCGUGGUGUGGCAAGGCGCGGUGAUGUCAGGAUUGGGGUUGCCGAAUCUACUCGAUCCUGCGUUCGGUGAUGUCACGCAGUGGCAAGAUAGCUGAUCGUGAUUAAAGUUGGUAAUGAGUGAAAGACAAGAGAAGAGGCUACAAAUUUUAUUUGACUGAGAAGAGAAGGUAAUGAAUUUUUUUUUUUUCAGAAAGAAGAGGUGAGACUACAAUUUUUGUUGGAGGCUGACCAUUAAAAAAAGAAAAGAGAGAGAGAGAGACAGAGAGAAGAAGAAGCUGAAUUUGGUGCAAGUGAGUAAGAAGACUGGUUUUAUUUUGAAUGAGAUUGAAGAUAAGCUUUGUGCCUUGCUGCUGCUGAUGCUUUUUUUUUGUUUCCUUCGUUCUUCUUCUCUACUACUACUUUUUUUUUUUUUUGAGAAAGUAAGCCUUUCCAUUGAUUAAAACUGGAGAAUAACAUCCACAGCGGGAACUGGGCAGUUUCCUAUCCAAAGGAUAGGGUCUACACGAUCUAAAGCUACCUUUGCCAAGUUAUGAGCCAUGACAUUACACCUUCUUGGUACAAAAAGAAUAGAUGCCGUGUUCUGCCCUUUUAAACAUUCCUAAAUUUCUUCUAUGUUCCAUGAUAUUUCAGCUAAGCUGCUCUUCCUUUUCAGAACAAGCUCCACAACUUCUUUAGAGUCUGAUUCAAUAACAAAAUGGGCACAAUUUGCUUCUCUACUAUUACUACUUUGCCUAAAUUCUUUUAAUUUUUUUGUUUAGUGUUUGGUUUUGAUUUGGAUAUUGGAUUGAGUUUGGGAUUAGGUUUGGGUUUUAAUUCUUUUAAUUAUUUUCAUUUUUAAUUUUGGUUAUUUUGUUUCAUUUAUUAUAAUUUUGAUUAUUUUUAUUUUUUAUUUAAUAUAUAAAUUGUAAACAAUAACCAAAGUCAUCUAAUACUUUUGUCAUUUAGCUCGGUUUUGUCAUUUAGCUCGGUGAAAUAGUAAUUUUACAUUAAAGGAUCAAAACAAUCAUUAUAUUAAUAUUAUGUUAAAUUCUCUCACAGUCAUAGACAUUAGACGAUAGUAAAAUAAUGAUAUAUUUUGUAAACUUUCAAUGGAAUUCUGUAAAAAAUAAAAGAUUUAUAUAUUUUUUUAAAAAAUUUAAAAAAUGGGUGAUCGGUAGAUAUUACCCUUUUAUUUAUCAAGCACAUGUGUCAUGUCUUGUCUUUUGAAUUUAAUGCUUUCUUUUAUUUGUUUUAUUACCCAAUUUGUUCAAAACAAUUACAGUUAUGCCACUUGUUCAAUUUAUAUAAUUUUAGAAUAUUACCUUUAAGUUAACAAAAUUAUCUAAAUUUUUAUUAGGAUUCGGGAUCUCGUCCUGAACCAUAUAGAGUUCAGUUCAGUAUCAUUUUUUAAAAAAUUGAUUUAAAAUUAGUUGAGAUUUAAUAUAAAAUUUUAUCCCAAUUUAUUAUUUAGAAUAUCUGGAAAUAUCAAUCAAAAAUCUUGAUUGCCUUGACUAUUAUUUUAAUUUUUAAUUAACUAAAUUAAAAAAUCAUUUAUCUUAAAAAUAAACAAAAAUAAUUGACCCAAGCAUAAACCCAACAAAUUCACUACUUUGCAUUCACUUUUAAAGUUUGUUUAUUUAUUAUUUAUUUUUUAACGACAUUUAGUUUUAAAGUUUAAUUAAACUAAACAGAUGAAGAAGAAAAUAAAUUAGUUUGUUGAUUUACAUAUUAAAUUUUAGAUAAUGAAUGGAUAAAAUCGGGACGUUGGCAUUUAGAAUCGCAACUUGCAACAUAAAGCAAGAAGAGUGUGUGAGUAACAAGCUUUACCAUUUCUCUCUUAUAUACAUAUUUAUUAGGAUGAGUUGAGACUUGAUAUUUUUUUCCCUCUCUCUCUUAAAAUAACUUGUUUUUCAAUUUUUAAUCAGGUAUAUAUAAGAACCACGUUGGUCUUGGGAUUUGAACGAAUUAUCUUUAGUUCAAGUGAAAGAUAACAAAUUAACUUUUCAAAAAAAAAAAUCAUAACAAAUUAUUAUACAAGCCAAAAAAAAUUUAUUCACGAUCAACUCUUAUUAUUAUAUCAGCAAGUUACUAAAGGAUUAUAUUUCUUUUUUCUUUUUUUUGGUCUGAACCACGAGGUGGUCCUAAGUGGGCCCCAACUGUAAGAGGCACCUUGAAGUCCGUACCACAACUUAGACUAAUCUUCACUCGCACCAGGUCGGUUUGUAAAGGGUAAAGUACUGGCCAAAGUGGUGACUCCAUACGAGAACGGGGCUUGAAUCACUGACCUCUCUUAAGAAGUGAAAGUGUCAAACCACUUACACCAACCAACUUUGGUUUAUAACACUUGUAAUAAUUCAAAUUAUUUCAGUCACGACAAUUACGAUGAUUUUUCAUUUGCUCGAUGGCAUGGGGCAAUUGCUGGAUACGAAAAGGCCCAGCAAUCAAGCCCAACAGAAAAAGGACCAAAUGGAAGCCCAAUACUGUUUCUACUCUUGACACACAAGACACAGCAAACGGCAUCUUCUUCAAGCAAGACUUAUUAACACAUUUAUUAAUUUUAUUUCUUUUAAUUUCAAUAAAAAAUUUGAUAACAAAAUAGCUAAUUUGAGAAAUAUGGUCAAGAAGUGUGUGCAAAUUUUAAAAAAUAAUAAAAUAAUAAUAAUUUUCAUAAAUUUAUUAAUUGUAUUUUCUAAUUAAAAAAAGAUAUUUUUAUGUCUAUAUAAUAUAUAUGAGGUUAUACGUGGAACUGUAUGAAAGAUCAAACUUUUCAAUAUUAAAUUUUACAAAAAUAUAGUAUAGGAUUAGGUGAUUUUCACCUAAGAAUUUUUUUUUAAAAAAUAACCAAACAUCAUAAUUAGUUUUAAAUUUCUCAAAAUUUCUUUUGAACCUCUCAUUUGCUUCUCAAAAUAACUUCUUAUUUGUUGACAUAAAGGAAUAAUGCGAAAGUGCCUCUAUUGUAAAUUAAAUUAUUAUUAUUAUUGUAGUUGUUAUAGAACUUUAUUUCUUGUUAUACUCAUGAUACACUCAUAAAUCACAGCUUAUAAUGAUUUGAGUGGGAUACAAAAACAAAAACCUUUAGGACAGAUUUGUUUGUUUUCAUUUUUACAACAAAAUCCAUUUUUAGAUGGACAAUCCCUCACACAAUCAGAAUCUUGGGUGCAACGAAUUGGUAACCCUCCAGUGUAGGCUUCAGCACUUGGUAACUCAAAGAUUGUGAUGCCUGCAAAUUGAGGUCAAUAAUUCAUGAUUAUAGAGAAAUGAAAUAAAAAGCGAAAUGUGUUAGUAAUUAGUAAAAAAAUAUACAAAGAAAGAGAGAUAUUUGGGACAUUGACUAACCAUAUGCAACGAUCAUGAGAACGACCAAGAAAGUUAGUUUAAACGAGACUUUCUCCAUUUGCUGUAAGAAAAAGAUUAUGCAGGAUGUUUCUUUGAGUGGGAAAAAAAAUCUAAAAAAAUUGUAUGCAAGAACUUUGUUCUUCACCUAAUAUUUAUAGAGAUGUAAUAUACAAAUGGUAAAAUGGCACACCCAACUUCUAAGUUAUUUUAUAGAAAAAUCACAACAAAUCAAAUAAACUUGCAACCGAUUAAUAUUCAAAUCAUUAAACCUAGCCCAAUAGGAAACAAUAAAAAAAAGGAAAAAAAAUAAUUUUUUUCAUUUUUUUCCAGCUUCGCAUUAACAACGCAGACACAUUUUCCGUUGUUGGUAAAAUCUCCAUCCAUCUUAGCUCAUAAAUUUAAUUACAUCAUUACAAUCUCUCAAUCAACAUCUACACAGUACAUGUAAGUUGAUGAUCCCACUAUUAAUUCCAUUUCACGUUGAUUAGGGUAAAAAAAAAAAAAAGGAAGUUUUCUUGUAUUCAUGUAAUUUCUAUAAUCUCUUAAAAAUUCCAUAUGAAGUAGGUCUAUUUUGCUAUUAACUAAAUAUCCCAGAUUUUGUAUUAUUGAAUCCAUUUAUUGCCUUAAGGCUAUAUAUAUGCAUAUUUUUUAACUUUACUUUGAACUCAUCUCGUGCCAUUGAGUUUUUGACUUUCUUCUGUUUAUUGCUACCAUUUUUAAAUUAAAAAAAUUGAUUCAAUCGAUGGACUUAUUAAUAAUUGAUCAACUUAAUUUCAUUUAAUUGAUCAACCUAGUUUUCUUUCAUUAACGUUUUAUAGCAUGAUUCAUUCGUGAUAUAUAUUUACAACAUUUUUUUUAUGUGUCCUUUGCUUCAAUUCACUCAUAAUAAAUCUUAAAAUCAUUAACGACCAUCGUGAUUUAACUAUAAUAGUCUGAAAACAAUAUGAAAAAAAAUAUAACUCUAUGGAUAAUUCAAUUUUAAGGGUAUUAUCAGACAAAUCAUUGCACUAACAAUUUUGAUUGUUUGCUUACAAAAGUAAAAUAUGCAUUUGUAUAACUGGUUUUGCAAUAAGAAAAAAUGUUAAAAGGUACCCCAAUAUUUUCUUUCAAGUUUCAAGUUAAUUAUAUGGUUGCUAAGUGAAUUAAGAAAGUAACCUCAUUGGCCUCUCUUAUAAUAUGGAUGUCUUUUGAAUUAUCUUAAUUUAGAAUUUAUUGACAUACACUAAUUGAUAAUUAACUUUUUUGUUCUCAUAAGUGAUCUUCUUCUUUAUGCUUCACCAAUGGUGACAACAUUUUAAAUCAAUAAGAUAUUCAUUAUAUUAGCAGAAAUUACGAGGGAUCUCAACGAGAAUAUUAGAAUAACCCAAAAUAAUAAAAAGGAUGAUUGUGGCUUGAACACUGGUUCUCGCCACAAGUUGGGCUGGUUUAUGCUCAAUCCACGGCCAUAACAUCCUAGGAAAAGUUGAAUAAAUAAUAUUUUGUGAGUUCUUGAUGGAGCGAGAGUAGCGGAAGCAAAAUUGAUUGGGUAAGACAAAGCGGAAGUGGAAUUGAUAGAAUAGAAAACACUAAAUAUCAUUCUAAUACUUGACCAAGCCAACGCGAUUAGGUUACGUUUUAAUCGAAGCAUGAUUAGAUAUCAUUUUAAUCUUAAUGACUCAAUAAGAUUUUUAAUAACGCUUAAAGCGAAAUUAUAUGACGUUUUAAUCCAAACAACUCUACAAGAGAUAUUUUGAUAGAUAAUUCCAAAGGAAAUUAUAAAAGAGGAAACUAAAUUAUAAAAGAAGAAACCCACUUCCCUAAAUUAACUUAAAAAAAGGGAAACUAAAUCGCAAUUAUAAUGGAAAUAAAAUAUACUUUUUCUAAGUUAACUAAAUCUCAUGCCUUAAUUGACUCUAAUAAAAAUAGAAAGUUUAAAAAUAAUAAAAUACCAUAAUUGACUCUAAUUAAAAUAGAAAUCCUAAAAUAAUAAAAUUUUGGAAUUUUAAAAUUUCUAAAAUAACGUCCUACAUUAGUUCUAGUUGAUACUGUUAAUUUUGCAGAAAAUAUUUUUUAACAUAUUAAAAUCUUCAUAAAUCUUUUAUAGACCUUUCCUCAUUUAGGCCUUCUCGAAAAGCUAGAACUUACAAUCAAACUUUUGCCCCAUUAUAUGACAUAUGUUAGUAAAAUUCAUUUUUACAAAUGAUAAUUCUAUUCACCCCUUUCUUUAUAUUUUCUAAAAGAUCUAAAAUUUUACUCCCAUACUUACGGAAAAAUUCAACCCUUCUAAUGAUAGGCGAUGGUGAUGAUGAGAGAGAAAGAAAAAUAAAAUAAAAUUAAUUAAUAAUAUAAAAAAUUUUAAUUAUAGUAAUUUUAAAAAUAAACAUUUAAUACCCAUAACUAAGACAUCGUUGAGUUGGGUUGGGACCCCAGGCAUGGUCAUAGCAGGUAUGAAACUUUUUCAAUUGUCCGGUUCCUUAGUUAGCUCCUCAAACUUCAGAAAGUAUACAUUUCCGAGGAGGUGUCUUCACCUAAAACCAAAUCAACUUAUUUGAGCUCAACAAAAGUUUGUAUCUCCCUCUAAGUAACAUAUAUUUAUAUGGUCUCAACAUACACCUAAUAUUGAAAUUCUUUUCAAAAGCAUCACUUCAUUCAAUGAAAAGCACAUUGGCCAUUGUAUUUGCCGUCUUUUACUAAGCGGGUACCAUCAAGAUCAACCACUACACCACUUUUUAUGCUACUUGAAAGAAGAUUAUAAAUAUUUUAGAGUUCCACAAACUCUAUAAUAUAGAAAUUUAAAUCAGUGCACUACACAUAAAUUUCGUACAGAAAGAAGAUUCAAACAUCUCUAUAAACACAAACUCUCGAGAUGUUUUAGAGUUAAACAAAACUACCAUUUCAUGCCUAGAAAAAAUGUAACAAUUUUUCCCGCUAGAGUGGUUAAUAAUCAAUACGGAUUUGCUUCAAGUCACCGGAGAGGCUUUUAGAGCAAAUGCAACAAUUUUGGGUUCUAAAAUUUUGCUCUUUAAAGCGUUAUUUUGGCUUAGUGUUUCAAUUAUCAAGAAGAGGUACAAAGAUCAAUGGCUCCUACUAUCCUCGUUUUAGCUUAAUAUAUAUCUCUCAUUUUAAUAAAUAUGGUUGUUUCUUAAAAAUUUAAUUAAGAUCAUUGGCUUUGAGUUACUACUAUAGGAUUCCGAAAAUGAUCAGCAGCCUAUUUCUUCUUCAUCUUCAAAAUCACCCAACAAACCAAAGUUUGUUCAAAUUUAAAUGUCCCUGCUAUAUUAGUACUAACGUUUGUCUCAAAAUUUUGCUCGAUUAAUCCUUGACUUCAAAAGGAACAACGAUCUUUUCCUAUUCAUAGUUCCUUUUUUUUUUAACUCAUAUUUUAAUGAGUGGGUAAAAUUGAGUUUUAAAUUUUAAUGUUGAUAAUCAAGCCAGCUUUUUUUUUUUAUUUACGAUUAAGCCAACUUUUUUUAAUUAGAUUUGAAAAAUUAGGAGAGUUUAGGAUAGAAAAAAAAAAAUUAAGAGAGAAUCCUAAUCUGUAAUACCCCACACCCGAUUAUUUUUGACCCUUCACCUAUAUAAAUUGAGCGCGAUUAAACGCUCGGAUAGUCGGAUUUUUUUUUCGUCACGGGUCCGGUAUUAGCUUAAUUUGUAUUAAGCUUAAGUGGAAAAAAAAAAAAGAAGAAAGAAGAGGAAGAAAAAGUCGGGUUUUAUAUAUGGAAAAAGGGGGGAAACUGUUUUUGAAGAGAAAUGAGAGAGAGAAGGCACGAGAGAGAGAGAGAGAAAGAGUUUGACCCGACAUUGACCCGGAUCCGACCCGGAAACCCGCGACCUUGACACGAUUGUAUCUCCCGAUUCCGGCCACCUCACCGGCCGAGCUUGGUAUCGAUCUGAAGCUUGGAAGCCGACCGUUAUAUCCCAGCUGUCCUCGUCGCCGGAAACCGACUAGAACGCCGGCGAUUUGAGCUCGAAAACUCGCGGCCAAAACCCGUUUUCCCCGCCAUCGAUUUCGCCGGAGUUUGGGCACACUUCCAGCUAGGUUCUACUCCUCACGUCACCAGCAUCAUUUUCCGACCAACCUCGUGACCCGAAACGGCCGGAUUGCCGGCGAUCAACCACUUGGGAAGCUCGCGGUUUUGGAAGCUCGAUUUGCCGCUGUUGCCGCGCGUGGGAGGUCACCGCCGGCACCAUUGGACUCAGCGUGGCUUGAAAUUUCAGUUCUGAGCUUCCCGUUGCCGUCGGAUGAAUUCCGGUGACCGUUGACCGGCAAGGGUAUUUUGGUAAUUUCACAGUCUAAGGGCAAUUUUGUAAUUUCAGAUUUUGUGGGUAUUUUGGUAAUUGCUGUAAUUGAGGAUAAAGUUGGUAAUUUAUGAUUUUGAGGUUAAUUUGGUAAUUUUGAUAUGAGGGUAUUUUGGUAAUAUUGAAUUCAAGGGCAAUUUGGUAAAUUCAUAAACUUGAGGGUGAAUCUGUAAUUUGUGGAAUCAAUGGAUAAUUUGGUAAUUUUAAGUUAGGGCAGUGAGGUAAUUUGAGAUUUCGAGGGUAAUUCGGUAACUUAAGUUGUUAAGGACAUUUUGGUAAAUUUACGCUCCGAGGGUAAUUUCGUAAUUUUUGACAUUGUGGUUAUUUAUGUGAUCUGAAUUAAGGACAAUUUGUUAAUUGAAGAUUCUGAGGAUAAUUUGGUAAAAUAAUGAUGUUGGGGGCAUUUUGGUAAUUUUGGUAUGUAGGGGUAUUUCGGUAAUUUUGUGCAUGCGGGAAUAGUUUAUUGUUGAUAGAUAUUCGUUUCGAGAUUUAUUAUAUAAAAUUGGUUGUAUUUCAAAGUUACGGAGAAUGAUUAUGGCGUUUCCUUGAUUAGGAGGAUUCGCAAACGAGAAUUUAACCCGCGGACGUUGUCGACACCGAGUCUGGACAUUGUCACUGUGAGUGGAAUAUACAAAACCUAUUUUCAAAGUACAUGAUGAUUUUAUGAUACAGUGCAGUAUGUUUUGAUAAAUAAGUGUUUAAUGCUUCGAUUUAAUGAUUUUCUAGAAAAUUGAUUUUUAUUUAUGUGUUGAUAUUUAUUGUUAUUGAGAAUGAGUUUGAUUAAUGAUUUUACUAUCGAUUUUGAGUAAAUGCAUGAGAUUAGAAUUGAGUAGAUUUGAGAUAUGUUGAAUAGAAAGAAAAUGAGAUUUCAGAUGUGAUUAUAUGUUAAUGUACAUGUGUAUAAAUGUUGUUUUUGAAAUCAUUAGACAGUACCCUUCCCUCUAGAUACAGAGAUACAGAUAUGAGAUACAGAUCAGUUAUUGAGAUACAGUGAUACAGAUAUGGGAUACAGAUCAGUUAUUGAGAUACAGAGAUACAGUGAUACAGAUAUGAGAAACAGACAGUUGAGAUACAGGCCUUUGGGGCCCGUCUGAGUACACACAGAGGCUUUGGGCCGUGUACUUGGGCGCUUUUGUCCUUUGGGGACUAGAUUAUGCAUGCAUAGAUAUGAUGAGAUAUGAGAUAGUAUUUCCCUAUCUAUCCAUGUAGCUCCGGGGCGUGACGUUACCUAGAUAGUGCGUCAUUGCCCGUCCGUUGAGGUCCAGAUAUGAUAAGCUUUUUUCCCAUCUAUCCGUUGUAGCUCCGGAGCAUGAUGGUUCCUUGAUUGCCCGUCCGUCGAGGUCCGGAUAUGAUAAGAUUAGUCCCCUGGGUACUUGUUUGAUGAUAGUUUUUGGUAUUCAGUAUUUGAUAUGAUAAGUAUUAUAAUUUCAUCGAUUUUAUGCAGAUUUAUGUAAUAUAGUAUUUCGGUGAUUGAUUUGACUUAAAUAAGUUUAUGUAAGUUCUUAUGAUAUUUUGAUGAAAUUGAUUUGAGAAAUUGAUUUGAGAAAGAUUGAAUCAUUUUAAAUAGAUUUAUUUAUUUGUCAAAAAUUACUAUCCACUCAUUGAGCUUACUGAGUUUUAUACUCAUCCCGUUUUUAUUAUAUUUUCCCCCGCCCACAGGAGAUUUGCAGGUACAUCAGUCGACCCAGUAACGAUAGUUAGAUUUGAAAUUGUGGCCACAUGAUGGUGACAGGAUGUCGUAGAUUUAAUUAUUUUGAUAUUUGGGAUAUUGCGAAUUGUAUUUAUUUAUUAUAUUUUGUAAUUAAGGAUAAUCAUUGUAUUUUAACAUUAGAAUGAUUUUGGGUGGUAUUUGGUAUGUUGGCUUGAGAAGUCGGUUGUGGAGGAUGGAUGAAUAUUGAAUUAUUUUGGAAGUAUUGUUUUGUAAAUUGCAGGUUGAGAAUUAUAAUAUGAACCGAUAUCUAAAGGUCCGGCUUCUAAAUCAAAUAAAAGCUUAUUCAUAAUUAACCCCCGGCGAUGCCCAAAAACUCUAUGAACAAAUUAUUAUACAAGCAAGUUACUGCAUAAUUAUAUUUCUUAUUCGUGGAUAGCACUUGUAAUAAUUCAACUUGAUUUUCUUUCAAUGACGAUUAUAGCAUGAUUCAGUCAUUCUAUUCACGAUAAAUUUUUAUUUUUUUCGUGUCCUUUUGCACCUUGGCAUCAAAGCACAAAGUACAAGGGGCAAUUGUUCGAUAUGAACUUCAUCACCGGCAUGGUUAACAGUAACAUGGCCCAAUAAGCAAGCCCAAGUGAAAAAGGACCAAAGGGCAGCCCAAUAUUGUUUCCGCUCUUGACAUCCAGGAAAUCAAGCAAGACUCAAUAAAAACACAUUUAUUAAAUAUUAUUUUUUAUUUUAAUUUCUCAAAAGAAUUGAUAACAAAUAGCUAGGUUGAGGAGUAUAUGUGAAUUACAAAAAAUCAUAAUAAUAAUUAUCUUCGUAAAUUUACUGAUAACAUUUUCUAAUUGAAUAAGGGUAUUUUCUAAUUGCUAUUCGGCUUGCACAAUUAUCUUCAACACUUUGUAGGCUUGGUUGCUUGGUCGUUUUGAUUUGUAGACUUGUAAUGGAUUCAGAGAUUUUUGUUCUUUGAAUAGUGGGGUGUUCCUUUCGGGGAAAAAGGGAAAAAAAGAAAAAAAGAAAAAUAGAGCGAUGUUGGCUAAGCAAGGUUGGUGAAUGGUAUUUGAACAUUCUUUGGGCUGAAAGCUCGAUACUUUAAACACAGUUCUUUUCUUACCGCAAAGCAUGGUCAUAACCCUUUUCUUAUAUCUGUUGAAGUCUUCUAUGAGGGCAUGGCGUUCUUGAACGAGGUAUUUGGUGACAUAUUAAGUGUGGGUCACGCAACUCACAAGUGGAUGUCUAUCACGGCAAUUGGAUUCCACUGCUCAAAUAUUUUCGCGCAGUCUCUAGUGCUUCGUUUUGAUACAAAAGUGUCUCCUUGUGCCAAUGGAUAGUAAUCGUAGGAAUAAUGCUUUGUUGCGGAGUAUUUUGUGCCGAUGGAUGUUGAAUCCAUUUUUUGAAUUCAUUUGCCUAGUACUCCAACGGCUAAUGAGGUGUUACGACAUUUUGCGAAAGAUGGCAUUUCUACUGUUAAAUAAGGGUGUCUUAUGUCUUUGGCUUGGGAGAAUAUGGAUGUUGCGAAAAAUUCUAGUAGUUCUUCAAGGGAUCGGAAUAAGAUCUGGCAUUUAAAUGUUCUUUGGAAGGCCAAAUUCUUUUUGUGGCAGGGUUACAUAGUUAUGUUUCAUUUAGUUAACGGCUAUUUGAAUUGAAGAAAGGGUUUGAUGAAUACAAACAUAGGACAGUGCAGAGAUCGAAACCAAACUUUAUGUUAGUGUAAGGUGCCCAAAAUCUUUUGCAUCGCUGCACUGCUUAAUUCAAAAUGUUCUUACAAAUGCCUUUGGCGGUCGGUCACAAUUUAAUAUAUUACCCAAUGGUGUUCUGUGUCAAACUCUAUUUUGAGAUUUUUGUGUUGAACUAUUCUUCUAUGGAUGUUUGGCAAAUGGUUUUGAAGGUUUUUGACACUUUUGGAGGACUGAUCUUGAAUUCUUAUGUCAAUUAUCAUGCUUUAUAUGGGUUGAGUGGUUCUACAGGAAUAGAUAUCAAUUGUCACACACGCACACAAUUACACGCACACGCUUAUAUUUGCAAUGUUGUAAAUAUUUUACAACACUGAUUUUAUGUCAAAACAAAGUUAAGUUUAUAGUUUAAUCACUACGGCUUCCAUCAAAACAAAAUCCUGAAUCUGCCGUUGACUAAGAAUGCUCGAGACUUUUUUAUUAAAUGAGGUCCUGGGGAUAAAAUCUUAGGUGAAACAAUCCCAUAGGACCCGCACCGUCAUCAUAUAGAUGUGGUGAGAUUUUCUGAUUUUCAAAUUUAAAUUUGACAAACAUGAGAGACAAUGAUGGUGGGACUGAAAAUUUAAAUUUAAUUGGACGGUGCCAUCCCUCUCUCAUGUUUGUCAAAAUUUAAUUAAUUAAAUAGUUUAACAUAAGUUUUUUUCAACAGCAAGACAAUGUUUGUUUUAAUGUAAAGUCAGUGUAUUACGUCAAAGCGAGAAAGGAUUUGCUAUUGGUUUAAUAAUAUGGUUUGACACUAAACUGAUUUAUUAUUGUGAUAAUUGUCUUAUUUUUCUUAGUUAUUUUGCGAAUGUGAUUAAACCGAUUAAAUUGGUUCUCUUUAAUUUAGUUUAGCAUAUACAUAAAUGUAUCCCUAUAGCAAUCUCUACGGAUAAUACACUCGCAGAUUGAUCGGUCAAACUCUCGCAAAGUUUUAAAAAAACUGAAGUAACAAAAAUAAAUUAGUCCGAUCAUUGACCUGACUAGGCUGGAAUGCAAACAUUAGCAUGUGGGUUCAUUUUUUUUUUUCCAAGUAAAUUUUUUUUAAUCUCUACAGUGUGAGUAAACAGCAAUGCAAUUUAUACCACACAAGUAAAAAUAAUUGAAGAAAAUAAAUAAUAUGAAAUAUAAGAAAAUUAAUGAUAAAAUAUGGUUAUAUUGGUUUGAAUAAGAAAAAUAUUUUCGUAUAAGAAUUCCAAUCUUAUGCAAUUUAUACCACAGGAGGAAAAAUAUAUAAUUAAUUCAAUCCAACUUAUUCUAAUUAUUAUUAUUAUUUUGAAUAUAUAAUUAUUAUUAUAUAGAUGUGGAAAAAUAUAUAAUUAAUAUUGCCAGUAUCGCAUACAGUUGCAAAGCUACAGCCACUACUAAAAAAAUGACCUUUACUAACACUUAGUUUCUGACACUUUAUAAAAAGUAUCAGUAAUUAUGUACAUAUGCACCAUUUUCCGCUUUUAACAAACAAAUAUUAUAAAUUAUUGAUACUAACGUGUCAGUAAAUUAAAUAUUAAAAAUCACUGAUACUAAAGUAUCAAAAGUUUAAAAAAAAUAAUUAGAAUUUGUAAAACUUUGAACUCGAACCUAAGACUUCUAAAAUUUAAAAUACUUAUGUUUGUUCCGCAAACCAUCAGACCGAUAGAAUUAAGACCCAAAUAUUAUAUUAAAAGAUUAAAGAACAAAAAUUAAAAAACAAAAUCCCCAAUCGAUCUCUUCCCCUCAUUUCGUCUAAGUGAAUAAAACUUACAAACGAAAACUUACAAAAUCCCUAAAUCUACCACGCCGCCGACGCACCCAAAACCUCUCCUAUCACUGCCGUCACUCGACUACCCACUGCCGUCGACUCCCAUGCACCAAAGUCUGGUCUCUUUUGCUGUCAUCAUCUCCUGUGCACCAAAGUUCAAAAUCCCCUGUCGUGAAAGUUCAAAAUCCCCUGUCGUGAUUUAUGAUUUUGUGUCAUCAUCGGUAAUAAAUCCACUGUCGUCAUCACCCUAAGGUCGUAACAGCUUCCACCCAUCAUCAAUACUCAGCUAUUCAUCAUUGGUAUAAUAUAUCAGCCUUUGUGGUCGCUGUUGUACUACCUCAAUCUCCGUCGUCGCUUCCGUACUGCCUCAAUCUCUAUUCAAGGUAAGCUCAAUCUUAUGACUGCCUCAAUCUCUGCCUUUUUUAAUUUAUUUCUUUCAUUGGUCUUCUUUCUGUGCUCUCCUUAAUUUCUAAUUGACUACAAUUACAAAUUAAGAUUUAUUUUGAUAAUUUUGUUAUAAUUAUUAUUUUGACGAGAUCAAAUUUAUUUUGAAAUAUUUAUAAAGAAAUUUUAUUUUUCUGUCCAUUAUCGCCAACUUAUUACUUAUACAUGCGACGUGAUAGAAUUUACUUACCGCACACAUUAACUAUACUGAUUUUGAUGAAGUAUUGCUCUUGAACAUGUACUAGAAUUAUUGUUGCAAUGAGUCUUUGAUUAUCGACAUGUUAUUAGCAUCUCUUAAUAGAAAUAUCUAGGUUAUCCAUGAUGACUUUAAAUUGAAAAAUGGGCUUAAUUGAAAAUGGCAUGAUGGGCAAAUAAAAGUCAUGAACAAAAAAGUGAAGUGGAGGGUAAAUGCAGUAGCAUUAGGCAUCUGGCGGCAGUAGAGGCAAGUAGGUGGAGAUGGUCCUGGUGGGUAUUGUAAUGUAAUAAAGAAAAAAGGAGUGGGUUGCAGUUGUAGUUGCCUAUUGUAGAGUGAGAGGGACUCAUGAACCCUUUUGUAAUAUUAACAAAUAUGUACACACAUAAGCUAUACAUUUGUCUAUGUGUACUUAAUUCAACUAGAUUUGGAUUGCUAUGAAGUCGGGUAUGAAAAUUAUGUUUGAUUUUAGUUUUCAAUGGAAAUUUCAAAGAGAAUCCCACGCCAUUGAAAUUUCAAACAGGGAGGAGAGUUAAAUGGUUGUUUCCCUUUUUUCUAUUUGGUUCUUCCCAAGUUGAAAUGAAAACGAACAGUAGAAUAACAUGGUCUUGAUUGGGGUGAGCAUUUGACUUGGUUCAAUCCAAACUGAAUCUAAUUGAGCUGUAUUAUGGCAGUUCGGUUCAAUUCGAUCAGGCAAUAAAAAUCAAAUGAUUCAUGUGAUUUAUUUAAUCUAUAAUAAAUAUGAAUAAAAGUGUAUUUGAAAAUAAGUGUAAUAUUAUAAACUUAUGUUGUUAGGGGAAUUAUUAGAGAUUACAAAAAUGGUAGGAGAUAACAGUAACAGAAAAAUUGGCAAUCUACCUUGGGAAAAAUGAAGAGAAUAAUUCUUCUUGCUGCAUUUCUAUUGUCAGCAUUUGGUUUUGCUACGAGUAUGUAUACUUAUAUCAUGGGAAGAACCAGAACUGCAACUAGAGUACAUAGGCAGAUGCAACUAGUUAGGACUGCGGAAAUUUCUUUCUCUGUGGUUCAAUUAGUUGUUACGCUUGCUAAUUUUAUUCUGGCAGAAUUGGGUGUCAAAAACAGCUUUGAUGCAUAUGUUUUCUCACUAGUCUUUGCUAUAAUUGUUGCUGCAUUUAAUAUUAUAUAUGCUGGGGGAGUUUCCAAUUCAUCAGGCUUUGCCUCUCCUAUUGCCCCAGCUGCUGAUCACCAACUGUGAAAUUCCCAGGUAUGAUUGUGAAUAUAAUUGUAAAUAUCAAGCUGCACUGGGGGAAUUCAUGUAAGCAACUCAUCACCUCUAUUACCUCCUACAAAUUUAAAUAAACUUGUGUUAGAAUAUAUGACGGCAUGGCAAUUAUGCUCGAGUCUAGGAUUAAUUUGUUGUCCCUUGGCUAAUUCUAGCCAUAUGCUACUUGAUCCUAGGCUAUUAUAUGAAUCAAGGCAUUCAUUUAAUGUAGGGGCUCACUAACUAUAUAACCCCUCUUUUGUACAUUCUUUUAUAUGUUGAAAUACAACUUUGCAUCAAUUGUCUCUCUUUUACUUUUUAGUUUGCUUUCUUUUUGUCUUAUUACAAGUUGCAUGAGUCGACAAACUUUUGAAGUGUUGUGGAAGAAGGCAAUAUAAAAAUUGUGAGAUUCCAUUAACUUAAAUGCAUUUGUAAAUUAGUAAUUCAGUCGUUAAAUGACUAUAAAAGAUUUAUUUUAUAAUUUAUAUUUAUAAUGCUAGAGUGCCUCUGUUAGAUUUAGAAAUCUUUUAUGUAAUUAACGAUUGUUUUUGUAGUACUAUGGCUACAUCAGAGCUGAUAUCAAAUAUUUGAUUGUUUGUAUCUUUUGUAGGUUCAUAACCCAAGUAUUAUUGCUGAGGACGUGGAAGCAAACAACAGCUUGUCUAUGGCCUCAUGUACAGAUCAUCAAUUGCAGAAUAUCCAGGUAUGAUUGUGAACAUAAAUGAAUCAUCAAGCUGCACUGGGUAAAUUCACAUAAACAACUUAUCACCUCUAUGAGUUCCUACAAAUUUAAAGAAAGUUGUAUGAGACGUUAAGCUUUUGAAAUAUUGUGGAAAAAGGAAAACUAAAAGUAAAACAACAUGCCCUUGAUUGGCCUUUUGUCUUUUUUCAGGGCUCUUUAUUUUGUUUAAUGCCGAGUUACAAUUGGCAAAAUGAGUUGUUUAGAAAUAACUUGAUUGGGACCAUUGUAAUUUUAUAAUUUUUGUUAUAGUUUUUGCCUGUAAUAAGAGAAUUAGAGACUUUUUAAUGUGAAAUGGCACAUUACAAGAUUAUAGUUGAAGGUUGGCUUGUAUUUGGUAGCAUUGAUUUUAGUAGAAUAAUAGAAUUAGAUGGAACUGAAGGUAAUCUUUAUUAGUAAAACUAGUAUUUGCAGUCUCUAACUCCACUCAGGCAGCAUAGUUUACAGAUAGUACCACUAUGUUUUUAAUUAAAACUUUAGCUUUGUGUUUUUUUGCUUUUUUGUGGAUAAAUUUUAAUUCAUAAGUAGGUUGUAAAAUUGAGUGUUCUCUCUCUAUACAUAUACUUUAAACAUUAAAAAAAAUUUAUAUGAUGAUUAAACAAUAUGAAGACUUUUUAUUUUAUUUUAAGUCUUAAUUUUUAUUAGUUACUUCACUUAUGAAUUAGCUUGACUUAAUAAAAAACCAUUAGGGCCCUUCUUGCUUGUUCAUCUUCUGUUUUGCUUUCAAAGCUUCUUUUGUUUCAAUUUUAGGAUUUUGUUCAAAUUACUAUUAUAAGUGCUUAAUUAUAAACCUUCUAAAUAUCUACUUUUACCUGUCCAUCUUCUACUGCUCAUCACUCGUUUAUGUUUUAAUGGGUUUGUUGCAAAGUUGUUAUUAGUGGCAACAUGUUACAAUAUUGUUGCUUUUACUUCACUUUGAUGAAGAUAUACCUAUUGAGGUUUUAUAUCUACAUCCACAUUUGCAUUAAAGUGGUUAGUGUUGGUGUUCACAAGUUGCUUCGGCUUCAAACAUCACUAUAUAAUCAUGUAGAUCAACACUCGUUGAAAAAUUUUUCUUAUUAGCAUGGUUUUCAAGAUAUUUAGUGUUUGCCUGUAUAAUUUUGGAUAGAAGAGUAACAUUAUUGGAGUUCAUUUCAAGUGCAUAAAGUGUUUUGAAUUGUUAUCACACGAAUAUAUUUAAAUGAAUGAUAAUUAAGAAGUUUACAAUUUAACUUUUGGCGAAUAACUUCUUGUUUGGAAAUUAAAGUUCAAGGGAAUUGAUGAGUACUCGAUGAAAGAGCUCUCGCAACUUCGUGAUCAAUAGGCUACAUAAGUUGCCAAGUUAAUUAAAACCUACAAUCGCGAGGUAAUAUAUGAGUAAUUUAGGACCACUUUUGCUUCCAAAUCUCUAAGACUUAUUUUUUGUGGUGUUCUAAUUGAUUUUAUGUGCUUGUAGGUGGGGGAAAAAAAUGAAGCCACGUAUGGAUAUUCAGGAUAUUCUUGUGCUUAUUAUUGUUGGUUAAUGUUCGUUGAAAUUGAAUUUAGUACUUUGUUGCUUAAAACUUGUCGAAAACUUAAUUUGAUACUUAUGUUCUUUUUUUUUCCAAACAAUGAUGUAGUUGAAUUAUGUUAAUUUAAGUGAUGUAUUUGGGAUAUUUAUUAUGUGAAUUGUGUUGGGAGAUUUGAUAUAUUUAAUAUAUUUAUUUUUUUUAAUUGUAAAACAAACUGGAAAAAUAUAAUUAAAAUAAAAAUAUAUUACUAACCAAAAGCAGCAUAACAUCACUAAAUACUGACUCAAUUUUAAAUAUUGAUAUGUAAAUAGUAUCAUUAAAUGUUUACACUUCGUAUCAUUAUUUUAGUGAUACUAUAGUGACAUGAAUUACUGACACGUAAAUAGUAUCAUUAAGUACUAACGCCAUAGUGUCAUUAUUUUGGUGAUACUAGAGUAACACGAAUUACUGACACGAAAAACGCUGACACCAAAAAUUAGUGUCAGUGUGUUCUAGCUGGAGCAUUACUGACACAAUUAACAAGUGUCAGUAAAAGUUAUUACUGACACUAAAUUGGUGUCAGUAAAGCCCAUUUUUCUAGUAGUGAGCCUUGCAGCUUGAACAACCUUCGGAUAGUCUUGACUCUUGAAUCCAAAUACUCCGCUACACUUGAGUGUAGCCAAUGAACCGUGGUCCUUCCUUAGCUAUAAUAUGAUCCGGUGAUGAAGUAUCACAUAUGCAAUUUUUGUAACGGAUAGACAAGAUGAAUUUAGGUGAAGUGAAAGCAUAAAAAAAAACAUACCACAUAAAUGAAUCCCUUCAUGAUAUGUUUAGAACAGAGUUUUAUACAAGGAGCCGGUAUAGUGUCGAGCUCUCAAAAGUUGUCUUUGGCUACCAUUUGGCAAAAAUUAAAUAAAAUAACAUAUUAAUUUAGAAAUUAUAGAAAAAAUAUUAAUAGUAAAAAAUAAAUAGAAAAUAAAAGAAAGAUAUAAUAUUGUCAAAAUCAAGAAAAAAUUUAUAUAAUAAAUUAAAAAUGUUUGUUUCAUAUAUUAUAUGUGAUGUGUCAUAUUUAACAUCAAAAUUUUCUAGAUGUUUUGUUAUUUUUCUCAACUUUGUUAUUCUAAAUAACCCAAAAAGUUUUUUUUCCCGCCCGUUUUAUGUUUGACGUCCUUAUUGCAUGUUUGACCCCCAUUCUUACAUCUUUCACGUGACCUGCUGCAUGUUGACAUGGUUUUCAUGUUUAACCUCAUAUAUUACAUGUUUGUCCUCACUUGUUACAUGUUUCAUGUGGAUUGUUGCAUGUCUUAAAUAAAGCCAAAAAAUAAAAAUUAUCCCACCAAUUUUAUGUUUCACGUCCGCGUUGCAUGUUUGAUCUCCGUUAUUGCAUCUUUUAUGUGAACUGUUGCAUGUUGACGUGGUUCUCAUGUUUAACUUUAUGUGUUGCAUGUUUGACCUCAACUGUCGCAUGUUUUACGUGACCUUUUUACACGUAAAUUUCAUGUUGUAUGUUUGACCUCACUUCUUGCAUGUUUCACGCGGAUUGUUGCAUGUCAUGAAUAAAGCCAAAAAAUAAAAAAUUUCCCACUCGUUUCACGUUUGUAUACCUCCAUUGUUGCAUCUUUCACGUGAACUAUUGCAUGUUUCUCAUCUUUAACCUCAUCUGUUGCAUGUUUGACCUUUGGUGUUGCAAGUUUUACCUGACUUUUUUACAUGUAAAUUUCAUGUUGCAUGUUUGAUCUCACUUGUUGCAUGUUUCAUGUGGAUUUUCGCAUGUUUGAAUAAAGCCAGAAAUGAAAAUUUUCCCGGCUGUUUCAUGUUUCACGUCUGUGUUACAUGUUUGAUCUUCAUGUUGUAUCUUUCACAUUAACUGUUGCAUGUUGAUGUCGUUCUCAAGUUUAACCCCAUCUGUUGCAUGUUUGACCCCAUAUGUUCCAUGUUUUAUGUGACCCUCUUACAUGUAAAUUUCAUGUUACAUGUUUGACCUCAUUUGUUACAUGUUUCACAUGGGUUGUUGCAUAUCUUGAAUAAAGCCAAAAAAUGAAAAUUGUUCCACUUGUUUCAUGUUUCACGUUCGUGUUGCAUGUUUGACUUCCGUCGUUGCAUCUUUCAAGUGAAUUUUUAAUUUUUGCACGUUGAUGUGGUUCUCAUGUUUAACCUCAUCUGUUGCAUGUUUGACAUCAGAUGUUGCAUAUUUUACAUGACCUUUUUAAAUAUAAAUUUCAUGUUAUAUGUUUGACCUCACUUGUUGCCUGUUUCACUUGAAUUGUUCCAUGUCUUGAAUAAAGAGAAAAAUUGAAAAUGGGUGAGGAAGACAAAGUAAUAGUGCAUAUAAUCACGAAGUUGGCUAGCCAACUUAUUUAACAAUGAAUCUAGUGGUUAACCACUUCCACUCCAGAGACACCCAACAAUGAAACGACUAGCCAAUAGAUUUAACGAAGAAUUAAGCAGUUUAUCGCUUCCACUCCGGAAACACUCAACAAUUAAGUGGUUAGUCGACUAAUUUAACAAGGAAUCAAAUGGUUAACUGCUUGCGUUCAAGAAAAUAGCUAACAAUGAAACAUUUAGCCAAAUUGUUAAGCAAAGAAUUAAGCAGUUAGUUGCUUCCACUCCAAAAACAACUAAGUAUGAAACAGUUACUUAGCUUAUUUCACAACAAAUGAAGCGGUUAACUAGUACAACGAAUGUUUGACGUUGAUAUUUCAUGUAUCACAUUGUCUAACACAUGUAUAAAUAUCAUGUUGCAUUCAAAAUUUCUUGACAUUUCAAGUGAUAAUUUAUAAUCAAAAUUAUUUGUUUCAUAUUCUUUUUUAUUAUUAAUUAAGUUUAAUUAAGCCCCAUCUAUUAAGAAAAAAAAAUGAAAUGUUGCCUUAGUGUUAAAAUUAUUUGAUAAUUUAAGUGAUCAUUACUACUCCAAGUAAUAAUUUAUCAUUUUAGUUAUUAUUUGUUUCAUUAUUUUGUAAUUUGUUUAAUUUUUCACACGAAAAUAACUAUGGUGACAAUUUUAAAUUACCAAUUAAACCUUCUUCUUUUUUUUAGUGCAAUUGGUAAUUUGUAAAUUUUUUAUUUUAAAAAUCAAAUAAUACAUACACACAUUAUUAUUUUGAUAUUUCAUCAGAGCUUGUAAAAUGAAACCCAUAAACAAAGGCAUCCCAAAUUUUGUAAUUACAAAAAAAAAAAAAAAAAACGUAAAGAAGAGAGUUGGCGGGUGCACGCCAUACGCGAAUUAAUUUUCACCAUCAUCUUCCACCAUAUGUCGUGAGCAAUGGAGGCUUUCCCUCCCCACUACCAUUACAAAAAAGGUGUCGAAAAAGGUGUCGACCUGUGUCACACCCCCAUCCAAGAAGUGAGCUAAAAAUUAUGAAACUCCAAAGCACUGUCUAAGCAUAGCACACAGGCUACUUCCAGCAUCUCCAUUAACAAAAUACUUGAAAAAAGCAAGGCAUUCUAUGAAAACAUGCUCAAAGAUUCCAAAAGAAAAUUGACAUUUAAACACAUAAGAAUCAAUCUUAAGAAUCCAUCAAUUUUGCAAUCAAGCGAAAAAAAGUCAAUCUCUGAUCUAUAAGACCAAAAUUCAAAGUCUAUAAUUUCAAUGAUCAAAUAACAAAUGAUGUACAAAUAAAAUUCAUGGAAAUCUAUAGAAACCUUUGGCAUUAUUUUAGACCAUGUAAAAAGCACAGGCCUUGUUCAAUAGUCCCUUUAAAUUAUUGGGUUGGUUCAAUUACUAUACAAAUUUGCAGAUAUAAUCUAGACAUGUAAAGCACCUAGAAUAUAACAUCUUAGCUCAAAUUUAGUUACAGUUAUUACUAUUUCUAUGACCCAAUACAGAGUUACAGAAAACUGGUUUAUUGACAGGAAACGCCAAUAACCUAAGCUUCUGAUUUUCUUUAAAAAUUCAAUACUAUUCAGAAUAUUGUGAAAACUUCCAAAAUAUUAUUAGACACAACAUAUAAAAUUUUCAAGCCAUUUGGACAACUCCAUAAUUGGUUCUCACAGGAUUGAACUAAACAAAUCAAAACUGUCUUUUUAAUUCACACAAAAACAGCUGAGCUUUGGUGAUUUAUUAAAAUUAAAAUACUCAAUAUGUUGGGAUGAAAAUUCCCAGAACAUAAUUACACAUAUAACUUGAUAACGUAUUAAAAGUUCAAGACAUUCUGAUAUCAUUAAGCUAAUGUUUCAUAAGAUCAAACACAAGUGAAUAGUUCUGUCAAGGGGUUUAGGGCUAAAGUAGUGGAGUUUGAAAAAUCAUAAAAAACAAAAGAGAACCAGUUGUUCAAUUACCAAGGAACUUUUAACAUUUAAAAUACAUUUAAAAUAGACUUAUUGAAGUUUAAUAUCUCAAAAUUUUAGCUCAUGUUGACACCAAUAGAUUAUUCGUUUAUAACACCAAACAUGGUACAUACACAGUUUUUGAAAAAUUCCAACAGCAACUGACCAAUUUGACGAAUCCAUUAAAAAUCAACCAUUAGUUCAAUUCAUUACAAAAUGUCCAGAAUCGAAAUAUACAAUUUAGCUUGUAUUACUCAAAAUUUGAAGCUAAUCAAGCAUCAUUUAGUCAUAUUUUCAAACAAUCAAAGUUAUGAUAAUAGUUCAACAAUCUUUAAAUUUUCUGCAGAAUCAAUAAACUAUUUAUAAUCUUUUCAGUUCAAUAAUCAAUUUUCUGGCAAAAUUAGACAUGCAAAACCAACAACAACCUUACUUUUCAGUUUUGAGAUAACAAAACAUCAAUUGCACAAAGUUACCUACCUAAAUCACAAGCUUUAACUUCCUAGCCUCUUAAUAAAGCUUUCUGUCACCUUUGCAAGUAUUAACCUCGGCCUUGACAUUACCAAAAAGCCUACCCAAAAUAAAAUUAAAAAAAAAAAAAGAUUAUCAAUCACACUUCCAUUAAACAAAGUCAUAAGAGCUUAUUUAAAAAUUGAGGUGUCUUUUACCUCUUGACGAAUAGCUCAAGUCCAAACUUCCAAUCUAUAGCACUACAUAAUUGAAACAUACAACCACCGAUCAACAAAUAACCCAAAAAAUUGCUAACAGUUUCAAUUAAAAAUAAAAGCUGGUGAUUAUAUAGCAUCAGUAUAUAGCAUUAAAUCAUCAAGGAACAGUAUACGAUGGUGAGUCUCUAGAAACAUCAAUAAAAGUUUCUGAAAAACAGCAAAAAAACAACUUAAAAGUAAUAUAAUGAAUAUCAACACAUAUAAAAUAAGAUUGGUCAAAAAAUUAAAAAUAAAAGAAAAAGAAGCUGAAUGGAUAAAUCUUUACAAAAUUUGUGGGUACCCAUUUUUAGUAUUCCGAACAAUGAGUGUGGAGCUCAAAACGAGCAAACAACACCGAAAACCAAACAAGAAAAAAUUAGUAUAUCAAGAGAAAAAAAUUAACUUGUUUUGAGGGUUUUCGCUGGUGGCUUCAGGAAGCCCACGCGGCCACGAUUUUGGCCAAAGCUAGGAUGACGGCAGUGAAGGUUGAAGAACUGAUGGUAUAGUCAAUGGUGGGACAGAAAUAAUGGUGGGCGGUUGGAAACGCAGCAACAGACGUGAUACCAACUUUGCCUCUCCCUAGCUCUCGUAUACAAACCAAAUACUAGGGUAGAUGACUCCAAUUGGUUGAUUAGUGUGAGAGAGACAAUGGAUUUGAUUUUAGGUAAUGAGCAAAGAAAUCAGAUGAUAGAAAUUAUGGAUUUCAAAGAGGGAAGAAAUUUAGGGAUUUCCCUUUUAAGAAAGCGAAGAAAUCAGAUCGGCGAGAGUGGGGCCGGGGGGGUUAAAUGGAUGAGAAAAAUUAUGGAUUUCAAAUGAAUGAGAAAUCUGAUGGUAUAAAAUGUUUAUUAAUAUAUACUUGAGAACCAACAUCUCAAGUUCAAUCGAACGGUUUGAUUUCAAUUUUCAAUAUGGUGUCCGGGCUUAGUGCCGGGCAUUGUAGCUUUAACCCUUAUACAACUGUUAAUAUAUAAGAACUUGUAUUGGUGAAUUUACAGACAUAAUAAAUUAGGUGUAAAAUCUAUAAUGUACUUAUCGUAAACGACAACUUUAUGGAGCAAUAAUCCUAGUUUUCUUUUCUAAUUUUAUGAGCAAGUAAAACUCGUUAUAUUUUGCUUCAUUAAAAAAGAAUAGUAAAUGGCUUGCCUAGCUUUGAGCAAAGUAUUUAGAUCAUUUGAUAUGUAAUAGGUGCCAUUUCUCAAUCUACCAGCUUUGAUAUUGACAAAAUGCAGUACACGCAUAAGCUGAUUAUAGUAAACAAUUUGGCAAGAGUUCUCUAUAGAAAAUUAAUGGGGACAAAUGACCUUAGAAAUUGAAUAAGAUGCUGCAAAUUGACCAAGUGACAAAUCCGUUCCCAUCCGAACCAUAGCUAAUUUAGAAUGAAUAUUUGAAAAUAAGAGAAGGCAAGACACAUGUGGGCACAGCAACCGAGGAAAGCAGACCUAGCGUUGGCAUGAAUUAAAAGUUAGAUAAUACUCUUACACACUAUUUUUGAAGGCAUUCAUGGCAAAGAUUAUAAUUCACUACCAGUGAAAGAAAAGAAAAUCAAUUUGAUUGUCUCAUACGUCUAGCUCUUCAACAUUUUAAAGCAACGAGCAUCUAAAUUUUAAGAAACCCAUUACAAUUUCCUUUGCAUUGAUUCUCUGCUUUGGUGAGUCUACAAUACACUCUAUAGCUAAAUUGAAGACAAAUGACACACGUUACUCUUUGGUCAUAAAAUGUUUGUCUUCCCAAGCUAGUAGAUUUGCAUCAACAAUUGUCGUAACUGAAAUGAGUAGCGAAUCAUUAACCCAAUACUUUAAUCUCAUUUUCUUCUGAAAAAAUUUCAUCUGUGACUUUAGUGUAAUAUAUGUUCUUUUCUAAUUUUAAGAAUAUCAUUUUAAAAGGAAUUGUAAAUAGCUUCCCUAGUUUGAGCAAAGUAUUUAGGUCAUCUGACAUAUAAUAAGGUCCAUUUCUCAACCUGCCAGCUUUGGUUUUCAUAAAAUGCGAUAUACACAUAAAGUAAUGGGUAUAAAACUAAAUGCACUGAAAUUUUCAAUCCUUCUAAAUCCUACAAAAUAUUCAUAAUUUUCCACACAUGAAGCAAAAGAACAAUAAUUAAAUCACACUGACCUGAUUAUACCAAAUGAAAGUCCAAAUUUUCCCUAUAGAAAAAAUAUAAAUAUAAUUAAACCUAAACAAAUGGCAAAAAUCUCCAUGGAAACUUGAAGGGACUCAAAUUGCACAAUAACAAAUCACCUUAGAAAUUGAAUAAAAUGCAGCAAACUAACCAAGUGUCAAAUCCGCUCCCUUCCGAAUCAUAGCUAAUUGAGAAUGAAUAUUUGAAAGUGAGAGAAGGCAGGAUCACAUGCGGGCACAGCAACCAAGGAAAGCAGACCUAGCAUUGGCACGAAUUAAAAGUUAGACAAUACCCAUACACAAUUAUUGGAGGUAUUCAUUGCAAAGAUUACAAAUCAUUACCGGUGAAAGAAAAGAAAAUCAAUUUGAGUGUCACAUGCGUCUACCGCUUAACAUUUUUAAGCAAUGAGUCUCUAAUUUUUAAGAGUCUUGUUACAAUUUCUUUUGCAUUGAUUCUCUGCUCUGGUGAUUCUACAGUACACUUCAUAGCCAAAUUGAAGAUAAAUGACACGCAUUGCCCUUUGGUCGUAAAAUGUUCGUCCUUCUGACUUAACAGAUUUGCAUCAACAAUUUCCAUAACUGAAAUGGGUAGUAAGUCAUUAACCCAAUGCUUUAAUGUCAUAUCUCCAAAAAAGAUUUCAUCUGUGGGUUUCUUUCGGGUAAAUGUUUCCAUUAACAUAAUCCCAAAACUAUAAACAUCCCCAUUUGUGGAUACUUGUCCUUCUCUUCCAUACUCUAUGGAUUGCAACAAUUACACAGUAAGAUAAUAUAAUUUAUAAUAUUAUGCGUAAAUGAAGAUCAAAACAAAUAAAUAACAUAUCAGAAAUUAUUAAAGAAAUAAAAAAAUAUUUAUUAUGUAACAAACCUGGUGCCAUAUAGCCUAUGGUGGCAAGUGUUUGUGUUUGAGUCAAAGAUUGAUCUUCUUUGAGUAAGGGCUUUGCCAUGCCAAAAUCACUCAAAUGAGCAACCAUAUUAUCAUCUAACAAUACAUUGCUGGGCUUUAAGUCACAGUGAAUUAUUGGCACUGAAUAACCAAAGUGCAGAUAUUCCAAAGCUGAUGCAACAUCUAUCAUUAUGUUCAAUCUUUGAAAAAUAUCCAAAAUGUAGUUGCUCGAAUACAAACACUUCUCCAGACUUCCAUGAGGCAUGUAUUCUAAUACCAAUGCUUUAAAAUCAUCACUUGAACAACUGCUAAUGAUUUUUAUAAUGUUUCGAUGGCGAAUACGUUUUAUCAUGUCACAUUCAAUAUCAAAACUCUUAAAUGCUCUUCCAUAUUGUAGGUCAAAAACCUUUACUGCAACCUCCAUCCCAUCCUGAAUUCUUGCCUUGUAAACAGAGCCAAAACCUCCUCUGCCGAUUAGAUUGUUUUCACUAAAUCCGUUUGUAGCUUGAAAAAUUUCUAGGUAUGUAAACCUUCUCUGAUUUGAUAUUCGUGGCAUAUUAGCAUCAUUUGGCAGUGGUUUCCCUCUCUUUCGAUAUCUUAAUAUAAACAAAAUCACUGCCAUCAUAAAUAUAGUACUCAAUGGCAAGACAAUCCCUAUGAGAAGAUCAUUUUUCCUUGAUGUGUGAUGGAUUCUAGUUCUGCACGGUGGGACUUGUAGAUUGGGCAUACCACACAAUAAUUCAUUUCCCUCGAAUGAUUCAGUUGAGAAAUUUCUAAAAGGUCCCUUAUUAGGAAUCUCCCCUUCCAACUUAUUGAAAGAAACAUUUAUAUCUUUGAGAUCUAACAAUUUCUCUAAAGAUAUAGGAAUAGUUCCAGAGAGAUUAUUAUUGGAUAAAUUUAAGGAUUUCAAGUUUAUCAAAUCACCAAUUGAAUCGGGAAUUGAGCCUUGUAAUCUAUUAUAUUCUAAAAAGAGAUAUUGUAGAUCUUUUAGGCCUCCAAUUGUUGUUGGGAUAACAUCUGAAAAAUUAUUCAUCGACAAAUCUACUUGUACCAAAACCUUCAAAUUUCCAAUCUCUGAUGGGAGUGGACCAGUAAAAAAAUUUGAAGACAAGUCAAGGUACAAAAUGUCCUUAAGGUUCCAUAAAGUUGAAGGAAUAGAAGUUAGCUUAUUGGAGCCCAAAUAGAGAUUCCUUAGAUUAGUGAGAUUGCCAAAGCAUGCUGGUACGAAUCCAUCAAGCUUAUUGCCCCCAGAGUCCAACUCAAACAGUGCAGCUAAACGACAAAGAUCAUCUGGGAUUGAUCCUUCCAAUUGAUUAUCUUCCAAACUCAAUAAUUGAAGCUUUUGUAAUUUGCCAACAGCAAUCGGAAUUGAUCCAUUCAAGUUGUUUCCUCCUAAAUAAAUUGCUAUCAAGUUGGUCAAGUUGCCGAUCUCUUCAGGGAUGCCGCCACUAAUGUUGCAAUUGUGCAUCCGAAAGUCUUCCAUAGAUUGAGAAAGAUUGCCUAUAGCCCUUGGAAGAAUGCCACCUAGUGGAUUAUUAUAGAAGCCAAAAUACUCCAAAUACUUGCAAUUUGACAACGAGGAUAGAAACCUCAAUUUUGGAGUUGAAGAUGUCAAAUAAUUGUCAUUUAAACCAAGCCACUUAAGGUUUCUUAAAUUGCCAAAUGUGUUUGGAAUAAAACCGGAGAAUGAGUUCUCUUCCAAUGCUAGUUUGGAGAGCUUAGAAGCAUUGAAGAUGAAACUAGGAAUUGUGCCACUAAAAUUAUUACCCCACAAGUGAAGUUCUUCAAGAUUUGGAAGUCGGACGUCUCCGCUUGAUGCAAGUCUUCCCGAGAGUGAGUUACUCUGAAGAUGAAGUGAUUUGAGUGUUGACACAUUGAAGAUUGUAGUUGGGACAACACCAACUAAUUUGUUAAAACUAAACGCCAUCCAUUCUAGAUUAUGGAGAUUACCGAUUUCAUGUGGUAUCUCACCUGUAUUUUGAAACAAAAAAUAAUUCAAAUUUAUUUUUAAUAAUAAAUUACACACUUUUAAAUCAUGAAAUGAGUAUUCGUAAUUAAAAUUAUUAAAUAUGAGUUUAAGAUGAAUUAUUAUACAUAGAUAAAAUGUUAAUAAAAUUUUAAAUUUUUAUUCUUUUUAAUUAAAUAUAAAUAUUAAUAAUUCCAGUAUUCAUGUCAUUAUUAAAUUAAAAAAAUAAAGAAACCACUCAUUUUAAUAUUAAUUUGAAUUAGUAAUAUAAUAUUUGUAUGAACAUAAGAAUUUUUUUCAAAACUAAACUUUUACAUUAUUUUUCUAGGUCCUACUACAGUGAAUAUAUGAAUUGAUAUCAUGGUGGAAGAAUAUUGAUUUCAUGUUUUAAAAAACAAUUAAUCUAUUUUAGACUUUCCUUUACAAAAUAAAAACACUUUUUUUUAUGCCUAAAUAAACGUCUGAACUUAACCGCCAUUAUCAGAAACUGUUGCUUGUUUUUUACUUCUUCUUCCCUACUACUUAUUGUAUCACUAACUUUUGAACUUUUGGUAUAAACAUAAGCAAAGAAGAAACAUUGCCAAUUAAUUCUUAAUUCUUUUACAAACUUACGUCAUGGAAUUAGAUUAAAAUUGGAUGCGCUACUGUCAUGGUAUUCUGCAAUAGCAACUGACAGAUGAAGUAGACAACAUCAAUUGAACACCAUUUCUAUUUGCAAUCUCUAAAAUUAAUUUAACUUUUCACACUUAUAGAUAUUGUUCAAUCUUUCUAAUUCUCCAUUUGAUUUUGGACCCUAGAAAGACAAUUAAAAAAAUGAACAAAAAAAGAAAGUAAAGAAAAACAUAUAAUCUGCUUGAUAGAUUAUCAAAAUUUGUCGAGUGAUCACAAAAUAAAAGAAAAUGCAAUAGAAAAGAGAAAGAGAAAAACUAACACAGUGAAAGAAAUAGAAGGUUUAUGCUUGUUAGACAUUCGUUAAUCUUAGAGCCAUUAAGUCUUAGAUUUUUAAUUAGGCAAUGAAACGAUGUAUUUUAAUUUUAAUAAGGAAAGUCUAAAAUAAUUUAAAUCAUAGACUCACUAAAAUGCUUAAACAAAAUUGAUUUUCGAGCAAAUAAACACCUGCUAUUCUAGGAACAAGCGCACAGUGGUCCAGGUAAAAUACUCGAAGUGAUAACUAAAAACAUGACAUAAAUAUAAAUCACACGUACCUUGGAGUCUGUUUUGGUAAAGAGAUAAAUACUUAAGCUUGGUCAAAUUGCCGAUUUCUUUUGGUAUGUCUCCCGACAAGCCAUUGACCGACAAAUAUAAUGUUUGUAGAAGUUUGCACCUUGAUAAAGUCGAUGGGAUUUUGCCGUCAAAGCUGUUUACGCUUAGAAAGAGGAUUUCCAGAAAAGGAAGGUUGUUGCAAAUAUUUGCCGGGAGUUCACCUGGGAGUUCACCAAAUAAUAUCUUUAUAUUCAAAAUGAAUAUUUUCUAGUAAAGAAGACUUAAAUAACAUAAAGGAAGGGAUUGGACCAGAGAGCUGGUUAUAGCUAAGAUAAAGUUUUUGAAGUGAAGAUGGAUUCCCAAGUUGAGAAGGAACGAUGCCUGUUAAGAAAUCAUUUGUUAGCGAUGGCAUCACCAAUUAUAUAAAGAUAAACAGUGAUUUCAUGUCAAAUAUUUUAUGUUGAUGUCACAAAUGCAUAUUAUUAGCCAAAACUACCUGUCAAGUUAUUAACUGACAAAUCCAAAUUCGAUAGAGAAGAAAGAUUGAAGAUUGAUGAAGGAAUGGUUCCAGUUAAGAAAUUAUUUUGUAGCCAUAACUCCUCUAAUUCUGCAAGAUUCCCGAGCUCUUCUGGAAUUUCUCCUAAAAUCCAUCAGUAACAUAUGCUUUAACUAUUUUAACUUAUUAAAAACAAAAACAAAAAAAAAGUAAAGAAAAACAUCUAAUCUGCUUGAUAGAUUAUCAAAAUUUGUUGAGUGAUCACAAAAUAGAAGAAAAUGCAAUAGAAAAGAGAAAGAGAAAAACUAACAAAGUGAAAGAAAUAGAAGGUUUAUGCUUGUUAGACGUUUGUUAAUCUUAGAGCCGUUAGUCUUAGAAUUUUAAUUAGGCAAUGAAACGAUGUGUUUUAAUUUGAAUAAGGAAAGCGUAAAAUAAUUUAAAUCAUAGACUAAGAAAGGCAUAAACAACAUGUGUCAUGAUCUUAUACAAAAUUUAAGAAAGAUUAGAAUAUGAGAGGAUCCAAAUCCCCUUAUCUAUUAUAAUUCUCUGCUGAUUCAAAGUUACCGUCAACAUUUAUUAUAAGGGUUCCAAUUAAAAUGCUUAAACAAAAUUGAUUUUCAAGCAAAUAAACACCUGUUAUUCUAGGAACGAGCGCACAGUGGUCCAGGUAAAAUACUCGGAGUGAUAACUAAAAAAAUGAGAUAAAUAGAAAUCAUACAUACCUUGGAGUUUGUUUUGGUCAAGAUAUAAAUACUUAAGCUUGGUCAAAUUGCCGAUUUCUUUUGGUACGCCUCCCGAGAAGUCAUUGAUCGACAAAGAUAAUGUUUGUAGAUGUUUGCACCUUGGUAAAGUCGAUGGGAUUUUGCCGUCAAAGUUGUUUUCGUCUAGAAACAGGAUUUGCAAAAGAGGAAGGUUGCUGCAAAUAUUUGCAAGGAGUUCACCUGGGAGUUCACCAAAUAAUAUCUUUAUAUUCAAAAUGAAUAUUUUCUAGUAAAGAAGACUUAAAUAACAUAAAGGAAGGGAUUGGACCAGAGAGCUGGUUAUAGCUAAGAUAAAGUUUUUGAAGUGAAGAUGGAUUCCCAACUUGAGAAGGAAUGAUGCAUGCUAAGAAAUCAUUUGUUAGCGAUGACAUCUCCAAUUAUAUAAAGAUAAGCAGUGAUUUCAUGUCAAAUAUUUUAUGUUGAUGUCACAAAUGCAUAUUAUUAGCAAAUACUACCUGUCAAGUUAUUAACUGACAACUUCAAACUCGAUAGAGAAGAAAGAUUGAAGAUUGAUGAAGGAACCGCUCCAGUUAAGAAAUUAUUUUGUAGCCAUAACAUCUCUAAUUCAGCAAGAUUCCCGAGCUCCUCUGGAAUUUCUCCUAAAAUCCAUCAGUAACAUAUGCUUUAACUAUUUUAACUUAUUAAAAACAAAAAAAAGAAAGUAAAGAAAAACAUCUAAUCUGCUUGAUAGAUUAUCAAAAUUUGUUGAGUGAUCACAAAAUAGAAGAAAAUGCAAUAGAAAAGAGAAAGAGAAAAACUAACAAAGUGAAAGAAAUAGAAGGUUUAUGCUUGUUAGACGUUUGUUAAUCUUAGAGCCGUUAGUCUUAGAAUUUUAAUUAGGCAAUGAAACGAUGUGUUUUAAUUUGAAUAAGGAAAGCGUAAAAUAAUUUAAAUCAUAGACUAAGAAAGGCAUAAACAACACGUGUCAUGAUCUUAUACAAAAUUUAAGAAAGAUUAGAAUAUGAGAGGAUCCAAAUCCCCUUAUCUAUUAUAAUUCUCUGCUGAUUCAAAGUUACCGUCAACAUUUAUUAUAAGGGUUCCAAUUAAAAUGCUUAAACAAAAUUGAUUUUCAAGCAAAUAAACACCUGUUAUUCUAGGAACGAGCGCACAGUGGUCCAGGUAAAAUACUCGGAGUGAUAACUAAAAAAAUGAGAUAAAUAGAAAUCAUACAUACCUUGGAGUUUGUUUUGGUCAAGAUAUAAAUACUUAAGCUUGGUCAAAUUGCCGAUUUCUUUUGGUACGUCUCCCGAGAAGUCAUUGAUCGACAAAGAUAAUGUUUGUAGAUGUUUGCACCUUGGUAAAGUCGAUGGGAUUUUGCCGUCAAAGUUGUUUUCGUCUAGAAACAGGAUUUGCAAAAGAGGAAGGUUGCUGCAAAUAUUUGCAAGGAGUUCACCUGGGAGUUCACCAAAUAAUAUCUUUAUAUUCAAAGUGAAUAUUUUCUAGUAAAGAAGACUUAAAUAACAUAAAGGAAGGGAUUGGACCAGAGAGCUGGUUAUAGCUAAGAUAAAGUUUUUGAAGUGAAGAUGGAUUCCCAAGUUGAGAAGGAACGAUGCCUGUUAAGAAAUCAUUUGUUAGCGAUGGCAUCACCAAUUAUAUAAAGAUAAACAGUGAUUUCAUGUCAAAUAUUUUAUGUUGAUGUCACAAAUGCAUAUUAUUAGCCAAAACUACCUGUCAAGUUAUUAACUGACAAAUCCAAAUUCGAUAGAGAAGAAAGAUUGAAGAUUGAUGAAGGAAUGGUUCCAGUUAAGAAAUUAUUUUGUAGCCAUAACUCCUCUAAUUCUGCAAGAUUCCCGAGCUCUUCUGGAAUUUCUCCUAAAAUCCAUGGGUAACAUAUGCGUUAACUAUUUUAACUGAUUAUUAACCGACACUCAAGAAGAAAAAAAUGAAAUAAAAAAAGCUUUUGCCUGAAGAGAGAUAAAAAAAAAAUUACUCAAUAGAAUUAAAUAAUUAUAGGCUGACAGGAUUAAUAAAUGUGAGACAUUAUUAAUUUUCAUCAAUUAAUUAAACUCAUUGAUCAUACCUUGGAGUUUGUUCCCUCCAAGAUAUAACCCGAUAAGCGUUGUCACGUUGCCAACUUCUUUUGGUAUGGUCCCCGAAAAAUCAUUGAGCGAUAAAGAUAUCUUUCGCAGCCGUUUGCAGCUUGAUAAAGUGGAUGGUAUCUUGCCAUGAAACAUGUUACUUUUAAGAAAUAGGGAUUCCAAAUUGGAAAGGUGAUCGCAAAAUUUUGGUGGGAGUUCGCCAAAUAGUGUAUUGUUUCUAAAAUCAAUAGAAAGUAAAGAAGACAUGUUGAAGAUAGAGGCCGGAAUGGAACCAGAAAACCAAUUAAAACUGAGAUCAAGUGAUUGAAGAGACGAAAGAUUCCCGAGUUCAGAAGGGAUAGUGCCCGUGAGAUUUAACCCAGAUAUAUUCAAGGCUGUGACUCUAUGAGUACGGACAUCACAAGUGAGGCCCGUCCAACUACAGACAGAGCUACUUGUGUUCCAAUUUCUAGCCAAAAAAUUGGUUGGAUCAUCAGUUACAUGACCUUUCAGGGCAAGAAGGGCUUGUUGGUCUAUGGUAAUACUUGUAGUGUUGGCUGAUGCAAUCAUGAAGGAAAGAAUCAAGCAAUGGAGUAAGAGAAAUCUGAGCAUCAUCCGGGCAGAAGGAAUUCUUUCCAUGAGACUAGAAUAUUUAGAUUGUAAGUGUGUGCUUAAUUGGAUUGAUAAUGCAAGAACACUCAUAGCUGCUUCCAAGCAUAUAUAAUGAAACCGAAAUUUCGAAGAAGCAGCAAGAAAGAAAAUAGAGGAGUGAAAAGGCUAUGCUCAUAACUUGCUGAAAGGUGCAAAAUUGUAUGUGGACCCGCUGAGUCAAGGCAGUCCUUCAGGUCCACACUCAAGAUGAUUGCAGUAAGUUUUGUUUUCCUUUAUAAUCAUCCUAUUAACUUAUCGCAAAAUAGUUCUACUCAUUAAAAAAAAAUUAAAUUAUUCUCCAUAUAUAGUAACAAGACAUAUAAUGCUCCUAGAAAAAAAAAAUUAUAUUUCUAUAUGCUUUUUCUGAAUUUGAGAUAAUUUACUAGUUCUGAAAAAAAUUGUACGAACCGGUGGUGUCGUUGGGUAAAAAAGUUCUUCACGGGUCAAUGAGGAUGUCAUAAGUUGACGCAAAUUGCCGAAGUCAAUGAAAGAAGAGACAAUGAAACCGAUUAUUAUUUUUAUAUAAGUAUUCAUAUUCAUUGAAGGAAUUUAACAGUUCUCAAUGGGACAAUAGAUGUUUGAGUGUUUUUGCUAUUGGUAUGAUCAUUCAAGGAUUUACAAGUGCCAAUAAAAAUAUAGGGAAAACCUAUGGUGCAACUGUGGUACCGUGCCACAGUUGCUUCCAGCCGUUGGAUGUCAGUGGACCCCACUUAUUCAAGUGCAUCCAACGGCUGGAUGCAACUGUGGCACGGUACCAUAGUUGCACCGUAGCCGGACCCAAAAAUAUAACCAAAAAGGAAAAAUAUGUGGCUUCAAUUGUAUUUGUGAGGGACACUCAUUUCUGAUCUUUAACUUGAAUUGGUUUUUUUUUUCCUCCAAAUUAUGAAUAUCUCAUGUGGAAAUUGGAAAUUUUUAUCACCUAUGAUUGGCUAAUAUGGAAAUUCUCUUUGAGCAAUAUAUAAUUCUCUUUUAAGAAGAAGAAGUUAGUGGCCUGUUAAUUAUGUGUGCUUUAUGGGUUACAAUUAGUACUAUUUUCAUUUCACUUUUAUUAGGGAUGAUGACAGAACUAAAUUUUUAAAAUUUUCUCCGGAAAAAAUAAAUGUUUACAAAGGCGUCAUGUGCAUGCAAUCCUACAGAAUUUCGUAACUAAUAAUAAACUUGCAAGAGAUUGAGAUUGAACGAUGAUGAAGUACAGAGCAAAUGCAAGAGCAAAAGAAAGAAAACUCGUUUUCAAAAAAAAAAAACACAACAUAAUGUUUAUAUUACUUUUAUUUGCGAAAAUUUUCAAAACAUAAUAGUUAAUUCAUACAUACUGAUUAAUUUGUCAGAUGUGUAAUAUAAUUUUCGGCGAACGCGUUGCAUUAAGUCACUCCUUCAGGUCCACUCCGAAUCACUGGAUAUUUUACUCUCUUCUUAUUAUGUGGAUCCAAUCAAAACUUUCAACUUUUGGGAUUCAGCCAUCGGAUUUAAUAAAAACGUUGUUCAAUGGCAAGAGCUUUGUUUAUAUGGUUUAGUUCUUAUAUUUUAAUUUAGGAGUUUAUUUAAUUUUUAUAUAUUGAAAAAUACUUCAAAAUACUUCUCUUAUUAAAUAUAUUAGGUUCCAGCCUUUAAUAUUUUCGUUUUAAUGGUAAUACCUUACAAUAACAAUCUUGGAGAUAUUAAUGAAAAAAUUUAAUUCAUCAAAUUAGCCUAAAAAAAAUAAAAAUUAAAGAAAUUUUUAUGUUAUUAUUUUACUUUUAUGAUUAAUUUGGUAAAUUAAAUUUUUGUAUACAAUUAUUAGUAAGAUUAUUGUAAUGAUAUUAAAUAUUACUUUCAGUUAGUUGAUAUUAAUUUAUUUAAAAAUAGUUGUUUGUCAGAUUCUAGUUAAAGUACAAAAAAUACUAUUUCUUUCAUAAUGAUAUUUAUUGAUUAAUUUGGUAAUUAAUAAUUAGUUAACUUGCUAUUAAAUUUUUUUAGAUAAAUUAAUUAAUAUUAAGAAUAUUGUUGAUAGGGUAGCAUUAUAAAGGUAAAGAUAAGAAUAUAAUAUAUUUAAUACUAAUAGUAUUUUGAAGUACUUUUUAAAAUAUAAGAAUUAAAUGAGUAUUUAAAUCAAAAUACAAAAACUAAACAAGCAUUUACUUGAUAAAAAAUCACAAAAGUUGAAUGUUUCAAAAUUUUGACACCCAAGACUUAUCUAUUAAAAGAGGUCAUGAGAAUUAAAACUUAGAUGAAACAGUGCCGUAACGUUAUCACAAAGACGUGCUGAGAUUUUCCUAUUUUCAAAUUUAAAUUUGACACCCAUAAGAGAUAGCGAUGGUGAGAGUGUGACUGCUCACUUGGAAUUUAAAUUUAAUUACACGGUCGCAUUCUCUCUCUGAUAUUUUUCGUAUUCUCUUUCAAGAAGAAUAAAUUAGCGGGCCAUUGAAUAGUAUUUAUGCGUGCUUUAUGGGUUAUAACAUUUUUGUCGAUCCUUAGCUCGACUCAAAAGUCAUGAAUUGCAAAGCCAAUGUAACAGAAGACAAUCGGGUAAUGACUAAUUAAGUAUUUAUGAUGGAGUGACACUCGCAAGUGCUUCUAAGUAUUUAUGAUGAAACCUAAAUUUCUCUCCACGUGAAAGAGAAAAAUCAGAAAAUAGAGGAGAGAAAUUAAAGCGAGAAAAGAUUCCUCUCCACGUGACAACAAACGUUGAAAUGUUUUUGCUAUUCGUUUGAUGCUUCGAGGAUUCACAGGUGCCGAUAAGUCCAACAAAAUUCCGCGGCUUGAAUUGUAUUUGUUAGGGGCACUCGUUUCUGAUCUUUUAACUUGAAUUAGUUUUUGUCGAUCUCGCUGCAAAAAUUAUCUUCCAAGAUGAAGAAAUCAGUGGCCCAUCGGUUAUAACAUUUUUGUCAAUAGUCAACCCAACUCAGAAAUUACGUGUUGCGAAGUCAAUGAAAGAGAAGACAAAAGUCAAUGAAAGCGAAGACAGCAAGACAUAUGGUGGGACACUUAAGUAUCAUUUGGGAUUAAAGUAGAAAUUUAAUAAAUUUCUUAUUUCAUAAUUCUUUAUAAAAAUAAUAUUUAAUAAAUUUUAUAAAAAUUAUUUAUUUUAUAAUUUUUUAUUUUACUGCAGUUUUUAAAAACAAGUUGAGAUUUACUCUUCAUAAGUAGCUUAAAAUAAGCCACCACAAUUUCUCAAAGUUUCUAUUAUAAUAUUAAUAAUUUAACAAAAAAAUAAUUAUUUCUUAUUUUUUUCAUACACUGUAAUACAUAAGCUAUUAGUAUCGUAUUACCACCACAAUUUACUGUCACAACUAGUUUGAGUUCUCUCAGUAUCAAAAUUUUGAUUUAGCAAGUUCAUAUUUUUUUUAUAUUUUAAUAUUAUUUUCUAUUAUAAAAUUAAUGAGACUUAUACAUGAUUACACAAAUUUUUUUAAACAAUGAACAAGUUCAUGUGAAAUUUAAACAUAAGUCUUAAAAUCAAAUUCGUGACUAUAAUUUUUAUCGUUCAAUCUAUUUAUAUUUUUUCUAUAGUCACGGUAUUCAUUGCAACAAGUUGAUUAUCUGCUUUUAAGAGUCUUGUUACAAUUUCCUUUGCAUUGAUUCUCUGCUUUGGUGAUUCCACAGUAAUGCUCUAUAGCGAAAUUGAAGACAAAUGACAUGAACUUAGCAGUUUUGCACCAACAACUUCCAUAAUUGAAUUGGGUAGCAUAUCAUUAACCCAACGCUUUAAUGUCAUUUUUCCAUGAAAAUUUUCAUCUGUGGGUUUCUUCCCAUUGAAUGUUUCCAUUAUCAUUAUCCCAAAGCUGUAAACAUCCCCAUUUGUGGUUGCCUAUCCUUCUCUUCCAUACUCUAUGGAUUUCAACAAUUACAUGGUAAGAUAAAAUAAUUAACAAUAGCAUGCUCAAAUGAAGAUCGUAAAAAUAAAUAACAUAUCAUAAAGUAUUAAAGAAAUAAAAAAAUUAAUGUAGAACAAACUCGGUGGUGGCAAGUGUUUGUGUUUGAGUCAAUGAUUAAUCUUCUCUGAGUAAGAGUUUUGCCAUGCCAAAAUCACUCAAAUGAGCAACCGUAUUAUUGUCUAGCAAAACAUUACUCGACUUUAAAUCACAAUGAAUUAUAGGUGUUGAAUGACCAAAGUGUAGAUAUACCACAGCUGAUGCAACAUCUGUCAUUAUGUUUAAUCUUUGAAAAAUAUCCAAAAUGUAGUUGCUUGUAUACAAACACUUACCCAGAUUUCCAUGAGGCAUGUAUUCUAAUACCAAUGCCUUAAAAUCAUCAUUUGAACAACUACUAAUGAUUUUGAUAAGGUUUUGAUGGUGAAUACUUUUCAUCAUAUUGCAUUCAACAUUAAGGUUCUUAAAUGCUCCUCCAUAUUGCAAGUUAAAAACCUUUACUACAACCUCCAUCCCAUCUUGAAUUCGUGUCUUGUAAAUAGAGCCAAAACCUCCUUUGCCGAUUAGAUUGUUUUAAUUAAAUCCGUUGUAGCUAGAAAAAGUUCUAGGUACGAAAACUUUCUCCAAGUUGCUACUAGUGGCAUAUUAGUAUCAUUUGGACUUUGGUAUUCGUUUUCCUCUCUUUCCAUAUCUCUAGAUCAACACAAUGAGUACUAUCAUAAAUACAGUACUCAAUGGCAAGACAAUCCCUAGGAGAGGAUCAUUUUCCCUUGAUGUGUGGUGGAUUCUAGUCUUUUAAAUUUUUGAAAAAGCAUAAAAUACAGGUGGCUAGUGAAUAUUGCCCUUUUAUUUAUCAAGCUCAUGUGUCAUGUCUUGUCUUUUGAAUUUAAUGCCUUCUUUUAUUUGUUUUAUUACCCAAUUCGUUCAAAAUAAUCACAAUUAUGCCACUUUUUAAUUUAUAGAAUUUAGAAUAUUACCUUUAAGUUAGUAGAAUUAUCCAAAUUUUUAUUGGGAUUGGGAAUCUCGUCCUGAAUCAUAUAGAGUUCAAUUCAAUAUAAAUUUUUUUAAAAUUAAUUUAAAAUUAGUUGAGAUUUAAUAUAAAAUUUUUCCUAAUUUAUUAUUUAGAAUAUCUGAAAAUCUCAAUCAAAAUAUUGAUUGCCUUGACUAUUGUUUUAAUUUUUAAUUAACUAAAUUUAAAAAAAUCAUUUAUCUUAAAAUAAACAAAAAUGAUUGACCCAAGCACGAAUCCAACAAAUUCACUACUUUGCAUUCACUUUUAGAGUUUAUUUAUUUAUUAUUUAUUUUUUUAGCGACAUUCAGUUUUAAAGUUUAGUUAAACUAAACAGAUGAAGAAGAAAAUAAAUUAGGUUGUUGAUUUACAUAUUAAAUUUAGAUAAUGAAUGGAUAAAAUGGGGACGUUGGUCUUUAGAAUCGCAACUUGCAAUAUAAAGCAAGAAAAAUGUGAGAGUCACAAGUUUUACCAUUUCUCUCUUAUAUACAUAUCUAUUAGGAUGAGUUGAGCAGCCAUAUAACUCUUUAGUUCCAAUAAAAGAUAACAAAUUAACUUUUCAAACAAUAUAUAUAUAAUUACGAUGAUUUUUCAUUUGUUCGUUGGCUUUUGCACCUUGGUGCCGAAGCAACGAAGGACGUGGGGCAAUUGCUGGAUACGAAAAUCACCCGCAUGAUUAACUAUGAGAAGGCCCAAUGACCAAGCCCAACAGAAAAAGGACCAAAUGGAAGCCCAAUAUUCUUUCUACUCUUGACACACCAGACACAGCAAAUGGAAUCUUCCUCAAGCAAGACUUAUUAAAAUCACAUUUAUUAAUUUUAUUUCUUUUACUUUCAAAAAAAAAUUGAUAACAAAAUAGCUAGGUUGAGAAAUGUGGUCAAGAAGUGUGUGCAAAUUUUAAAAAAAAAUUAUUAUUAUUUUCAUAAAUUUAUUGAUUGUAUUUUCUAAUUAAAAAAGGAUACUUUUUUGUCUGUAUAAUAUAUAUGAGGUUAUAUGUGGAACUGCAUGAAAGAUCAAACUUUUCAAUAUUAAAUUUUACUAAAAAUAUAGUGUAGGAUUAGGUGAUUUUCACCUAAGAAAAUUUUAAAAAAAAAUCACCAAAUACCAUAAUUAGUUUUAAACUUUUCAAAAUUAUUUUUGAGCGUCCCAUUUGCUUCUUGAAAUAACUUCUUAUUUGUUGACAUGAAGGGAUAAUGUGAAAGUGCCUCUAUUGUAAAUUAAAUUAUUAUUAUUAUUAUAGUUGUUAUAGAACUUUAUUUCUUGUUAUACUCAAGAUACACUCAUAAAUCACAGCUUAUAAUGAUUUGGGUGGGGUACAAAAACAAAAACCUUUAGGACAGAUUUGUAUAUUUUCAUUUUUACAACAAAAUCCAUUUUUAGAUGGACAGUCCCUCACACAAUCAGAAUCUUGGGUGCAACGAAUUGGUAACCCUCCAGUGUAGGCUUCAGCACUUGGCAACUCAAAGAUUGUGGUGCCUGCCAAUUGACAUCAAUAAUUCAUGAUUAUAUAGAAAUGAAAUAAAAAGCGAAAUGUGUUAGCAAUUAUCAAAACAAUAUACAGAGAGAGAGAGAUAUUUGGGACAUUGACUAACCAUGUGCAACGAUCAUGAGUACGACCAAGAAAGUUAGUUUAAACGAGACUUUCUCCAUUUGCUGUAAGAAAAAGAUUAUGCAGGAUGUUUCUUUGAGUGGGAAAAAAAAAUCUAAAAAAAUUGUAUGCAAGAACUUUGUUCUUCACCUCAUAUUUAUAGAGAUGUAAUAUACAAAUGGUAAAAUGGCACACCCAACUUCUACGUUAUUUUAUAGAAAAAUCGCAAUAAAUCAAAUAAACUUGCAACAAAUUAAUAUUCAAAUCAUUAAACCUAGCCUAAUAGGAAACAAUAAAAAAAGGAAAAAAAUUUUUUUUUUCAUUUUUUUCCAGCUUCGCAUUAACAACGCAGACACAUUUUCCGUUGUUAGUAAAAUCUCCAUCCAUCUUAGUUCAUAAAAUUAAUUGCAUCAUUACAAUGUCAAUCAGCAUCUAGACAGUAAAUGUAAGUUGAUGAUCCCACUAUUAAUUCCAUUUCACGUUGAUUAGGGUAAAAAAUAAAAAUAAAAAAUUUCUUAUAUUCAUGUAAUUUCUAUAAUCUCUUAAAAAUACCAUAUGAAGUAGGUCUAUUUUGCUAUUAACUAAAUAUCCCAGAUUUUGUAUUAUUGAAUCCAUUUAUUGCCUUAAGGCUGUAUAUAUGUAUAUUUUUUAACUUUGCUUUGAACUCAUCUCGUGCCAUUGAGAUUUUGACUUUCUUCUGUUUAUUGCUACCAUUUUGAAAUUAAACAAUUGAUCAACUUAUUAAUAAUCGAUCAACUUAAUUUUAUUUAAUUGAUCAACCUAGUUUUCUUUCAUUAACGUUUUAUAGCAUGAUUCAUUCGUGAUAUAUAUUUACAACAUUUUUUUUAUGUGUCCUUUGCUUCAAUUCACUCAUAAUAAAUCUUAAAAUCAUUAUCAACCAUCGUGAUUUAACUAUAAUAGUCUGAAAACAAUUUGAAAAAAAAUAUAACUCUAUGGAUAAUUCAAUUUUAAGGGUAUUAUCAGACAAAUCAUUGCACUAACAAUUUUGAUUGUUUGCUUGCAAAAGUAAAAUAUGCAUUUGUAUAACUGGUUUUGCAAUAAGAAAAAAUGUUAAAAGGUACCCCAAUUUUUUCUUUCAAGUUUCAAGUUAAUUAUAUGGUUGCUAAGUGAAUUAAGAAAGUAACCUCAUUGGCCUCUCUUAUAAUAUGGAUGUCUUUUGAAUUAUCUUAAUUUAGAAUUUAUUGACAUACACUAAUUGAUAAUUAACUUUUUUGUUCUCAUAAGUGAUCUUCUUCUUUAUGCUUCACCAAUGGUGACAACAUUUUAAAUCAAUGAGAUAUUCAUUAUAUUAGCAGAAAUUACGAGGGAUCUCAACGAGAAUAUUAGAAUAACCCCAAAAUAAUAAAAAGGAUGAUUGUGGCUUGAAGACUGGUUCUCGCCACAAGUUGGGCUGGUUUAUGCUCAAUCCACGGCCAUAACAUCCUAGAAAAAGUUGAAUAAAUAAUAUUUUGUGAGUUCUUGAUGGAGCGAGAGUAGCGGAAGCAAAACUGAUUGGGUAAGACAAAGCGGAAGUGGAAUUGAUAGGAUUGAAAACACUAAAUAUCAUUCUAAUACUUGACCAAGCCAACACGAUUAGGUUACGCUUUAAUCGAAGCAUGAUUAGAUAUCAUUUUAAUCCAAACGACUCAAUAAGAUUUUUAAUAACGUUUAAAGUGAGAUUAUAUAACGUUUUAAUCCAAACAACUCUACAAAAGAUAUUUUGAUAGAUAAUUCCAGAGGAAAUUAUAAAAGAGGAAAUUUUAUUAAAUAAUUGAAUCUGAAGUUGUGAAAAUAAUAACAAGACCUCUAUAUUUAUAAUAGAGUAAACUCAUUUCCCUAAGUUAACUUAAAAAAAGGAAAACUAAAUCGUAAUUAUAAUGGAAAUAAAAUAUACUUUCUCUAAGUUAACUAAAUCUCAUGCCUUAAUUGACUCUAAUAAAAAUAGAAAGUUCUAAAAUAAUAAAAUACCAUAAUUGACUCUAAUUAAAAUAGAAAUCUUAGAAUAAUAAAAUUCUAGAAUCUUAAAAUUUCUAAAAUAACGUCCUACAUUAGUUCUAGUUGAUAUUGUUAAUUUUGCAGAAAAUAUUUUUUAAGAUAUUAAAAUCUUCAUAAAUCUUUUAUAGACCUUUCCUCAUUUAGGCCUUCUCGAAAAGCUAGAACUUACAAUCAAACUUUUGCCCCAUUAUAUAACAUAUGUUAGUAAAAUUCAUUUUUACAAAUGAUAAUUCUAUUCACCCCUUUCUUUAUAUUUUCUAAAAGAUCUAAAAUUUUACUCCCAUACUUACGGAAAAAUUCAAACCUUCCAAUGAUAGGCGAUGGUGAUGAUGAGAGAGAAAGAAAAAUAAAAUAAAAAUAAUUAAUAAUAUAAAAUUUUUUAAUUAUAGUAAUUUUAAAAAUAAACAUUUAAUACCCAUAGCUAAGACAUCCUUGAGUUGGGUUGGGACCCCAGGCAUGGUCAUAGCAGGUAUGAAACCUUUUCAAUUGUUCGGUUCCUUAGUUAGCUCCUCAAACUUCAGAAAGUAUACAUUUCCGAGGAGGUGUCUUCACCUAAAACCAAAUCAACUUAUUUGAGCUCAACAAAAGUUUGUAUCUCCCUCUAAGUAACAUAUAUUUAUCUGGUCUCAACAUACACCUAAUAUUGAAAUUCUUUUCAAAAGCAUCACUUCAUUCAAUGAAAAGCACAUUGGCCAAUGUAUUUGCAGUCUUUUACUAAGCGGGUACCAUCAAGAUCAACCGCUACACCACUUUUUAUGCUAUUUCAAAGAAGAUUAUAAAUAUUUUAGAGUUCCACAAACUCUAUAAUAUAGAAACUUAAAUCAGUGCACUACGCAUAAAUUUCGUACAGAAAGAAUAUUCAAACAUCUCUAUAAACACAAACUCUCAAGAUGUUUUAGAGUUAAACAAAGCUACCAUUUCAUGCCUAGAAAAAAUGUAACAAUUUUUCCCACCAGAGUGGUUAUUACUCAAUACGGAUUUGCCUCAAGUCACCGGAGAGGCUUUUAGAGCAAAUUCAACAAUUUUGGGUUCUAAAAUUUUGCUCUUUAAAGCGUUAUUUUGGCUUAGUGUUUCAAUUAUCAAGAAGAGGUAUAAAGAUCAAUGGCUCCUACUAUCCUAGUUUUAGCUUAAUAUGUAUCUCUCAUUUUAAUUAAUAUGGUUGUUUCUUAAAAAGUUAAUUAAGAUCAUUGGCUUUGAAUUACUACUAUAGGAUUUCGAAAAUGAUAAGCACCCUAUUUCUUCUUCAUCUUUAAAAUCACCCAACAAACCAAAGUUUGUUCAAAUUUAAAUGUCCCUACUAUAUCAGUGCUAACAUUUGUCUCAAAAUUUUGCUCCAUUAAUCCGUGAAUUCAAAAGGAACAACGAUCUUUUCCUAUCCCUAGUCCUUUUUUAUUUUUAUUUUUAUUUUUAUUUUUUACUCUCAUAGUUUAGUGAGUGGCUAAGAUUGAAUUUUAAAUUUUAAUAUUGAUAAUCAAGUCAGCUUUUUUUUUAAUUUUAUUUACAAUUAAGCCAACUUUAAAAAAAAAAAAGAUUUGAAUAACUAGCAGAGUUUAGGAGAGAAAAAAAAAAUUAAGAGAGAAUCCUAAUCCAACUUGGAGACUCAUGUUGAUACUUGUAGAGACUGUUCUGCUGCCUUCCACGUAGAAAAAUAUUUACUUGGAUUGAGACUAGAGAUUUUUUUUCCUUAAAAUAUCUUUUUUUUAAUCAUAAGUUUGUGAGCAACAUAUAUGAAUCACAUUGGUGUUGAGGUUUGAUUUUGAACAAGUCAUCUUUAGUUUAAAAUUAUAAUACGAACCGAUAUCUAAAGGUCUGGCUUCUAAAUCAGAUAAAAGUUUGUCCAUAAUUAACUCCUGGCGAUGCCCAAAAACUCUAUGAACAAAUUAUUAUACAAGCAAGCUGCUGCAUGAUUAUAUUUCUUAUUCGUGGAUAGCACUUGUAAUAAUUCAACUUGAUUUUCUUUCAAUGACGAUUAUAGCAUGAUUCAGUCAUUAUGUUUAUCACAAAUUUUUAUUUGUUCGUGUCGUUUUGCACAUUGGCACCAAAGCACAAAGUACAAGGGGCAAUUGUUCGAUAUGAAGAUCACCGGCAUGGUUAACAGUAAAAUGGCCCAAUAAGCAAGCCCAAGUGCAGAAGGAACAAAUGGAAGCCCAAUAUUGUUUUCACUCUUGACACCCAGGAAAUCAAGCAAGACUCAAUAAAAGCACAUUUAUUAAAUAUUUUUUUAAUUUUAAUUUCUCAAACGAAUUGAUAACAAAUAGCUAGGUUGAGGAGUAUAUGUGAAUAUUGUUGAUAGGGUAGUACUAUAAAGGUAAAGAAAAAGUAAAGAUGAUAGUAUAAUAUAUUUAAUAAUAAAUGUAUAUUAAAGUACUUUUUAAAAUAUAAGAAUUAAAUAAGUAUUUAAAUCAAAAUAUAAAAACCAAACAAGUAUUUACUUGAUAAAACAUCAUAGAAGUUAUUUUGACACCCAAGACUUUUAAGUAUUUAUUAUAAAUAAUUGCAAAGCCAAUUAUUUAUUAUUUAUAAUGAAACUGAAAUUUAUCUCCGCGUGAAAAUAAAGGACUGAAGGCGAGAAAAGAUUCCUCUCCACGUGAAAACAGAUGUUGAAAUGUUUUUGCUAUUCGUUUGAUGAUUCGAGGAUUCACAAUUGCCGAUAAGUCCAAGAAAAAUUCCAAAAAUUAUCUUCCAAAAAUAAAGGAGUUAAUUGUGUGUGCUUUAUGGUAUAACAUUUUUGUCGAUACUCAACCCAACUCAGAAAUCACGAGUUGCACAGUCAAUGAAAAAGAAGACAAAAGUCAAUAAAAGCAAAGACAUUAAGACAUUGACUGAUGAUAGCAUGGUGGGACAUUAAGUAUCCCUAGGGAUUAAAGUAGAAAUUUAAUAAAUUUCUUAUCUCAUAAUUUUUUAUGAAAAUAAUAUUUAAUAAAUUUGUAAAAAUUAUUUUUUUAUAAUUUUUUUAUUUUACUGCAUUUUUUUUAAAAAAGGUUGAAAUUUACUUUUCAUAAGCAAUUUAAAAUAAGCCAUCACAAAUUUUCAAAGUUUAUAUUAUAACAUUAAUAAUUUAACAAAAAAGAUAAUCAUAGCUUAUGUUUCCAUACACUCUAGUUUAUAAGCCAUUAGAUAUCAUAUUAGCAUAAUAAUUUACCAAUGCAACUGAUGUGCAUUCUCUCCAAUAUCAAAGUUUUGAUUUAGUAAUUUCAUAUUUUUUAUAUUUUAUUUUUAUUAUAAAAUUAAUGAGACUUAUAUAUGAUUACAUUUUUUUUAAUUACGAACAAGUCCAUGUGAAAGUUAAUCAUGACUUUUAAAAUUAAUUUCAUAACCAUAGAUUUUAACGUUCAAUCUAUUUUCUAUAGUCAUGAUGCAUGAUGCUCAUGAUGCUCAUUGCAACAAGUUGAUUCUCUUAUUUUAAGAAUCUUGUUACGGUUUCCUUUGCAUUGAUUCUCUGCUUUGGUGAUUCCACAGUACACUCCAUAGCCAAAUUGAAGACAAAUGACAUACAUUGCUCUUUGGUCAUAAAAUGUUUGUCCUCCCGACUUAGCAAAUUUGCACCAACAACUUCCAUAACUGAAUUGGGUAGCAAAUCAUUAACCCAAUGCUUUAAUGUCAUUUCUCCAUGAAAAAAAUUAAUUGUGGGUUUCUUCCCGCUGAAUGUUUCCAUUAUCAUAAUCCUAAAGUUAUAAACAUCCCCAUUGCGGAUACUUUUCCUUCUCUUUAAUACUCAAUGGAUUUCAACAAUUAUAUACUACGAUAAAAUAAUUUACAAUAAUAUGCUCAAAUGAAGAUCGUAAGAAAUAAAUAACAUAUCAAAAAAUAUUAAAGAAAUGAAAAAAUAUUUAAUGUGGAACAAACCUGGUGCCAUAUAGCCUAUGCCAAAAAAUGAGCAACCAUAUUAUCGUCUAGCAAUACAUUACUUGACUUUAAAUCACAAUGAAUAAUUACAUGUGUUGAAUGACCAAAGUGUAGAUAUUCCACAGCUGAUGCAACAUCUAUCAUUAUGUGUAAUCUUUGAAAAAAAUCCAAAAUGUAGUUGCUUGUAGACAAGCACUUACCUAGACUUCCAUGAGGCAUGUAUUCUAAUAUCAAUGCUUUAAAAUCAUCCUUUGAACAACUGCUAAUGAUUUUGAUAAGGUUUUGAUGGCGAAUAAUUUUCAUCAUAUUACAUUCAACAUCAAGGUUCUUAAAUGCUCCUCCAUAUUGCAGGUUAAAACCCUUUACCACAACUUCCAUCCCAUCUUGAAUUCUUGCCUUAUAAAUAGAGCCAAAACCUCCUCUGCUAAUUAGAUUGAAAACCUCCUCUGCUAAUUAGAUUGCUUUCACUAAAUCUGUUUUAGCUUGAAAAAGUUCUAUGUAUAAAAACUUUCUCCAAAUUGUUGCUGGUGGCAUAUUAGUAUCAUCUGGUAUGUGUUUUCCUCUCUUUCGAUAUCUCAAGAUCAACACAAUGAGUACUAUUAUAAAUAUAGUACUCAAUGACAAGACAAUCCCUAGGAGAGGAUCCUUUUCCCUUGAUGUGUGGUGGAUUCUAGUUCUGCAUGGUGGAACUUGCAGAUUGGGUGUGCCACACAAUAAUUCAUUUCCUUCAAUGAUUCAACUAAGAAAUUUCUAAAAGGUCUAGGAAUCUUUCCUUCGAGCGUAUUGAAAGAAAGAUUUAAAUCUUUGAGAUCUAAAAGUUUUUCUAAUGGUAUAGGAAUAGCCCCAGAGAAAUUAUUAUUGGACAAAUCCAAGGAUUUCAAGCUUGUCAAAUCACCAAUGGAAUUACGAAGUGAGUCUUGCAAUCUAUUAUAUUCUAAAAAGAGAUAUUAUAGAUCAUUUACGUCACCAAUUGUAGUUGGAAAAACACAUGAGAAAUUAUUCGUCGACAAAUCUAUUCUUAACAAAACCUUCAAAUUAGACAUCUAAUUAAAUUAGAAAACAGAUAUUCCUAAUAAAUUAGAAUCUCACUAAAUUAGGGAAUUAAUAAAUUAAUCUCUAUUACAAGAUAUGCAAUAAAUAAACUUCAAAUUUAACUAGACUUGCCAUAAGAUGCUAACUCUAUAAUAAUUGACUUAACACAAAUCUUUGCUAAGCUUUUGAAUAAAAUCAUGACAUGUCAUUUAAGUUUUUUAGGCUUCGUUUGGUAUAUAUUUUCAAGCAAAGUCUAUUUAAGUAGAGCUUCUAUUAGUAGAAUUUUAAUAAGCAAAGCUUUUAUAAAAAAAGAUUGUGUUAUUUGGUCGUCAAUUAAAUGAUAUUUAAUAAUUAAAAACUCUACUCAAGAUGUAACCAAAUAAUAUUAAAAUUUCAUUAUUUAUAAUUUUUUAUUAAUAGAGCUAUUAAUUAAUGAAUAAAUGAUAUUUUAUAUCAUUUUAUUAAAAAAAGAAUGAACAGCAAGAUUGUAAGCACCGUGAAUAACUGUGUAAUCGGCCAAAUACCAUUGAAGAAAUUCGGAGCUCCACACGUGUCUCAGCCGCUCGCACGAGUGCGAGAAGAAUUUUCGGGCCGUGGAUCUCUCUUGUUACCAAGGAUGCUUCUCAGCAUAUCGUAGCCUGGGGACUCUCCUGGGCUUAAUUAAUGUAAUCAGCCCAUCCAGGUCACCUUACGAGGUUUGCGUUAGUGCAUAAAAUACUUUCGUUUUUAUCAAUCAUUUAUCAUUAGGAGCAAGAGGGGAAAAAGAAAAUUGGUUACCUUCUGUUGUCCUUGUGAAUGGUGUGCGUUCGUUUUUAUUAUAAUACACAUAAAAAUUUAUUUCUUCUAUAGGAACAAUGAGCAAAGGUAAAGUUAUCUAAUCAUGAUUGAUUGCUAACUAAAAAAUAUAUCUAUAUUUUACUAAUUUUAUUUCUUUAAUUUUUUAUCUCAAUAUAAAUAGUAAUAAUUAUUAUUUUUUAAAAUUUAAUAAUUUUAUUUCUUAAUUAAGUAAGGAUAAUUUUAGACACAAAUAUUUUUCACUCAAUCCCUUAGGUACUAAUACUUCUUAUUGAUCUCUGAAGUUGCUUUUACUUACUUAUUUAAACCAUAUAUGAAAUUUGAAGAAUGUCAAUCUCAUGAUAUUACAGAUUCUCCGUAGAUAUUCUUUGACAUCUAAUUUGAUUCGAUGGACAAAUUAUUAUUAACAAAUUAGUAGCUUCUCCUCAACAAAAUGAGUAUUGAUGAGCACUUCUCUUUCAGAGUCACUUAUGGAGAUUGAUCUUGAUGUGAAUUUCCUGUUAGGGAACCAUAAUCUCUAGAAGUGGUUCCGAAUAUAGAAUUUUCUUCUCUAGUACGAAGAGAUUCUGCAAUUCCGGGUCACUUGAGGACAUCGUUGUCGCCUUGCAAGCGGAAGAUUCUUCACUCAGUCCUAAGAACAGAAGCUGAAUCAACUCAGUCGGCUGAGUUAGGAUAGAAUAACAUUACUAGAAGAAAAUUGACCUAUAUUUUACCUUUUUAGUUCUUAAUCUCUUUCUUAACAUGGCAAUUAGGUCAAGAGGAAAAUGAUUUGAACAAUUUGAAGCUUCUUAUCUGAGGUUACCUAGGAAUAUUCCAUACUCAUGGGAAUUUGGCUCUUUUCAUUUCUCAGCACUAAGGAGUUUAAGCACAGUCAAUAAUGAAACCCAAUUGAGAAAUAUUAUCAUCUGUUGCCUAUGAUUUCAACUGGACCAAAAUGUUUGUUUUUCUUUUUAUCUUUUAAAAAAAAAAUGAUUUAGCGAUCAUGUCACUGGUUUUUUCAACAAGAUGAAUGAUUUCAUCUUCUCAUUUAUGAACAAUUCUUUCCAGCACUCUUUAGGAGACUCACGCUCAUUCACUAACCACUCACCAUGCUCAGAAUGCAAAAUGCGAAAUAGGAGUAAUAUAAUAAUUUACUUGUCUAAUUUCAACACAUUUUCAAACUAAUUAAUCCCACUACAAGAAAAAGUUAUUUAUGUGACCACUAUUUUGCAGUUACGUAUGGCCUAUAUGACAGCUAUGUAACGGCAGAGAGGGGUUACAUACGCGGCCAUUGCAAAAGCUUUGUAACCGUUGCAAAUGCUUUUUAACUGUACUUUUGGCGUGCAGUAACAAAAGGUAGUAACGGUCACCAAAAAAAAAACCACCUAAAUGCGGCCACAUUAAGUAAUGGGUUGGAUGCAAGUUUUGUGACAGGUGGAAGCUGUCACAAAUUUGUAAUGCUUAAUUAUUCAUAAUUUUGUGAUAUUUGACUAUUUGUCAAUAUUUUAUCUCAUUUUCCUGAUAUUUGUCAAUGACAACAAAAAUUCAACAUUGUUCAUUACAACAGUACAACACUAAAAUUAAUUAUCAUGAUACCAUCCAUAAAGUUCAAAUUAUAUACUGAAAAUGAGAGAUUAACAUCAAGCCGCAAGUCUCCAAGUCAAAAAUUAAAAGUAUACACAGAUGCAAAUACAAGCCUACGAUACAAAGUCUUACAAAAAAAAGAAAAAGUGUGAAUCCAGGGGUCUCCAAUGCAUCUUAUCAAACGAUAGCCUACAAUAGAAGCAACAAUAUAUUAAAAAUGUGCGAGACAAACACACUUAAAUAUCAUAAUUAUAUAACUAAGCACUUCUUGCUAGCAAUAAUUAGAAGCGCUCUGGUACAACUGUUAAUGUCUCUAUCCUUUGUUGAAACUCUUAGUUAAUUUGCAAAUCUAAUAUUCAUUUUCCAAAAAUAAUAUCAACAUUGAACAUAUGAAAAAUAAUGAAUCAUAAUUUUACAAGUAAAAGUAUUUAUCUAUAAAUAGACGUCAUAAUUUGCAGCAUAACUGCAUGACGGUGUUGAUGCGCAUUGGAAGCAUCGACUAUCUACUAAAAAAACAAACAUUUUGUUUUUCCUAAGAAACACAGAAGGAAAUGUAGUCUAUAGAUUGAUGAUGAAUAUGCAGCCAAUAUAUUUUACUAAAUUGUAAGAUGUAGGAAAUGUAGGGAAGGGCAUUAAGUUGCAAGGUUCAGUUCCAAGUUGGCAAUAAAAAUUGCUAUUAUGCUGCAACUUUUCUCAAUAUACUCCACACUUUUCACCCUAAAUUAUACAUUUAUUCUAAAAAAAAUUUUAAAAAUCAUUUUGAAUUUUAAGUAAAUAUUCACUAUAAUCUGAUGAUUGUUAAGUUCAACUUUAAUUAAUAUUUUACUAGAUAUUUGGAUCGAAAAUAAAAGCCUUCAUGUUGGCAUUGCCUUGUCCAGCCUUCACUCCUUUGACUAACCUUGAUUUAAACAUUAUUCAAUUCUCAUUUGAUUCUGAUUAGGUUAAGAUUAUAGAUCGUCUAGCAAAUGAGUAGUACAUUAAACAACUAAAAUCUUCAAAUAAAUGUCUAGGAUGGUCAAUCCAAAUACUAAGCUAUUAACUGCUAAUGUUUACAUUUUAGAGUUUUAAUUUUUUUUACUUUAGAAUUUAUUUGAUUUAGCUGUUACUUUUAAUUUUUAAAAUAUUUAAAAUAAAUAAGUAGACAAUGGUCAAAGGGUUUAGUAAUUGCGUACACGUAUUAGUGUUUUAUAUCCAUACCUAAUGCACCCAAUGAAUAGGUAUAAAAAUUUAUAUCCCUAUUCAAUUUUUUAUAAAAUAUAGAUAAAAUUAGACCUGACGCCUAAUUUUAACGUAACAGUCCCUUGUGCUUGUAGGGAUUUUUUGCCAUCCCUAUAUGGGACUAGAACAAAGCUAACACGCCUAUCUAAUGAGACUGGACCAUAAUUUUAUUUAAUAGAUCUUAGGCCUGGAUCAGUCUAGUUGCUUCCUUUUUGAUACCUUUGGCUGCUAUUUAGGUAGCAUUUACUUCUCAUAUUAGAGCAGGAAUUGUGAGAUUGAGAGUAAAAAUAGGUUGUUUACUUACAUUAAAAUGAGAGUAUAGAAUAGGAAUCAAAAUUCCAUUUAUGUGUUUAUUUGUUUUAGAUUAAGAGUCAAUUGUUUUAAAUUAUAAUUUUACCCUUAUUUAAAAAAUUGUAGAUUUUAGUUACAAGUGAAUG
Molecule: long non-coding RNA, 169835 nt
Filed under: Citrus x clementina
Lineage: Eukaryota; Viridiplantae; Streptophyta; Magnoliopsida; Sapindales; Rutaceae
Description: Citrus clementina (C. clementina) long non-coding RNA (CCLE_LNC003305)
Rfam family: Plant small nucleolar RNA R71 (bases 61316-61422)
Source: RNAcentral